UUAUUCCGCCAACCUUGAAUAAUUAGACGAGAUUCUGGUCUUCUGUUAGCGCCCCGAAAGCUCACAUUAUUAGAUGGCGAUGUAGCACUUUGGCUUCUGUACUGAAGGUGGAGUUCCUGUUCGAAAGUUGUCUACGAGUUAUGUUACUUGUGUUUGUCUGCGAGAGAGGUGAUUGUGUCGGUGAACAAGUAAGCUGUUCAGAAAGUAGAUUUCCAGUUCCGAGAUGUAGGCAUUCUUUCUGUCUAUGAAGGCGGAAGGCCUAAUUGAUUUAAUUGAAAGAUACAGAUAGAGCAGGUGAGGAAGCAGAAGCACUAACAACAGCAAAAGAAAGAUCUUUAUCUAAAGCCGAAGCCGACGAACAAAGGACUUGAAGUUGACUGUUACUAGAAGUUGCUGACGCCACGGAUUUGGGCUAUUUUAUCCAGGCUUCUGUAUCAAAGCCAGUCGACAACAUCAUAUGGCUAACUAACCUACAUCUAUAAGCCCUAGCUCAUUACCUCUUCUCCCGCUGAGAAAUCCCUAUUUUUCUCCAGACACUCACUCCUUUGUUCAAGCGUCAGGCGCGAAACUGUGUUCGGGUGCUGAAAGCCUUGAAGAAAAAGGGUUCUCUCACUUUAUCGGUACAUUACCUCUGUAACCCACGGUUCUUGCGAAAGCCCUGACAUGCCAUUGGUAGUGAGUUGGCCACACGCGAUGCUCUUAUGCUUUAGCCUAGUGUUACGCCCCCCCGAAACUCAAAUGGGCGAACCUUCCAUGUGGUCCCGGUACUCGGUAAAGAAUAUUAUGGAAUAGAAGCGAGUAAAGCCGCCUCGGAGACGAAAGACUAUCCGACACACAUAAUCAUUGUAUGUAGUAAUAGCCUUGGUAUGAGACGAGCAGAUGAUCCUUUAAACUGUCUUAUUAACGCAAUGAUAAUGACUAUCAGCUACGACACUGCCCCCUCUGAAUUCAAUGCUUACCCAAGCUCCUCCCCCAAUGAACUCCUGUUUCUAGAAAUAAGGGCGACAAUAAGACAAAUGGAAUCAACCACACCUUCGCAGUACACUUAGACCUCUUUCAUUGAAAAGGAGAAUCCGCUUAUACACUAAAAGUAGGGGCCCCCUACCGAAAGCAAGUGGGAUAAAGUGUUUCAAAGGUGGAAAAAGUCACUCAUUUCUCUGACUUACACUAAAAGCUAUACUUCUAACUAAUAGCUCAAAGGCACAUGGCGAUAGAUGCUUCUUGUCCUAUCUUUUUCAGUAAGGAAGAAAACACUUUGCAUGCCUUUCUGGACUGUGAGGUCGCUUUGGUAAUGUGAGCUGGCCUACUCCUUUAGUAUGGAGCCACGAGUAAUCAAUUGGAUUUUUAUUGGAAGUCUCUUUUUCUCAUUUGGAUGGUGGGCCUUAUAUAUGUGCUCGUUGUAUGUCUGUCUCAUCUGUUACGUUUCCUCAUUUUCUAUAAGAUCGUUGCUUUUUUAGGUGUGACGACAACUUUCUCUUCUUUUAUGAAAUAUGUCUCUUCGGGGGGCCGCAUGAAAAUGGAAAUACUGAGUCCUUUUGAAAUAGGCUGUAGUAUUGAGUCGGAUAGGAAGUAUUGAGUCGGAUAGGAAGUAUUGAGUCGGAAUCCAGCUCAGAGUCAAUUAAUACUUUUCGUAAUGUUAUUAUGGCAGAUAACGAGGCGGAGUUAUAUAGAAUAAGAAGGAUCAGAAGAUAUCUAGAAGAAUAGAAGGAUCAGAUAUCUAGAGCGGCAGGACUACUAGAACGUGUCCCCCCAGAAGAAUAAUGGUUCUUAUUCCAGACUUUUGAUAGAGCACUUCGAUCAAGCUCUGAAUGUCGACCAUUAUCGCUUUUCUAUGGGAUAUCUAAGUCGACCAUUAUCGCUUUUCUAUGGGAUAUCUAAUAUAUGGAAUUCCCCUUUUUAGAGAAGAAGGCAAUGUAGCAGGACCGGCUCCAAAAUCUCAUGAUCAAUUCCAAUCAUAUUCAUCGAAUUAUGAAACUGGGCCCUUAUACCGAUGUCAGAAAGGAAGCUACCAACUAGAUGAAGUCGAAGAAAGGAAGCUACCAACUAGAUGAAGUCGAAGGUAGAGCCAGUGAGCAGCCUAAGCCAUGCUUUUCAGCGACAUAUCAUAGAGGGCAGUCUCAAUUCCUUUAUUAACCAACUGCCUGAAGACGAGACACAAGCGAUACAAUCUAUAUUCUAUCGUUCAUUCUACCGAGAUUUUGAACUACGAGGAUUUCCGCCGCUCCUUGGGCUUGCCGCUCCCCUAUUUUCGGUGGAACUACGUCUGACCUGAUCCCUAUAAAAAGCGGGGGGGAAAUACAGACACUUUUGAAAACCUCAUUCCAUUCAUUUCUAGGCGGGGCCGGAUGGUUGUUUGAUUCUACAAAUAGUUAGUUUAAGUGAGUUGGAUGACAUAAAUAGAUAGUUUAAGUGAGUUGGAUGACAUAAUGGAUUACCUUCUACGGGAAUCUUCCUCUUUUUCCCUAGUCCCAAUCUAUUAGUGGUUAUUAAUCUCAUUCUUUUGUGGCAGUUUGACUUUCUUUUGCUGUCGUGCCAGGCGCUUUUCUGGGUUCUACUUUCUUUCUCUGGGAUUUGGAUUCUAUCUAGCCAGAGUCCGUUUCCGUUGUUGACUAUACAAUCAAUAUCAGUAGAACACUUUUGACCAGUAUUUGUUUGCUCUUCAAUGUACAAAAAAGGAUAGGAGAUCAUUUCGAAUAAAUAAAGUCAAGGUUCGAAAGCUAGUAGGGAAAAGCCAGUUGUUUUUUCCUUGCUAAAAAGAAAAGAGUGGUGCUUCUAUUCUAAUGGAGCUAAUAAGCGCUCUGACUAUAUAAUUGACAACCUAUACUAUACACGUGCAGGGGUUUCUCACAUCUACCAGACUAGAUAAAGAUCCCUUAUUCUAUCGAGCUAGCCUACAAAAUAUGGCAUACUCCUAGAAUUCAGAAAGACUACUAGAAAUAUUCGAAUUCAUAAAUACCACUAGAAAUCUUAUUAAUACAUUCAUUAUAUAUAGAUGUAUAGGACACCUAUCCACAUUAGACCACUGGAAAUCAGAUUAAUACAUUAUAUAUAGAAAUAUAGGACACCUAUCCGGGAUUUGCUUUCAAGUAUUUGACUAACAUUCUAAUCGUGGGGGUUGGAAGUGCAGAAUACCAUUGGAUUGUGUUUUUUGCUUUGGCAGAAUACUCUCAUAGGCUUGCUUGCCCAUCUGGAACUCCUUUCUUGUAGUUUCUUUUUACCUCGUCCCAUCCCGGGGUACUAACUCUGUAGAAUUGAAUCCCUCUUCGAGCCUGUUCCAUUGGGGUACAAAGUUCGCCUACACAUUUCGAUUGAGAAAAUGGGUAAGCGCAUCCUCCUCCUUUUGCCUGCCGCCCGGCGCCCCAAAGAGGAUAGGAUACAACUAAGCGCUCAGGACGAAGACUUAUUCCAACAAUACCGCGACACAACAGCAGUUCCAGCAGUCCAAUAGUAUGAUGUUUACUCCCGAAAAGGGGAUAGUUUCAAUAGUCGUUAGUUUUCCACGUGAUUCGAAAUAGUAGGGUGAGCGAAUCCAACUCCUAUCUCGUUACGCUGAGAGCUCCAGCUGGGUUAUAGAAAGGCCGGGAUAAGACCUUUCAAUGGAAGGCCAUUUUCCGCCAGGCAGCACUAUAGAGAGACCUUUACAGAUCUUCUCAAGCAAGCAAAGCAGUAGAAUGAUUAUGAGAUAACUCUCCCUUAGGCAGGAAUGGAAUUGAUAUGCUAUUGAGAAAGAAAUCAGACUCCUCCCACCAUGCAGCGUGUAGGCGCAUUCUAUGAUGUUAGAAGGCUAUCGGCCCGGGCACUUGGAGUACGGCACUGGGUAAAUAGCUAUGUAAACGGAGCUCUGUCACAGAUAGAGCGGGGACUUCCUUAGUGAGUGGUACAUGAAGCCCAUGUCAAGAAAAGCUUCAAAGUACUGAUUGCAAUGUAAUAGCUUCAAAGUACUGAUUGCAAUGUAAUAUAGUAUAGCCCAGCCCCUUCGGUUGUAGGAAAGGAAUCCGGGUCCAUUCCGGAAUGAUGAAGACCGAUAGAAUAGAAUACCCCAAGCCACUUUAGGAUUUACCCUACAUAUACUCGGGACCAACAUAUCAAACUAUAUUUACCUUUCCUCUUUCUAUUUUACAGGUCAGGCAAUAAGAGAAAGUAUAGAUCGGCUCAUUCAUUACAGUAAGGGUUCCGGGAAGUCAAUAAUUGAUUAGUAUUGGUGAGUCAGGGUUCCGGGAAGUCAAUAAUUGAUUAGUAUUAUCAACAAUGGGUGACCUUUUACCCCAAAUUACUUCUAUGGGCGCAGGGGUUGUCAAUUCUCUUGUGGAUAACGGAUCAUUAAUGUCAUUAAGGGGUCAAGGGACAGAAAGAAUGUCUACGACGAACAAAAGACUUGAGGAACAGCUCACUCCUAACUUGACUCACUGAAUGGAAUAUCUCUAUAAUGACCCUAUUAUAUACAUACUACUCCCUUCUUCUGUAUCUGUAUAAGAUUAUACAAGUACUAUUUCAUCUGAUCCAACAGAUCUUGCUUCAGCAGAUUCUCUGGAUUGUAAUCCUUAUUCCGCUCUUUCUUCUUUUCUUCCUCUAACUGUGCUCGCCUUUCCUUUAGUACCCUUCGAGUGAGCGCUCUCUUAUACGUUGCUAGUUGGGUUCCCCGAGAAACUCCCUUCUUUCUACGUGACGAGCUUCUUUCUUCCCCUAAGCUUCCAGACAAAUCUUUGCUUGUUCCUUGGUUGUUGAAUGAAAUAAUCAAUCAAUAAAUACAGUAGCGCACAUAGUAUAGAGGUAAAGUCAACUCACUGCUUCCCUUCCGCCAUGACUUCAUUAAGCGAUUGUCACCGCGAGUUUCUUCUUUCAAAUUAUAUAGCUUGUUGCAAUUGAUAUAAUGAAAAUAGGAUAGCGGACUCCUUAUCGUAUAGCUUACUCCUUAUAUAGUAAUCGGACUCAAUAAUAUCAUUUUGGCGGCAGGAAUCCUAAUUAUAGGACAGAGACAGCUUAGUUCUAUUAUAGGACAGAGUCUAAAGCGGGAGAAUAUGCGGGUCAAUAAUCUGGAUAAGAAUAUGGAUCAGGUACAGGAUUUGCAGCGAUAUAAGUUCUUGGCUAACCGAGUGGAGUUGUGGCUUUAUUAAUUAAUACAGACCUUCUCUUUGGUUGGUAACGUCAACAUCUUGUUCCGAGAAACUCCGUAAGCGCUUUCACUCGCAAACGUUUAGCUCAUCUCCUAACGCUCCCAAUUCAGAGUUGCUUGUUUCUCUUUCAACAAAUUAAGGAACUGCCAAGCUACUACUAAACCACAGGUAUUCUCACUUUACCGGCAACAAAGCAGCUUCUCGCAACAGCUUCUUACAUGGAUUUACUUACCGCUUCAGAAGGCCAUAAUCAAAGGCAAGGCAAUCAGGCUUCAUUCUCGUUCAACAACCCAACCUUGAGUUGAAUACUUUCAUUGCAUAAUUUAGAGCCCAGAGCCCUUACAGUAUUUUUUCUAAAUCUCUAUCAUACCCGGGCGGGUAACAAGAAUGAAUCAGUUUCUUCCUCUCCAGCUUCUGGUAAAUAGGAAUAUGCUUCCCUGUCUUUUGAGUCUAAUACUCCACUUCACUUGUUCUUGCUCUAGUACUGUGACUGAUGUAUCUGCUCUAACUGCUUCCUUUGGCACUACUUACUGACUUUCUACAACAGAACUACUCCCUCCUUACUUUAUCCUGAAUAUCUCUGCUAAGGACAGCACAGCUUCUAGACGAGAGUAAAGGACAGCACAGCUUCUAGAUACGAUGACACUCGAACAGACAGAUAAUCCGGACACAGCGCUGAAGAAUCCCCUAAUCAAAACACAGUACAAUAAACAAGUGAGUAGUUACCAACGAGAGGAAGAGGUCAAGAGAAGAAAAGUCAUUUCGUAUGAAUACCUAUAGAUGCAUUAAUUUACCUCUAGGGUAGAAAGGUAAACCGCCCACAGCUCCUACAGCUACCUAACCUCUGAAGCCCCCCCGAACGUGGUGGUCGAAGACAUAUUCUUUUUGGAAGAAAAGUUCUAUUCUCAAAGGAUUGUAAGGUGAUUCAAACAACCCUCUUCCGCUUUGACUUUCGCCCUUUCUUUUGUCCAUCAAGGUAGGAAGCCCCUGAAAUGCUUCUGAUUCUCAAAUGUAGUUCCUAGGUUUCUUCUUUUUCGUAGCAUCAGAACCUAACCUAAGGAGCUCUGGGCGCAGUCAGUCUGCGACGCUUCUUCUUUAUUUGAUAGGCUUCCCUCUAAGGCCCCUCUCUUUUCCCCUUUUCGAAUGUGGAGGCUCAGGCCCCGUGCCCUACACAAUACCGACAUCAGCCGUCUCAAAGCGCUUACCAGCAAUCAACGAUUAGUUUCAGUGAAAAAGGCUUUGUCUCCCUCUUUACCGAAAGAACCUGUUCGAAAAGAGCUUACCCCAACCUAACAUUCUUCCCUAGUUUGCAGGGAGCUAGGACAAACUAUGGAAUCGGCCAUAGUGGAGCGCUUCUUCAGUCUGAUAUUGCCGAUAUUCAAGGGAAUACUAUAUAUAGUGGUGUAUCUGGUGAAUUCUAUAGAAUUGAGAAUAGCUCCAAUAAGAUUUAAAGAACCCUUACCCACCUGCUAUGUUAAGACAUUGAAGUCAUAGCAUUGGCAGUAAUGCAACUGUUAAUGAUGUAGUUUACACUACUUGGUUUGAGUCUUGUAAGUUGACUAUAGGUUAUGUCAUGAAAAUAGCUACAGGAGGGGUUUCCUAUACAAUUGGUAAUGCCAUUUCUGUAAAUGAUGAUUGCGGUAAUGCUUUCCUAACACGGGUGUGUAAAGCAGGCUCAAGCUGCCCUGAUCUGAUUCGCAAACAAGCCCUUCGAAGUGUGUUGGAGGGGAAGUGCUCUUGUAGGGUCAUUACUAAACCAAAGCAUUAUAUGAGGAAGUCGUUUUGUCUACCUUAAGACACAUUGAAGCAUCACUUAUGCGAAAGGAUUAUAUGCUCAGGGUCUUGCUUUGAGUGAAAAGUAUACAUUAUUACGUAAAUGCCCUUAUUAUGGAACAGCGAUUCGAAAUGUUCGGAAUGUGAAUCAUAAACCCCAAAACAUUCCAAGGAAUCUCCUAAAGAAAGGCCCUAUGAGAAAGAAAGGAAAAAGAAGUUCAAAACUAGUGUUAUAUGACAAAACCCAGAGAAAAGGAAAAGCUCCCCUUUAUGAAGGAAUCCCCAAGCCGAGUCUGGUCACCCAAAAGUAUGUCCGGCAGAUUAAAGGGAAAGGAGUUGGUUGCCUACUCUGUACCUCCAAUCCAAAUAAAGCUGACUCUAUAUCAGCCUAAGUCGAGAAUGACGAUGCGACGGCUUUCAAAAGGAUAAUGCAAAACGCAUAUUUUCCCAUGCCUUAAGGGCUGGACUAGAACUGCCCAAUCACCGUCCCUGAACAGGCAGACAUGACGGACAAUCUCAAUUCUUACCAAAUACGUCUGGGUCACACUCUCGAGAUCUGCUCAACUUGGAAGUCGUGGAUCCAGAACUCAAUCAAUCAGGGAAAGAUUGUCUUUGCUCAAAAUUGAUACAAGGAUCCUUCACGAACAGGACCCAGCACCUGUAACAUAGUAGGCUUAGGGAGCAACUCAGAUUCUGAGCUUACCUUACAACAAUAAGAAUCAGAGCAUAAGGUGGUACCGCGGGAGUGAAGGUGAGGAAUACUGAUCAGAAUAAUCCGCUUUUAGGUAUCCAAAGUACCCAGUUGCCAGUCCGACAAGUAACUACUUAGCUACUAGGCAAGUCAACUACUAACCAAGUCCCGUUUUUGGGAGCCUGUUGAAAGAAAAAGGGCCCAAUUGUUUUGGACCGAAGGAAGCGGUGGCAGAUUACCAUAUGAGAGAGAGGGGGCAUUUCCUUGGGUUCUAAUUCCGGAGUGAUGUGGACUGGGCCUCGCAUCAUUGACAUGCCUGACAAAAGACAAAAUGAUUUCUUACAUUGUAGCUCUUUCUUGUUGUAUUGGCUCAGAAAGACAGACCAGAUUGAAUAUUCUCUUUGCGUACAGAAACAGUCAUUCCAGUCCCGACGCCUACUCAUGGAUCGUAAAAGAUCGCUUCAGUUAGAAAGUCCCUUCUUUCUAUGCGCCAGAAUCGGAUUGGAGGCAAUUCAAAGGCUAUGGAGAACAAGAUCCAGAGAUUAGAUGUCAUGAGCUUGUUCGGAUGAGCAAGAUAUGCAGAAGAUGUGAAAGCGAACAAAAUGGCCGAGACUCCUUAUUAUACUUAUCUCCUUAAAGAUAGGGAGAGAAUUUGCUUGCUAAGUAGAGUGACUUCAGGGAGAACUACUGGAUCUUAACGCUCUUAGCACCCGAACACAGGACUUGCUCAUAACAGGAGCAGCCCUGCCGCGCUUUAACUCACUUUAGCUCUUUUAGCUCGCUACCUCUUUAACUCGCUGCCGUUUAGCUCACUUCCUACCGCCCAAAAAACAUCUAUUGUAAGAAAAAGAGUGGAGCGGCCCCAAAAGCAUCUAUUGUAAUAACUUGUCAUAUCUAUUACCUUGGCUACCGCACUUAGUCUUGCGCCUAAGCUUGGUCGUUAGUAGUUGCUUGGCCUAUUACUGUUGCUGCCGCUGAAAACAUAGAUUGUAAUAACUUUGUUAUGACUAUUACUGGCUACCGCGUCACAUUAGCAGUGCCUUGGUGGCUUUCGCCGUUGCCCAAAAGCUCCUGCCGCGGCACAUUAGUAGUGCCUUGGCCCGUGGCUUGGUCAUUAGUAGUUGCUUGGCGGUCGGCUUGGUCGUUAGUAGUUACUUGCCUAGUUGCUUGGCGGUUUAGUAUACUGUAGCUACUAAGUUAGGUUGGGUUGGUGGAAAGGUUCAGUAGGCUGUUGCUACUCUCCUAGUCUCCGAGAUAGGUUAUUGGCUGAGCGGUCAGUUCAGUUGUCUUAGAGGGAAAUAAUGUCAGCUCCAUUCCACAAGCGAGUUCCUUGACCCGAAGGUAGUAGCAGUAGCCUUCGUAAGACAGAAUAGAGUUUUUAGUGUGAGAAGAUCUUAUUGCAGGAAAAGAUUUGUGUCUGGAAGAUUGCCCCAACUCACUACUGCAGUUACUAGUUCUUGUUCCAUUGCUUAGUCUCUCUAUCUCUAGUCAUUUAGCUUUCAUGCACACAUUAUAGAAGUCAGUCACCGGUUACCAAACCCAUUACUGUUACUGCUUGUUGGAACGCAGCUGCUUGUUUCUUUCACUAUACCACUUAUUUGCUUUAACCGAGAAAUAAGCUCAGUAUUAGCAAGAGCCGAGUCAAGUGAGUAAGUUGCAAGAUCCGUUCUUUGCUACGAGGUUCUUUAUGGAGCGGGAACGAAAGAAUACUUUCUAUCAGUAGGUGCGCAAAGUACCAUAUGAUUUAUUGGAUUUCCUGGUAGUUUAGUUCCUGUUCUUUAUCGCUCAGUAGGUAGAGUGGAAUCGUACUAUUACAAAGAAUCAUAGGCUACACAGCAUAAUAAGGAUCAAUAUCCGGAUCAGAGGCUGGGCGGGUAAAGUCUUGUUCAGAGAAAGAAUCAAAUACGGGUGCGCGAACGAGUGUAGUUUCUGUUCUCAAGUCAUCCGUGUUUCAGAGCAACCUCCGCCUCCAUUCGAACUUGAUAGUUGAACGCGCUAGAUUCAAUUCCGUCUUAUUGGCAAGGGUAUAAGUGGUAUAUCGAAUGCAAGGUAAGAAUUUUCUAGGUAUGAUAGAUAUUGGCAAGUAGAGGAGAUAAGUAUCGAGUUUACAGUGAAGUCGACAAGUUCCCGAGUUUACAGUGAAGUCGACAAGUUCCCUUCGAUUCUUGUAUAGGGCGGGGCAGAGUCCUUUCGUGUUGCGCGCGGGAGGGAAGUGUAGUUCAAUGGAGUUCUCGUUGUUCUAUUCAAUACAAAAUAGGAGUUCUGGAGGAAGAGAGUUCAUCUGUCUUUAGUGAAGUAGGUCUUCCAAGCGAAUGAGGAAGAGAGUUCAUCUGUCUUUAGUGAAGUAGGUCUUCCAAGCUCAAGGAGUCGCAAUUCUAUCUAUAUGGUGUAUAGCUCAAUUCCAUUCUAUUCUGUUUUGUCACUCCACCCUUGAUUCUUAUUAAUUUCAUCUGAAGGACAUAUGAGAGAUACCCACAGAGCUGUAUUAGUUAGUAGAGUAUGGUAUGAGUGCUCUCUCUUUAUGUGAAGCUAUUCUUCCUCAAUAUCUUUCUCAGGCUCUGUUAUACCUGAUUCUAUUUUCAUAUAGGAGAGAAGACAGACGCUAUCUCUUUCUUCUCUUCUAUUCUCUAGGUAAUUCCUCACAGCCAACAGCAAACCAAUAGGGGUCGAUUAGCUUGUUUUUUUGUGAUCACAAGCGAUCGAGCAUUUACUGGAUCUUGCUGCAGCAGGAGCAAGGGAACUCCCCUGGUUAUGGAAACCAAUGACUCCCGGCGUAUUAAAGCUAUACGAGAACCACGCUAUUGAAAGAAGAAUCUCAUGCCCUUCUUUGGCUGUUAGCAAGUCAAUUCCUUCCCGAAGCUGAUUGAAGGCAAGACAAUGCUUUAGGUAUUCAAUGACCUUUACUGGCAUUACACACCAUCCCCAGUUUUGGGCCCUUAUCGGUGGUCUGGUCGAAACCCCCAUGCCAUAGACCUUUCUCCCCUUUUCGUAGGGACAAUCGGGUACUAUUCGUUCUUCCGGGCCACCCUUUGCACUUACCCAACAUUUCAUGAUUUGCUAUUGUGUAGAGAAGGGGGUAUAUCCUGGAGUCAACUUUGAUCGUUACGCCGUCCUAGGUAACGACGUGGUCAUCGCUGAUAGCCAAUUCGCCCUGGCCUAUCUGGACAUAGUGGAAGAGUUGGAGGUUCUUCUUUCCAAGCAUAAAUCCAUUAUCUCCGAAAAGAGAAGUACCCUGCAACCCUUAGAGAGGACUGUUCUGCGAUGAUGUGUCGGUCAGUGAUAGGACUGUUCUGUGAUCAUGUGUCGGUCAGUGGCUUCACUUGGUGCAGUAGUAGCAUGUCCGGUCUAAUGAUCCCAGAGUCAAUAAUCAAAGAAAGCCUUCUUGAGGCUCAGAACGAAAGAUGGAGGGCUAAGUCGACCGAUCAUAACUGCCUUCCCAUGGCUUUGAAUACUAUGGUACCUAUAAGAUGGGGGGCUCCAGGAGUAGAGUAACCCAGAUCCUACUGAAACUUCUGGGUGCCUAAAACCUAGGCUAACUUAUUGGAAGACAGACUACUUCUUGAAUGCGAAAAUGGAAUGAAUGCACUAACUAAACUUAAGAGAUUCUGGUAAUAGCUUUCAUUAGCGCUUUUCAAUAAUAUUGGAAAUUGCCCGUCCUUCGUGACUAAAACUUUACCUCCGUAACAAGGCACCGUCCCCCGGUCCAAGCAAGCGCUGUGAUUUUACCAGCCAAAUGGAGUUUAGCCAAAUAAGAAAGAAAGAGAAGUGGAUUUUCUUCCUCGAACCCUUUUAGCUUUCUGCGGCCCUUCACUGCAGGACAAACAAGAGAUGAGAAUAGAAAGAUGAUAGAGAAACUAUUCUAGGCUAGUCCGGGAAAGAAGAUAAUAAACUCCUUAUCAAACACACUUGGGUAAGGCUCCAUUUAGCAGGACGCUUGUUAUAAGAUAAGGCCCACUGGGGGAAUACUCGCUCCAAGAGAGGCAGAUAGGUUCUCGCCAUAUUUAUCCACCAGCAGAUAGGUUCUCGCCAUAUAUUUAUCCACCAUAGGUAAAGACAAGAAAGAAGGAUUGUAGGAAUUCCAACACAGCCUUGGACCUCACCAAAGGUGCCAACUGCUGUAAUAUAGAGGAGCUCGCUUUAUCGUUGUAAACUUGUUGGCUAAGGCCACUCAAUUAUUCAUUAAUUAAAGAAUCCAUGUAUGCACUUCGCCUCGUCUAACGGACAUUAUCAUCAAAAGAAAGCCUUUCCAUAGCCGAAGGAUUGAUCUACAUAAUGGAUGUCUUAAAAGAGCUCGCUAACGCUUGAAACUCUCCUAACCGUUAGCGCUACAUUCCAUUUCAAUAUAACUUAUGCACAUAUAAGAGAGGAAUAUCUGAUAUUGAAUCUCACUGGCAUAGUAUAGAUUGGAGUAACCUAAACCACCUUCAUUUCUUUCUCAAAAUGGAAUAAAGUGCACAUAGCAUAUAAAAGAUAGUAAAGUAACCUCCCGAAAUCUAAGAAAGGAAUUUAGGCAUGGGAACCCAUAUUUUCUCACUUAUAUUUAGUAUUUUGAACUCUUUUGCUUGCUUGUCCAGCUCUAUCUUCUGUCCCCUUACUUUUCUUUAGGGUAAAGGAUAAGAUAAGAUCUAUUCUUACUAGAGCUAACAAAGAACGACUCUAAAGCAUACACUAUUUGGGAGCUGCUUCACCUUUAUGGCCUUACCCCUAUACUUUCAGGCAGAACCUAGGGAAAGCGGGAGUCAAUCACUAGAAUCCAAGGCAGAAUCUUUGGAUAUCGGGAAUCAAUCACUAGAAUCCAAGGCAGAACCCAGGGAGAGAGUCAAUCACUAUAAGCCUGAGCUAUAAGAGACUAUAGUAAGACGGUUAUAACAUACAAUAGCUCCUGCCGCCGACGAAAGAAGAAAUUGUAAUAGGAAAGGGCCAAGCGUAUACUACAGACCGCCAAGUAACUACUAAUGUGUAGCGGCAGGGCUGCUCUUCUCCCUCUUACCCCUCGCCCAGUUGCCGUGGCCUGGAUGAAUAAUUGGUUCCAGAGCUAAGUAAGAGAAUUGAAACUAAGAAAGAAGAGAAGUGACACGAAACUCACUCUCUCUCUUAUAAGAAUCUCAUUGGCACUGUCGAAAGAUAGUAGGUAGGGUUCUUUUUCUAUUUCUAUUAAUACAAGCAAGCAAUAUAGUGGGGAGAGUCGUUCUGUUCUUCUCAAUAUAGUAGAGAGAGUCGUUCUUCUUCUGAUAUUCUUACAAGAGAGUUUCCUCAGCGCCACUACCAUAUAGAACUUUUGAAUUGAGGUAGCGGGAUGCCCAGCCUGACUUAUGAUAAUGACCUAGACCAUACUACCAUAACAUAAGUAUAUGAACUAGAUGCACUGGAUCAAUACCGUCCCAUAUGCGCCUAAUUCUCUCAUUCAUAAUAGCAGUACCAUCCUGGUUUCAACUACAUUUCUUCUUCGGGCGACAGGUCUUUCGUUUUGGUCGAAAGAACGGUCUGGUCGGUCGUCCACACACUCGUUCUUAGAACUACGGGAGUUAGUCUCCGGGAUCAUAUCUCACAUUCAUUCCUUUAGUUACAUAACAACCAAAAGUCUGUGGAUGGCUUCUUCUUCUAGGGGCUAAGCGCAUUCAUCGGUCAAGUCAACAUCGUUCAUUCAUAGUGAGGUGGGCGAUGAAGAAUAACAAAGGCGUCUCUCCGAACUGAGUCUUCACUUCUUGUAAAAUAGGCUCAGUCUGGAAUAGCACUCAAUUAGUCUGUGGGCGGACUCUAGGGCCAACUCGGUCAGUCAACGCACGGUCGUUCGUGCAUCAAGGUCCCGUCCCUUGCACCACACUCUUUAGGCCCUCAGGUACUCCAGUCUCAUUUCGUACCGUCUGCAUCUUAUUGCCCUGUGAGUUUUCUCUGCAUCUUAUUGCCCUGUUUUCAUAGUAGUUUGCUUUUCUUAUCUAUAUUUUCAUAGCAGGUUUGGUUUGCUUCGAUUAUCUAAUAUAGAUUAGACUUGGUUAAAAUAAAAGCGUACCGUACUGUCCAGCAGAAUCGUCAACUUUCUUUCCCGAGUUGGCUUCUUCGUAUGAGCCCUAGCAGCAUCUAUUCCUUACUCCGUUUUCUUUUCUGCUUUCAAGCCAUCGUAGUGAGCGGUGACUACAUAGGUUGGCUCUGGUUUCGUUUGAUUUCUUCCGUGUUCUAUGAGCCGACAGCAAGCAGGACUGCGAAAGAUUAGUGAAGUUGUUGAAUGUCACCAGCACAGAUCCUCCCAAGCAUGAAAAAUGAGGAAAUAAGCAAGCUACUCGUUCCUCGGAUCAGGAGUUUUGCCUUUACCCUAUGGUUAUUCCUCGAUCGUUCAUGGGAAACUAUCGUCUGGUGGCGACUAAACCUCUGUCAUUGACAUGACCUUUGCUUUAUCAUAUACUACCUGGUCCCUUCGAAAACUAUCUGUCUCGUCUCUUAUCCCCUUUACUAAUGUUCAAUCUAAAUCCCGUGACUUGCUUUCUUUCAUUGGACUGGGCAUCCCGGAUCUCCUUUCUUUCUUCGGUGCUGACAAACAACUAUACGGUCAAUCAAUCUCCCCACUCAAUUAAUAUCCAUCAGCAUAUAGGUCUUGUUUUCUUUUCUUUCUCUCAUGAGUCUUUCUUACUGUCUAAAGGAAUGUUACGUACGCUUUCUCGAAGGCUCAUCUUGUAUACCAGUGCCAAUUCGGUUAGAGAUGUUUGUCCCGAUUGCCCAUACUGGAAUCUACUAAUGAGACAAUUGUCAUUGCCUUUGGAUUUGGCACCUACUAGCAUUGGUCCAGCAGUGCCUUUGUUCUUGCCAUGAGUGAUCUUCAUUCGAUCAAAUAGCUCGAGUCAUCUGUUAGGUGGGCCAACCGACCGAGUUGGGCGGGGCAGCGUCCAUGUAACAGAACCGUUAUUCUAGCCAAGAAGACCAUUAUUGAUCGAUCAUUGGCAAAUCACAAAAUCAAUCUCAAAACUCAGAAAAAACCCUCGCUAAGAGGAAGAGUCACUCAGACAAGAGCUAGGUAAGCAAGCAAGAAAAUCCGUAUAGGCUCGCUAAUUGGGAGGCAAGGAGCACUAUUAUCCAGGAUCUGUUAAGAUCAGCCUUGGUUCUUCUGGUCGGCUCGUAUUAGCCUGUGCUUUAUGACAGCCCCGUUGUUCCAUUCCUUUAGUCUAGUCUUUUCAACGGCUGAAGUCGCGGUCAUGUCUCGCCCCUAGUGACUGGUUCCAUGUUUUCCCCAAAUUCCAUCAGUUCCAGUCGUCUCGACACGAAAGCAAAGGAUCUGAGGGCAGCCACUAUUUCGACUUCUUUAUCAAGCAAGCAAUACCAUUUAUACUUCUUUUCAAGUGAGCAAUAGAGGAGGAUGUAGCCUGUUUAGUUUCAUUUAAUAAAGAGAGUUUCAUUUAAUAAGUCAUUUCUGGUUUCAUAUUUAUCCGCUGAAGCAAGGUGUGGUACAAGUCGAGUUGGGGUGCGACAGAAAGUUUCAUAUAGAUCCAAAUCAGAUGCUGUGCCAAGAAAGGAGACAUCGACAACAUAAGAUACUGGGGGUCAGGACCAGACAGACUGACUCAGUUGAAAUAGAAGAAUAGAAGAAGCUGCGGUGUCAAAGUAAGCAACUUGCAGGUCUGUUCGAGUGGAACUUACAUUAGAUAGAUAUUGGUAACCAAGGAUAGGAUAGGACACUCCUUCGCCCGAAAAGUAAGUCAAAGGAGAGUGUCGGGUGCACGGAUUUAUACUCUGCUAAGACAAGUUUACCGCUAACAGAGUUUCUGCUCAAUCCCAAUCGGGCAUACAGUUCUGAUUGAAUUAAUACUAGCUAGCUCUUAUUCUUUAUACUCCCAGUUGGGUCUUCAACUUUGGAUUAUUAUUAGUGAGGGGGUGGGGUCUCGUUUCAUUCCUCUACAGGCUGCCGCAUUCCUAUUCUUAUUGGUAGAUGUUUCAUUCUAAUAAGUAUUGGUAAGGUCUAUAGUUUGAAGAUAAUAAACAGAAUCAUAGGAUGGAGCUAGAGCUAGCUCAUGACCUAUCCUUUCAGACCCGCUUAUUCUUAUUUGACUCAUUUAUGUGACUCAUUUCGGGAGAUUGGAAUCGGUAAAGCAUUGCCUCUGAUACUUAUCUAUGGAAUUGGGCAAUACUCUUAAUAAGGGAGCGGGGGGGAUCUAAACUAUUCUGAUUAUUAGGAAUACCAGAGUUUCAGACCAGAGAAGUAGAUAGUUCUGAAUUCCACUCUUUCUUGCCAACCCAGUACAGUACGAGUAGGAAAUAGAGAGAAAAGCACCUGCUGCCCGGGGUAGUCAAUAGGCCAAGUCUCCAGUGUUUUAGAGUUAUGAGGUAGAUUAGAUUAUUGGCUAAAAUGCACCAGAGGGAUCGUUUCUUAGUUUCAAUGUACUAUUAGCCAUUAGCAGAGUUGACCUUAUGUUAAACGUAUAGAAAGAAGCCUUCUUGCCCAUUUGUAGUUACUUGUCUGGUAGUAGCUUGGCGGGUAUAGUAGCUUGAGUUAGAUGAGAUGGAGGCAAGAACAGAACAGAUAGAGGCGGACUGCUUUCCUGGCACCUACCUACUAGUGUCAAAAUACAGGUGACGAAUACAGCACUUGCUUAUCUUAAUAACUACUUCACUUGAGCAACUAGGAGCUGAGCUGAAUCUACUGUUCCAUAUUAUUAAUAUACGAGAACAUAUAGACUCGAACAGGCAAUAAGAGUUGACGAACACAGGACUCGGUAAGAACUUGUACAGACCCCCUGAGCUCCAAAAAACAGGACUUGCAGUAGUCGCCCUUACUUAUAUGAAAGCUGCUUGUCUGGCAUUGAAAGAGACUAUCCCAUACCGCAACACCUAUACCUAUUGCCAGAAUUCUUAAUUGAACUUAGUGAAUACCCGAUAGCCCUGCUUCAUCUCUUACAGCGGAUUCUGGAGCCUCUUCUCCGUGGGCAUUAGAAAUAGAUGCCUCACACACCGCUACGUGGGCAGUUUCUAUCUUUUUCUUGACUUUCAUAAUAGAAGUUAGUUAAUAAUAACAGAGAAUAUAGAAAUAAUAGAAUAUAAUGGAGAAUAGUUGAACAGAACCACUUUACGAUGAAACUAGAACAUCACUCAAAAGAGCGGGUAGGGCUUUAUACGCAGCACCCAUAAUAGGCACCCACAUCUAUUGCCUAGCCUAGCAUAUACAAGGAAUCCGUUCUUGUCUUAUUCUUAUUCAUAGACUUACUUGUUCCAUUCUGACAGUUUGAGUCUUCUAAGCUUGCCCUCUCAAGAUUCCUGUCCUGUUUGAGCCCCGGCAAAUGAUUCUUCCCAGGCUAAAAAGAGUCCUCCCUGACUAAAAGGAUUCUCUCUUUACUAAAAGGAGUCCUCCCUGUCUAAGUGCUGUGUGCAAUCCCUUUAUUUCAGUUAUGCGCUAAUAAAUCCUUCUUGUUGAAAUUCUGUUACUACGCAGUUUUGCUUGCGUUAGGUAAGUUUGAAGUGAGAAAUUCCAUUGAUGUUUGACUUGGCACAGUCGCAACAGUGUUUCAUGCUCUAACAGUCCUGUAGAAAGCUUGCAGUCCAGUGACAAAGUAGAAAGUGGCUUCCACCCUUAAACAAGACUGACUCUUAACACGUUAUAUAACAUAUUGAUGUUGCUACUGACGCCGAAAACAGAAGUGGGCUUGGCUCUUUGCCUUUGCCUAAUUCUUUGCACUUUCUUUGCCUUUGUAGUAGUUGGUAGUUGUGGCUGGGCUGUUGACUACUAGAGUUUCACUAGAGCUGCUCUUAUAGUAAGUUGUUUGUAUACUUAAGGGAGUUGCUAAGGUUAACUUGGCAGAUCAGAAGCUGUUUAAAGUAAGUCAUCAGCAAACGUUCAACGAGCCCAGAAUAAGCUUUAUCCUGAUUCAAAAGAAAAAAGGGAGACUAAGGGUGGAAAUGGAUUAAGGCAGGCCAGAUUCAUAAGAUAGAAAUUCUUAUAUGCUUGACUUGACAGUGAUGCGCAAGACUCAGUUAAGCGCUAAGUUGAGUUGUUGACUUUACUGGCGAAAAGGAGUAAGAUUGGUUGUCAACGAGAGAAUCCGCUGUUCGAAAGGAAGCUGCAAGACGCUCCUAAAGUAUAGAGUCAAGAAAAAGUCCUGUUUUCUGGUGUCAAAUUAAUGAGUUGGACUGUAGGAGAGUGGACAUAGUAGAUUCCACAAAAGAGGAGUUGACCCGCGAUGCUCAAAGGUAGACUUUCUUUGUUGACCGGGCAGUAACUAAAAUGAAGGGUGGGCUAUGUAUUGACUAUUUCUAUACCAACCGAUGUGCUCUUUACUUCAACUCAGACUUUCUAACUGAAACUAGCAAGUCAACACUUCAUUUAUGGAGAGCGCCAAUCCAAUAUCUCCCGUAAGCGCCGAGUACACUAAUACUUAUUCCCUUUCGAGCGCAUGUCUAUAUGUUAGUAAUCUGGCCUCCUUCUUGACCUCUAUGCGAUCAAAGCAACAAAGAAUUCAUUGAACUCUUUCACUUCCCUUGUUUUAAUAAGAUAGAUAAGAUUUAGAGGCUGUAGAGGCAGUAUCAGAGGCUAAAGAGCGAUAUCCAGCUUCUACUAUUUCCAUUCAUUAUUCUCUUUAUAAAGGAGAGUCAGCUGAUGGAGUCAAAACUACCACUGAACCACCCAUACAAGUAUGUAACCAAGCCCGACCCAACCCCCACUUCAAGUUCAGAAGAAGCCUACGAUGGGGCUGGAUCAGAUGAUGCAAUCGGUACCUAUUUCUUUGAUACCGGAAUUAGGCCUUGAUUCUUUAUAUCUUAUUGAUUAGUUAGUUCUUUAAAAACUGGGCUACGUUGCUUGGUUAGUAGUUACUGGGCCUGGUCUCUGUUUCUGUCCGGAAGGUAUUAGUAACUGACCUCAUUCUGUAAGGAAAGAGAACUGGGCUAGGGCAAGGUAGUGAACUCGUUAUCCGUGGCCAUUCGUACUCAUAAUAUUCUAAUGAGAAAAUCAAUGUCGAAACAACAUGUGCAGGGCAGGGCGAUCGGACGUGCAUGGUUCGUUCGUUCAUCUAUGGUUCCCGGGCAAACUACCUUGGACUUACUAGCUCGGUUCUUUAAGUACAAUAACUCAUUCAUUGAUUCUUCGGUCGACAUCCAUCCCCACAUGCAACAAUGGUCCCCGGGCAUAUAAAGUACCUCGGGAAUUCCUUCGUUCGUUCGUGCACCAAUGAAGGAUUGAAUGACAGCGGUGGUCGCUCGUGGGCUGAUGAUUGAACCUCCCGUGCGUUAUUGAAGACUUAGUUCCUGGCCGCUCGUGGACUGAUUGGUUCUACCUUUCAGAAUGAGGUUUCCUACUAGCAUUUAUUGUUGACCUACCUGUGAAUUAAUUACCUAGGGGCCGGACCACCAUGAACGAAGGUCCUACCAUGAUGCACGUACACGAUGGUGAUGGUGAUGGUGAACGAUCGCUCACUUAUUAAAGGUGGUCGCUCGUGGACUGAUGUGCUCCUCAAGGACUAUGUGUUUUUACCUUUCAUUUCAUAAUUAGUCCCUCGCCUAGGAGGUGUGAGCAAGCUUAUAUCCAAGGUCGGGCAAGUUUACGGACGAGGUCGUUCAAGCUUAUGGACUUCAAUCAAUCCCUGUUCGUUGUUGGUUGUUCGAUCAAUAUGUUCUCGUAUAGUAAAUAAAGUAAUAAGAAAAGAAAGAAAAGAAACACUCUAUGAGCGAGCAAAGGCUGCUUUGAUAUCUGUAGUGAAAGCCCUAUUCCGAUUAGUAAUCUCUAUGCCAAUUAGUCUAUUUGGGCAUGUUCCAAUCUAGUGGCGCAGUGCUCUAUCCGCCAAGUAAUGUAUAAUGUGUAGCGGCGUUAGUGACUUUCUUAUUGGAAGUAGCGAUAGUCCAUAUUUUCCACUUCGAUGUCUUAGAGCUAUGCCCGAUAUCCGGUAUUCUGUCUUUCAUUCCGGCUUUCCCUUAUUAGCAUCAGUAGGUAUUAGUAUUUGUAGGCUCCCCAGCCCGAUCAGUAUUAGGUAACUUAUGAGUUUGAUGCCCCAGUUCAAUUCUGUGACUUACUUGCUCGAUUCUUGUCAGCACUAGUCUCAUAUAUGGGUUGAAAAUGCACUAGAACAUCACUUUUGUAGUUUGAUGGCGGAUCCUUCAUUGAAACAUAUAAAUAUGAGAAAGAUAGAAUACCUAGCUCAUGAUUCUUUACCUAAGGUAACCUCCAAUGCCUUUCUCUUGCGCCUCUGAAACUCUCCCUAUCGGUAUGAAACAAGAACCAGAACUUUACUACCGGGAUUCCACUUCACGGGGCUCCUGCCGCAUCACCGAACACAUAGGGAGUCAGUAUAUGAAUAGGGUCAGAAUGGAACAAGCCAGGCUGGGUACUAAUGAGAAGGGCAAUAAUAAAUAAUUGCUAGCGCAUGAAGUAAUAGAAUGAAUAUUGUUAUAGAAUAGUUUGUAUAUGAAUUAGAAUAAGACAAGAUAGCAUUAGUUACUAAGAGGGAUAGAUCUAGCGCAUCUAGUAUAGGAGUCAAGAGUUCCGGUAUGAAAUACUAACUACAUAGGAGUCAAGAGUUCCGGUAUGAAAUACUAAAUACCAAGAGGAGAAUUCUGUACCGCCAAUUCCGUUUUAGGGGGCUCCGUUUCACAUGGGUCUGUAGAGGCUUGAAGCACCUUGCUUGUUCGAAAGCGCUUGCUAGUUCCCUUGCAUGGGGAGAUAUUCUUUAGUUGCAUCAUUUCCGUUACUUGGGGAGUUCCACUAUCUGCUCUCGGGGCGCUAACGGGCGAAGCCCUGCCCUUGUGCUUGUUGAAUGGAAUCUAGUGAACCAAACCAAAUAUAAUAGAAGAUAGUAACAACACCUUACUACUGACUCUUUCCUGACUCACUUACGGCUUUGCUUCUAAAACUCACGAUCGAACUCCACUCUACCACUUAUUGCCUUAUUGCCCGGUGCACCACGAAAGUAAUUUAUGACUUGUGAAUCUAGCAUAUCGAGAAGAACCCCGCUUUUCAAGGACAGAGGCAGAGGUCUCCUUUCGAAGUUUCUACUUGCUAAGUUGUGCAUGCAUUAGCUAGUUCCAUUUCCAGCCCCGAGUAGUGGUAAAAGUAGCAUAUGACAGAAUCUAGUAAACAAGCAGCUUCCCGUUCUUUAUUAUUCUAUUUCCUACUUUACUAGGUGUUCGAUAGACUCAAUGAAAAUCCAUUCCAAUAUCAGUUGAGUAAGCUGUUAGCUUUGGAGUAAAGGAAUACAGUACCAGUAGUGAGUAAGCUGCAGAAUGGACGGAUUUGAGGGCCCUUAGCACAAGGUGUCUUAGAGAGAGAGAAUCGUAAGUGACAAGAUCAUAUCUGCGGGAUCCUGAGUUGGCGCAAGGCAGGCAGCAGCAAAGCAAUAUAUAAGUCUCUUUUUGUUCCUUGAAAAAGGGAAUAGACAGACACUUGACAAACUCAAUAUUCUAUACCAGGUUAGCCGGAGGUAUUGAGAUAGAAUAGCGACCCUAUUGCUCUUAACCAACCCAUCCCUACUAAACAGGGCUUACUCAUAAGUUGACUACUGACUCCCUUCUUAUGGGCUUACUCAUAACUAGUAACUGACUUCAUAGCCUAGUAACAGAGGAAUUCCACAAGCCUACCCCUUAACUAGACACAUGGCAAAACAGGACCUGAACAAAACACAUGAUAGGCAAAACUAACCCAUAAUAGGCGCAACCACAUCUAUUCUAGCGACACCCCCACUAUUCAUUCCAAACACACUCUCGACUAAGAAUUCCACUGAAGCGACUACCUUCUUGCCCUCACUGGGUUGAUUCUUUAACUACUUAGGUCAGAGUUCACUUUCAUUCUCACUUUCCAACUAGCUCCUACUAGCUCCUACUAGCUCACCUCUGAGUACAAUUAUAUAACUUAGUUAACAAGGCUUAUACCCACUAGUUCCAUUCCGAUACUGAGAUUGACUGGUUUCACUCUUAGCCACGCCCCCGCUGGUUCAUUCUUAGUCAUAGGAGUUUCAUUCUGACCUUUGAGUUCACCCCGACCCGAGUGGAAUCAUAUAUAAAGAGAAGAUCUAAUUUAGUAUGAUUUCCUCUACUGUGUCGGUACUAGUGUCUUGGCCACCUGUUUUUCGGUUAAUUUAGCUCUUUCUACAGUGUUAAGUCCACUACCCUAGCCUCGUAUAGGAAUUCCAUAACUACCCUAACAAGCAAGUAAGUAAACGACACUACCCAAGUAAGUAAACCAGCCGACCCUACCCUCGUAUAGGAAUGCAACUCUUAAGUAGAAGCCUUAAAGCCAGGGCAGUGAGACUGAAAGCAAAAGGAUAGUGAUACUGAGAUGAAGUAGCGUAGCGGCAGGCUCGGAGAAGGGGGGCGAUAGACUGUAUUCCUAGUUGAGGGCUAUAAGUCCUGUUAGUCAAGGUUUCGUUCUUGUACUUCUUAUAGUAGUUUGAUCACUUUGGUAGUUAGUUAGGUCUAUUAGCGAACUAGUGGAUCCUUGCUCCUAUUAUUAGUUGUAAGGUUGGAAAGAGAAGAAGGGGAGGCACACAGGCUAGGAUAAAUCAAGGGAAGUCUAAAUAUGUUCCCCCGGGUUGCAAAUAUUGUUCAUAGUGGUUCGAUUCGUAUAGUUAUUAGUUGGAUUCUGAUUAUAAGUCAGUUAAGUCUAUUCCAGUAUGUGCUACAUCGUACCUAUGAGUUGUGGGAAUACCUAUUUGUGGUGUGUGUCGUCAGGUAGUAAGCCCUAGAUAAGGGAGAUAAAGAAAUGAAUAAGGGAGUUUCUGUUUUCAAGUAAGCAGUAGAAACCUAAGGCAUUAUAAUCAGAAUAAGUGAUGUGUUCGUACCUGGGUAAAGGAAUAGACACCACACUCUGGAUCAGAGGGAAUCCAAAUAAUAAGUCAAUAAUAAGUAAGGAUGCAUCACCAGAGGAACUCGAAUGGAAAGUGAGAAAGUAAGCCCGAGAGGCAGUAAUGCAAAGGUGUGAUAUCGGGUAGUGAAAGCCCAGUUUCAAGUUCCAGUAUUGCUAGCAGUGUUUUGAUUCUGUAUUAUUGGUUGGAUUCCCUGAGAGGGAGGUGUCCUAUAGUGAUAUAAAGUCAAGUACUACUGAUAGCUAGUGCAGUUUCGUAGGCAGUAAGCAAGGUUUGAGUUAAGUAGUUGCAGAGCCAAAAGAUAGAUCUAGGUUUAAAGCAAGUAAGGAGCCCUGCCCGAAGCAAGUAAGUAUCCAAAGCAGUAUUUAAGGAAUCCGAGUAAGGGAAGUCAUCCUAAAAGGCGAGUACAGUAAGUCAAGUCGUUAGGAAAAUCAGAAUCAAAGAAAGGGCCAAGCAAGUACUAUACUUAUGACUUGUCUCGGCCGAGCACUCCCUUAUAUCAAAUCGGUACUCUUGCCUCUUAGCCUAACACCCUAUACUUAAAUUCUCUUACUUAUUAUCGCCAUUCUGACUUGCAAACAAACCCCCGCUCCUGUCUACUACUACGGAUGAUAGGCUGUUACCACUCACUAUGGCUUUAGCCUACCCUUUCUUCAUCUAAGGCUCGCUCCCCUUGCUUUGAAACUAUUUCUCCCCACCUUAACUCUUUAACUCAUGCCUAAUAACCUGUCUUUACAACUUCUUUUCAUUCCAUUCCUUAACUAAUAACAAGGGCUCUCGCUACAGCUUCUAAGACUAAUGGCUAUUGCUGUCAGGACUUCAGUUACUGCCUAACAGGCUUACCUUUCUGACUUUAUAUAAAAUCGUAGUUGGCUUAUCGGUCUAUGAAUGAUACUGGAAAUAAGUAAUAAGUAAUCAAACUGCACCUAUAGACUCGAACAGUUACUCAUGCUUUUCACUCUCUAGCUCCUGAUCUCAUAUCUUGACUUUCUAUAGAAGCACGAGAUUCAUAGCUGGCUCUCUCGCUUCUAAUUCUGAGUAUGUCUCUCCCGUCUUUAAGGCUGCCUUUCCUUUCUUCUAUUCUUUUCUUUCACCGUUGAUCCGGACCUUUGCUUUAUUGUAUUGUAUCUUAGCCUACAUCUCCUGUUUAUUGGUCUGUGGCUACUUCCUGGCAUCCUUGCUUCCACAGAUAAGUCUACCGAUCCUUAAACUCAGCACUAGCAUUCUGGAUUUCACCUAUGAGCCUGCCUCUUUUGUCUUUUAAACGGAUAUUUGCUUGAGAAUAUUCUGACUAUCCUUUGUCUCGGCCUAUCACUACUGCCUUCAAGUCUGCUCUUCCUGUCUUUGAUUCUGAUUCUACUCUAUUUACUACUAUCUGAGAAGUUUGACUCUAUUUACUACUAUACUAGAGCUAGCAAUACCUUAACAAGUACGGGCAAGGCGGGUAUUACUAUAGUGAGAAUGAAAUUCCAAUAGGUAGGAUGAAACCACUGAUUGAAAGAAUAAACACCGAUAACAAGACAACAGCCUUCAAGUCAGAACUAUACUAAUAUAAAUGACUUUUCUCCUCCCCCGUCGGAAUAGACUAGUGCACAACCCCCCGAGUCAGAAUCGAAUCUUACCCGACAACAUUCAACUAACUACUCCCCAACCCGAGGUCUGUAACAAGGGAUUGCACCACAGCUAGCAAGGCUAUAGGCUUACACAAUACGCUAAUAGAGGGAACGGAGCCCCAACUUGAUCAAAGCUGUCCUUCCUUUCUCCUAUUCUCUGUACUACUCUUUGUAUUCUUUAUUUCACUCAGAAUUCUUCUACUAAUUACCUAGAACCCUGCUUCACUCAACUAUAACCUGGCUCGUGAGUUUAGGUAUUCCCCUCCUUGCUGUUAGCCAGCCUCUCCUUUAUCUAGUUCUUCACUACUAAGAGCUAUUGUAUAAGAAUAAGUCAAUCAAUGCUAUUACACAUAAGAAGAAGUAUCUCGAUGGCGCAUCCCUCUUUUCUGGAAUUCUGAGAUCAAUAUCUCCAUUCUCCAUAUCUCUAUUACCUCUUUGACUCUCUGUUUCACCUCGGAUUCUUUGCCUACUGGGCGUAACCCUUACUGCUAUGGGGAGUGGAUCUGACUUUAAGUAAUGCUAACGAUACUUGCACUGGAAACUGGGGCUUCUCAUAACCAACCUCAAAACAGGCAAUCCACAGCUAAUACCAUUGGAACUAAGCUCGCUAGCCAUAUUCUUUCAACCAUGUUCUUUAAACACAUAUCUAUUGGCCGCGUAACAUUAGGUCUCUUCACUUGUGGGUUUGUCUCCCUUUACUGGUACUAUAAUAAGGCUUCUUUCACUCUGUCCUUCCCGACUACUGGUCUAAUUAUCCUGUCUCUAUUUCAGUUACUGCCGGUACUUACUUUAGAUCCUGACUAUUAUAAGUAUACAGCUACUUGCUCUAAACUGUUCUUUCUUGAUGACAGUCUGAUUCCACUAUUCCGAACUCCCUCUUAAGGGAUUCAACUAAUUCACAAAGAGACUAUCCUAAAGGCAUCUAGAAAGCUGCCCUCGCUGAAGCUUAUUAUUCUUCUGGUUGGGCCUGUAGCACUCCCUUCCGGUAAGGGUUUAGCGCUUAACCAACUUGGACCCCAUAGAAAAGCGAGUAAUCAAUAAGAUAAGUUAGGCAAUAGCAUCAGUAGAAUCAGGAUAGGUAGGCAAUAAGUAGAAUAAGGAGAAAUAGGCAAUAAACCGCUAAUCGAUAUGAUAUAAAAUAACGUUUACAACAAAUACAUAAUGAGUAGGGCCAUUAGGAUACUUUCACUAGUACCGAUAAGAAUUAGAGGCGUUUAAGUUCAAUACGGAUUGAGAUGUCAGUAGUGGAAGUCCUGUUUCCUGUAUCGCUAUGGGUUUACUUGCUCUCGUUCUUACUGCUGUAUUUGAGUCUGAUAGCAAUGGUUCCCCCCUAUGGGUGGAGAGUACAAAAACGGAAGAAAAUCACUGGUAACAAGGUGCGAACUCAUACUAAAAGGAUGCAACGGGAACUCCAGCUACUACCGAUAAGACCUUAGCUCACAACUAGGGCUUGCACGACCUAUUUAAAGAAUGGAACGGAGAACUAGGGCGGUACCUCUAAGAAAGUAACUACAACAAAAAAGGAUUGAGCACAGAACUAAGGCUUUGACUCCUGUGUGGGACAUACGGAUCUUUUGACCGUAUCUUAUGGCCUGUGACUCCUUGCUAUGACUCUUGCCCCUCUGACUUGUAUUCUCCUAUAAUUACUGAUCCUUACUUGUAUUCUGUAGUUCGAGUUAGGGUCUUGCCUCUCCCUAUGAACUGAAAGUAUUGCUUGUGAGUUUGAGUAUCCUAAUUGCCUACUUCAUUCAUUAUUCCGUUUAUUUAGAUUAAUGAUUAUGUUAACUUAUAUUGAGAUGUAUUGAUAUAUAUGGACAUGUAUUGAUAUGUGUUUUAUCGUACUGUAAUUCGAGCGAGGAGAGUCCACUAUAGCUCGACAGAAGGAGAGGAAAUCAAUCAAUAAGGGGUAGGGUUUAGUACCAUACGCCGGGUGUUGUUGUGCCAUAUACUAGGCGCGGGUUUCAAUCCAAUCAAUAGGUGUGUUGCGUGUAGCAAGGUAUAGUUUGGAAAUGCAAAAUCCCCGGGAAGGUAAGUUGAGAGGUAUAGCUUAGCUCGGGAAGGAGAGGUCUAGUUCGGGAAGGGGCAGACGGAUUUGCUAUGUUUUUCACAGGGGCUUAGUUCCCGCCCAAAAGCUUCAUUGUUAUAGUGGAAUCCAAUGUCAAAGUUGAGUUCAUUGCUAUGCUAGAUGUCGGAUGUAAAGAAUAAUAGUAAUGUCAAGAAGAAUAGUACGUAGACGGGCGAAGGCGAUCGAUCCUAGAGUGUGUUUGUAUUGUAUGCCAUACCUAGCCUAGGGUUUCAAUCAAUGUUUCUUCAAUCAAUGUUUCAAUCACCAUACUCUGGUGAAAAUCCAUAGGUGUGUGUUGCCCCGGAGAGUCCUUAGAGUGUUUUUACUUGCUUCUGUCUUUUCUCAUGAUAAUACGGAUGCACAUACUAGGUUAGUUGGCAAAGAAAUCAAUCAAAAGAUGUAGGGAGCGUUGGUAAAGAAGGAGCUCAUGUCCACUUUAUAGCAAUGGUAGGCGAGAAGGAGCACGUACUAUAUACUCUAAGGUUGGUUCAAGUAUAACUAUACUAUAGGUUGGUUCGAGUGAAGUCAAUUCGGAUUUAGUGCCUAGAUUCAUAUUCUCUCUCAUGUGUUUCUAUGCUUAUCUAUUAUAUUAUAUUACAUAUGUUUCUAUGCUUAUCCAUUCCAUAUGUGUUUCUAUGCUUAUCUAUUAUCUUAUUCUAUGCUUAUCUAUUAUCUUAUAUAUUAAUACAACCAAGAUGUAGUAUAUUUGGUGCAAGCAUUCAUUUCUUUUCGCCUAUCUAUUAUAUCUUAUUUUUUCUCACACUUUUGUAUCUUUUUCUCUUGUCUCUUCAUUCUAUAUUAGUAGGGUAAAUUAUAGUCGCAUUCCUGUUAGCACUAAUUGAGUUCUGACUUUUGCCCCAGCAACUGAGACGGAUCCUCACUUAUGGUAUAGGCGUUAGGGUGUGAAAGUAAAGGCUUUCAAUUGAUUCUAAGCUCGAGUAGAGGUCCUCAAUGAUCUAUUUCCCAUAAAACCCCGUAAGUGCCGUUCUAGUUCAUUUGACACUAAUCACUAGUAAGCAUCAGAAUCAACAACACUACCAGACCAGUGAGCAUAGGGCUAGGAACCUAGACUAAGCAUGGUAACCCAGGGACGCCUACGGUAAUGAAAGCAAGCAAUGGAGGCUGACAAACUCUGAUCCGAAUCCGGUUUUCAAAUAACAAUACAGAGAAGAAAAGCAAGGUAGGUAAGACCUCUAGGACGGAUAGUUAGAUUUAGAUGAGUACACCACUCGCAUUACAGCAGUAGAGGUAGCUUAGGUAAGACAGAGCAGGCUUCUAAAUAGGAUAGUAAGAACGAGAGCUAACAAAGCAAAGAUCCGGUUCGUUCAGUAACAAAGGGCAGGCUCGGGGUAAGACUUAGUCCAUUGUUUCAUUCUUCCCAGUCGUCUCGUAGGGUAGGUAUUGCUAGCCUCUUAUAUGCAUAGAGUCGUUUCUUGCUUUUAAGACAGUGAUUUCAGUCUUCUAGUUUACAGUUACAUUCUCUCUUCCCGGUUUAGUUAUUAGAGAUAGUAGUUAUCAUUCCAAGGUAGUAAGUGAAAGUGCUAGUUCCUAGGUUCCGUUUUGCUAAGCUCUGGUUCCAUCCUAAUUAGAUUAGUCAUGGCAUCAAUCAGUCUUAUUGCUAGUAGGGCGGGCUGGCUCAUUCUCCGGGCGGUAAGGAUGAGAUCAAGUCAUAGUAUCCUAUUAUUACUAUACAGCAAAAGCAAAAGUCAUUGAAGUAAUAGUGCCCGGGGGUCUGCUAACAGAAUUCGUUAUUCCAUUUUCAUAAUUAGUACUUUGCCGAUGUCCGGAAGAUCACCAAUGCAAUGCGUGAACGAUGUUGUCCGAAGACUAAUUGGUUGCACUUUCAGAAUGAGUGACUAGGGUACCAAUUGAAGACCGGCCAAGGAACGGAUAGACAAGCAAGUCGGAAGUCAACUCCUCUUAUGUAUGGUCCACAGCACUCCUUACGCGAGAUCACCUUUAGUUAGUGAGUAAGCAGUGAUUCUAUUGUUUCUGAUCUGAUCCUUCGACUUAUGAGUCUUCUUCCUCAAACUAACCAAGCAACGUAUAAAAAGGCAAAGAGCGGUCACUAAACAAAUAGGGAGUCUAAGGUUUCCUGUAAGAAUUGAACUCAGUAUUGACGGUCUAAGAAUAUUCUUAAGGGCCUGUACUAUACUUCUUUCCCAGAACUAUCCUUUCUUUUCCUUUCCUUCCCACAACAAGUAACGAAUACAGGGUGGGGCUUCUAACGCUCUGUAGAGGGUAAAGGAAAAUCCGUUAAUGGAACUUUAGCUGAUGGACUUGUUUCUUAUACCGAGUAAACAAAUCAUUCAAUCUUUCCAGCACCAGGUAUGGAUCCUAAGUAAAGACAUAGCUUGUGAACCCUUUCGCCCGGCAGUAGAUCCCCAAAACUUGACUUGUGAAAGGGCUCGUUAACGCUUCUGCAGUUUCUCAUUCAACAUUCUAUUCAGAACUGAUGCUUGCCCACUUGCUAUGUUUUUAAGAAUUCAGUUAGAUGAGCCAGAGGCUGAGGAGAAAGAGGUGUAGUUAGACGAAAUUAGGACUCACAAGAUAAGCACUUGGUUAUGACCAGUUAUUAUGUACUUAUGUUUCUUAACGUAAGAAUAGAUUUCUGACUUGCUAUGUGCUCGGGAGUAAGAGAAGAGGAUAAAGAAUAUAGAUCCGGUAAAGGCAUAAGUACUGAGAGUGGGAGUCUAGGUAUAAUCCUUAAGAGGUGGGCAAAAGGGAGACAAUAAACUCUCUAUCGGGGUAAAGUACUGGCUUUGAAGCGCAAAGUAUAGUUCUUGUUUCAUCUUAUAAGGAAGAUCCGACAGAAUGCUUAGGUGCAAGUAAGAGGUCAGGGCAGACUAUUGGCUAUUGAAGCGCAACAAAGUGUGGUUCCUGUGUUACCGACAAUAGAGAUUAUACCAAGAACAUGAAGUAUGGACUUGUUAGUUAGGGAACGAAGUUGAUAUUCCUACGAGUUACUAAGUUGAAGACAGUCAUAAGCAAGUCCUGUGUUCAGAGGAAAGAACCAAAUAGGGCACACAAGAGGUCAAUUUCUCUUCUUUGAAGCUCAGACACUGUUAGCCCUUCCUUUUUCCCUAUAGAUGGUCAAGGUAGUAGCUUCAGUAACAGCUCUUGCACCCGGGAAUAGGCAAGGAGUAUGCCCACAGCGAAUCGAACGUAUAUGUUAUCUUCCAAAUCCUAAAAUGAGGUAAGAAGAGGGGAAAGCCCUAUUAAUAUACUUACUGCUGCAAGUCCUUUCGUCGUCGCCCUCGCCAACCCUAGUGCAACUAAAAAGCAAGAAUUGACCUCUAUAUAGCUAACCUAGUGCUGUUUCUCUAAAGUGAGAAUUCCACUCCCCCUCGCCAACCCAGUGCUUUUAGAUGAAAGUGAGAAUUCCACUCUAAAGUAGGAAACUUGUACACAGAAGAAUGACAGUAAAAAGGUUUGAAUUGAAAUUAGCCAGAAGUAUAAUAGAAGCAGAGCGGGUAAGAGGUAUAAUAGAAGCAGAGCGGGUAACUCACCAGAAGAGGGUAACUGCGCUCUCCACUCUUAAGUGUGAAUUGAAUGGAACUCCGCGUAGUAAGAAAUAGAGGAAUUCGGCAGGUCUGAUAGAUCUUAGUAACACUUAUGUGCCCUUUCUAGCCGUGCCCCCUUCAUUGAAUAAUAGAAUGAACUUCACUACGCCCCCCAACGCCUCAUUUUGUAAUAGAAGAAGUCCGCUGGAAAUAAAGAAUGAACCUUGAAAGUAAGAGUAGAGGAAUGAGGUUGGUUUCAGCUUUCAAGUAAUAAGAACAGGUACGGUACGAUAUAGCGUAUUAGGAGAUAUACUCUGAAUAUCAAGUCGUAUACAAAGAAUGGGUAUUAUAUAGUGCAUUAAGUAUGAAGUAAUAGAAUUAGUAACUACAAAAGUAAGGGCUCUUUCUAUCUCACCAACCCGACAAGCUAAUACUAGCUCUAAAGUCAGAAUGAAACGAACAAGUAGGAAAGGAAUCAGGUAACUCCUGCACUGUAAGAAAGGAAUCAGGUGAACUCCUAGUGGUGCUCUUAACCAACUAGCUAGUAGUGCUCUCAACUACAAAGGCAUCAUUCCACUCAAAGCAAAGAAUUCCACCAUGCCUACCUAGUGCUCUGAACCUACCUAGUGCUAUGUGCUCUUAAGAAGGAAAGGAAGCUAUUUUGUCUAUCUUUUCUCAUGCUCCGGUUAAGGUAAAGCUACAACCAAAUCAGAGGAGAGGCCUGGCGUUGAAGAAUGAGGUUACGGUGAUUGAUUGAUUGGCAAACAAAGCAAUAAGUGAAAAGGGUGUUGAGCCCGCUAAGUACUUUCAAUCAGGGGCCAGCAGUGGAUUCCAUUACAGUUUUCGGCGAUAGUUAGUUUGAAGCGCAAAGUCAAUCAGUAUAGUAUGUAUCUUUGGGUGCUCAGUGUUCAUAAAGUUAUGUUCGAGUGUUGUCUACUGGAUCGCAUGCUGUGCUUUGAAAUGAUGUUCUAAAGUGAAGUUGCCAGUUCCUGUGCGAGUGAUAGUCUUCAGACCGAGGGGGAUAGUUUACAGUAUAGGUCUGUUAUUCAAGUGUAGUUCAAGGUUCAGUUUCAAGUGCUCCAAGUGGGUUAUCAGAAAGUGACGUGAAAUUGUCUAGUAGUAGCUUGGCGGGUUGUGUUGUUUACUUACAUGUUAUGGUAGGGUGAUUUACUUACUUGUUGAAUGAAGUGACUAGGCUAGGAAGGCAGUUAGUAGUUAUGAAGUCUGUUACUAGGCAAGGGUAGUUUACUGACUUGGCCGGUAUUAAACAAGAACUCGAACAGGAACAGAAAGGUAGAAAACUCUCGAGUAAGAAGAACACCGGAAGGUGGAAAACAGAAUACUUAUAUAUCUGCGGAGCUAUCAGACAAGCUACCACGGAAGGUAUAAAACAACAGAAUCAAACCGGAACUAAUUGAGAGAAAGAGAACUCCUCUGCUUUGCCCUCUUCAGCCUUACCUUCACUUUCAUGCUUGGAUCACUACUAGCCAAGUAUAUACUAGACUCGUACAUAAAUAGGUUAUAACUCGGCAAGAGCAAGUCUGAAUUAAUAGCUAAAGUAAGCUUACACGUCGGUUAAGGCAGUGGCCCCAACAAGUAACUACUAGAGCGAGAAACUGCUUUAAUAGAAGUAAGGCUCGGAGCCCCAACAAAUCAGAAUUCAACUAGAUAGGAUGAAACAAUAGAAGCCUAACUAUCCAUGCGCUAGAGAAAGAAGCGGGCCUCGGGUAUUGGUCACAUCUUCAGGAGUCUUGCCCACUUAUAUAUAUACUAAAUCAACGAGCUUCUUGAUACGGUCCCCACUUUCUCUGUUGUUUUAACCUAUGUGAAACAGAGCGUAUGUCAUAUGGCCUCUUACUUAAGCUAGCAUAAGUCUCUUCAAUUUCAUUUCGCGUUAAUUCCACCCUUGUUAAUCCUAAACCAUUAGCUUUUCAUUUGCCUUACAUCAAGCUAUGUUGUACAAGAAUAGCUAACCAAUUCGAAAACUGUACGAACCUGGAAGGAGCGUCGAGCGGUUGCCGCAUCAAUAGAGUUCAUAUAGCUUAUAACUUCGGGCUUCAUAAGAACAUAUUCAAUCGUUCCUUAUCACUUGACUAUCCGCCUUGUCCCACAACUCGUAAGGUAAGCAAACCAAGGAACUCCUAAAGUUGUUCGUAAAGUGUUUCUCGGGAGUUUCUCCCUUAUGUAUCUUUCUGCUCAUAUACAGUUUAUGGUCGUAUUCUCAUAUGAUGGCGUUGAGAAUCUUCGCCCCGAGUUCUAGCCCAUCAAGACAGGAAGAGAAGGCAUUCGUCAUCGGCUUCCCUGAGUGUUUAGUCGGGCAUACUGUCUUAGGUAAAGGGGUAGGGUCAAGUUUACCGAGUCGGGGGGGUGGAAUCCAAUCUGAUUUCUCUCUCCGCGGGCUCAGUUAGUUUUCAAAUGAGUGGUUAUUAUCUAUCAAAGAGCGAAAUUGGAAAUAGCUAAAAAAGGUAGUCUAUAAGGAGGGUCUCAUGGUUUAGAUAAGCAAAGAGACUCAAUUAUGUGUAAUCUCUCUGUCAGCGCUUGUUUCGACCGCUAUCCCUUAGUGUUGCUGGGCUAACUUAAGUCUGAAAAGUAGGACUCGCAAGUGCAUUCAGUUAAUUAACUAAGGAAAGCUCUAGGCUAGGUCGCAGAAGAAGGGAUAUCCGCCUAGAAUCGCUUGGUAGUCUCCCCUCUCAUGAAAUUGUUAACCCUAGACUGCUCAUAGUAUCCAACUCGAAUGGUAGUAUUUCGAACUACUCGCAUCUAAGGUCAACCCCUCGACACCAAUAUGACAAACCUAUGAUCUUAGCGCCACGACAGCAGCUACUCAAGUUCGAAUCUAAUGAUACAGGUGCCCCGUUAGUUUCCAUCACUCUCUCACCCCCGAAUGAACAAUACAAUACUAUUGGCUUUCGCCCUUCAGGUUGCUUCUGCUUGAGAUGUCCGAUUAGAGUGAUACGUAAAUUCUGGUUUCUUGAGCUGGUCUUGGGUAAAGCCAAUCAAUCAACCCCUACGGCAAGCGCCUCAUCUUCGCCACCGAGCUUAUUUGCGUCGUUUUGUGCCUCAUUUUCGAGUCACUCAAAUCCUUAAUGUCGUUGCUUUUAACUGACUGAUGGAAUUAUGGAACAAGCAAAUCCUUUCUAGAAGCAAACGCCAACAUGAAACCUUACUCCACCAGUGGAAGCAGGACGGACAAUCUGUUUAGUUAGCCAUAUAAUCCUUCAGUGCACGUCCUUUUACAUUGCUAAAGGCUCUAGGCGGAGUAGCAGGAACAAGAUGUAAUUAGUUAUGAGCCCAAACGAUGGAUUCCAUGAAUUCUUGCCAAUAACACCACGGCUACGGAAUAGAAUCAUGAUACACCCAGACAAAACACCUAAGAGAAAACACAAGAUGCAGAUAAUGAUCAAAACCAUAAGCCCGCUAGACAAGAUGCAGAUAAAGAUGGGAACAAUAAGACGCUAGAUGCCAAUGCCCAUAAUCAAUCUCGGAGCCCACCCCUAUAUAAGAAAUCGAAUAGCCUAUAUAAGAAAUCGAAUAGUCAUUUCACUCAUAGCAAAGUUUCCUCCUGUAAUAAUGGUGACUACUCCUUUAGCACUUAUUCCACCCCUAAACAUCCGACUGCAUUUGACAACUCGAAUGGAAAAUCAAUCACUACCCGAAAUCGCAGAGUACAUCCAUAAUCAACCUAAGAAGACAUGAUUCCAGGCAGAUACUUGACAUGUCGCCCAAUCACAAGGAAAACGAAACCAUAGAUUAGCAUUCUGUUGUCACCCGGAGCUUUUAUGCUGCGCAAUAGGGUGUUUUUACCCAUUGAGCUAUGCAGAGGGUAUAGCGGUCUCAGAAAACAUAUCUUGGGGCCGCCCUCAAGCGCUCGCGGUACGUGGUAUAAUUAUGAAUAUACGAUAUAUACGAUCCAAAACAGCCCUCUCUCAAUACAUGCCAUAUGAUUGAUUGCCUCGCGGUGUCUAAGUACACGUGAUCUAAUAUCUUAUUGUAUCGAGAAUAGUAGUAUCAGAGUAUCUUUACCAUGAAAAUGAAUGCAUGUGCAUCAGCACCAACUAUGAGAAACCCACCGAUCCACAUGUAAUGUGUGAACAACGAUGGUUACCCUAGUUAAUUGCUAUGAUUGCUAUGUAUGUAUAGGUAUGGUUACCCUAGUUAAUUGCUAUGAUUGUAUAGGUGGGGAUGUCAUACAUAUAGUGAGCUACAAUACAAUCUUUCUUAUUUAAAAGAGCCUAACAUAGCCAAGUCAGGUUAAGAGAGAAUUGAGCAUGCCACCCGCGUUGUUAGGAUUGAAGAGAGAGAAAGAAUGGAGUCCUUUAUAGCCCUGGCCUGUAAAUGGACCUUUAUGAGCCUAUAGUCUUUAAGGCCAUGACAAUGCCCCAGCCCCAGCCCUGUUGGUUCUAUACGCGAUCAGGAAAAGAAUAGCAAUAGCUAAUAAGGUGUGAUCAAUAGCCAUAGCUAAUCCAUAGCAAAUAAGGAAGGUGUGCAACAUCGGUCAGCCAUAGACCACCUCACCAGUUCUUUUGUUAUUGGAUCCAAUCCUCCACGAAAAGAUGGAUUUGGUGUCCCGCCCAAGAAGGAUACCUUCGUCCUAGUAACCCCUGCAAAGAAAGUCGUUCUUUUCUUUUACAUUGCCAGCAAAGUAUCGAGUGCAUGCAAAAUCAAUAUCUUACCAACGAUGGCACUAUUAUAUACUAAGGAUGUUUUCGUUUACCUUCUACUUCCUUGGUGAACUUGGUGCCAUAUUACUUCCACAGGUGUAUCGAUAGGGUAACCUUCUUUCCAUGGAUAACAUAUUCCGGAUCUCUUAUAAUUAGCUUGUGAAACAACCGGAACUGCUUAGUUUGACUUCGAUGCCAAAGAAAUAAGUAAUUAGGACCAAAGUCUCUGUUAUCUCGAACGAAUUCUCCAUUGCUGUAUUAUUUCCAUUCUGGAAUCAUGGUGGGGCCUGUCCGAAUCAAAUAAUAGAAAGAGAAAGGCAUACCAACAAGAUAUCGCCAUGAGAGUUUGUUUGAAUAUAGAGAGCGCGAGCCAGCCCUCUUGAACCAUUAGAAAGGGUGCUUCAUAGACAACAUGAAUAAUCAAACGGGGGGUCGAUGUUCUAUGUUCUAUAUAGAGACCUCUUUCUCGUCUUCAAUAAAUCCAUUAAGAAAUGCCGAUUUGACAUCCAUCUGUCCAAUUUCCCAUUUCCAUUUGAGCUGUGACUCAGGGGAGAUUAGCAAUCUAACUCUUUCCAAUCGAGCUACUGGUGCGAAUACUUCCUCAUAGUAUAUCCCAUUCACUUUUCUACCUUUUCAACCCAUCGGGCCUUGCUCCACCUCUACUUCUUUGUCCGUGUCUUUAUACUAUACUGGAUUUUCUAAUGAAAGCUCAUCAUCAUCAUUAGUAUCCCUCCCUCCUUCCUUCGAGUCACCCCUUUAAGAUGUAGAAUGCAUAGAGAAUUAUAUAGAAAUCAAAUAAUCAUAUAUGGUUGGUUUCAUUGAAAUAGUAUAACUUCUUGUGCUUAUUGUAAUUUCACUUAUUGAAUGAUGGUUACGUCAACCCCAGCUGAUCUAGGUGAUGAUUCAGGUGCUCUGAAUUACGAAUUCUUUUGACAAUGUAAAGGAGAGUCCAUCAGUCCGUCCGGCCUUAGUCAUUCUAUCAGAUACUCCAUUUGGUUGGGGCGUGUAUGUCAUGGUUCAUUUCAGUAUGAUUCUAGAUUCUCUUUCCAAAGAACUUUCAAAUGCAAUCAAUUGAUGUUUAUUCACGACCCUUAUCUGUUCUUAAGCAUUUUUUCCUACCUUUGUAUUUUCACCAAGUUCAUUCAUUCCUGACAUUUACUUUACUUAGAACUUAUUAGCUUGCAUUUCCUUAAGUAAACCUCAGUUUGACCACUAUGAUCAUUAGUAAAGGUAAUAAACUACCUGCUUCUGGAAAGUGAUAUUGGACUGUGAUAAGGUUACAAACAUCUGAGUGCACCAGAUCGAGUCGAUCGAUGCCAUGCUCUUUUUCUGCUUUUCUUCUUUAAGGGCUUCCUUUCUUGUUUGCUCAUGACACACACUUCCUUCACAUGACUUUGUUGGAUCAGUAGGUGCGAAGAAAGUCAAUUAUACUAAAUAACAAGUGGAAUCCUAUAGAUAUAGAGGUGUUCUGCAUUGGUUGAGUCUCAAGGAGAAAUGGAAGGCAGGGUAAAGCAACUCGCUUUAGAAUCUAAUAAAGGAAAGAUAAAGCUAGAGGAAAUCCUAUAGAAGAGUGACGAGAUCCGCUGCUACAUCGGGAAAGGAAUUGGAUCUAAUAUAUCGGAAAGGAACGAGCUGCUUUCCUCCUCUUUGAUUUCUUUCAACUCCGGCUAGGUUGUCUUAAAGACCUAGCGAAGAUAUGGAACAAGAUAGAGUGUGAGAUCCACAUAUUGGAAAAAACUCCUUUCCUUACCUGAUUUUAGGCCAGGCGCACAUACUAGUUCUCACUGUGGGACCGAACUGGAAAUGGUUAUGAUUCAUAAUAAGCUUCAAAACCCAUGCACACUUAUGUGCCGCCCGCCAUUGCCUAGCUCUAUACUCCGCUUUACUUCAGUGCUUUACAGUGACACUGUCUUAUUGCAUUGCACCAGGCCCGAACCAAGACUCAAGCCUGUAGUCGACCUUUCAUAUACCUAAAUCUUCGUAGCUUACAAAAUGUUGCUUCUUUCUUUGGCUUAUCGCUUACUAUACCUCAAUGGAGAUGGAUCUAAGGCCGUGUAAAAGUCAGAGAGAUUAGACUGCCCACUAGCUAUCUCACAGAUAUACAUGGUUUCAUCCGAAAGAAAGGGAUUGGCGCCGAGCUUUGUAAGGGAAAGGAAAGCGUCAGAUUGAUUGUUUGGCAGUAUUUGUUUCAUAGUAGUCCGAGAUUACAUGUCUUUUUGUUCACACUAUCUCCUGAUUUUCACCGGGCUAGAAAACAAACGAAAGUGGUAGGAUUGAUUAGAGACUUAUUUCAAAGCUCCACCACCCCAACCUUUAAGGAAUCCGUUUUUUGACCUCCCCCGCCCGCUUCAUUCGUUUACUCGGAUUUUCGAUGUUCAUUCACAAGGUGUUCAGAGAGAGAGAGGGGUUGCGUAGAAUAGACAUACGAAGCUAUUCCAAUUGGAUAACUUAUGGAACUUUCUCCACGUUGGAUGAGUGAAUACUCUUUGAAUACUAUGAUUAUUUCCUUCUUCUUUACUAUGUACUAUACCAUUAGUCUUGAAGAAGCUUUCCAAAUAGGAAACUCAAAAGGACCAACUAAGCCGGUAAGUUUGGACUGUACCCCCAAAGAAUGGGAUGAGGCUUAUGUCUUUAUUGCCGCCCCCGCUGCAACAAGAGGAAAAAGGCUGACAUGAUACAUAGAUUCAGAGUUAGCCCUUACCACUCUACAUGUCCCAUCCUCUUACCUUGCUUGCUCAUUCGAAAAACCACUUAACCAAAACCAAACCCUAUUGAUUGAUGCGGGGAGAUGAAGGGACUAGACAAGGAGCAUACGUAGCUGCAUCGAAGGACCAAGUAAUAGAGAAAUGCCCACCCCAUGGCUUAUGAGGUAGAUUCAUCUGGCCGGAGGACUAGCCAAUCAUGUAGGGAGACAGCCAGGUUCUUUAAACGUAGGCCGUAGAACGCUAUAUCACACCAAAGGAGACCUUUUUAUUGACCCACCUGCUCUAUCUAGAGUUUUUCCACAUCCAUCUAGAGUUCCUUUUCAUUGACCCACCUGCUCUAUCUAGAGUUCCUUUUCCCGGAUAGGCGUCUCACAUAGCUAUCUCUAGUUAGCUGCAAUCGCCUAGCUAGUAACCGAAGGAAGGAAAGAAGUUAAUGGCAUCCGUGGGUCGUUGCUUGGCCCUUUCUUAUUACAAUUGAAGCUGUCUUCAUGGCGGCAGGAGCUUCAUAAAUACCAGCCAGAGUUGCUGUAGUCAGUCAAGGGAAUCAGUCAGAAUAAUAAGUGAGGGUUUUUCACUGGGAAGAAAAGAUUCUAGGGAACCGGAUAAGAAACACAAAAGUCAGAGACAAGCAUAGGGUUACAAGCAACCUUGCCCUUUAAACCCUUAGACAGAAAGAAGUAAUCCCCUUUGCCACAUACGUUACGUGGCUUCCGGCCUAUUAGAGCUCUUUUCAACACACUAUUUCUAAUGCUAGAUCGAUCGGAUACCAUUACACUCACGAGGAUAAUCAAUCUUCUACUUUCUUUAGAAUACAGAGACUUUCUCAUUAGAGUUCACUGCGCUUGCUUACUCGAAAGAAUAAGGGGAGUGACUAUAAAGAACAGAAAAGUGCUGGCUGGUGUUAGAUCCCCUAUUUUGCUAUAGUCCGCCGGUUACGGCUUGCUUUUAUGAUCCUCAACCAAUAGGCUUACAACUUGACUCGCUUCUUACGUCAAUGGAACUUUCCACUUCUUUAAGCAUCUACCAGACUAUCCACUUGACUUGCCAAUUUCGUUAGCUAGUUCUUUAGCGUGUAAGGAGUGAAGCAUGAAUUGAGGUUUUUGCAUCUAGGGUAGGAGUCGACCAAAUCAGAAUUAAGCGCAGUGAACCUAGGAGCUGCGCAAGGAUAUUAGGCUCAAACGCAUUUAAAGGACAGAGCAGAGGACAGAAGAAAGAGGCGAAGGCAUCUGCUCAAGUAACUGUUAGCACAACUCACGAGACUUCUAUUUUCGAAGCUUGUUCCCCGAGAGCUUAUAGUGCACCUAUCUAUUCUAGAAAGAACUCACCUAUAACAUAGAAAGAACGAACCUAACUAACGCCCGAACACCUCUUCCUUUAGACUCCACCCAGUAGAAGUAGAACAAACAACGGCAAAGCAUUAAAAGAGUAAACAAGUCAUAAAUAGAGUUUUUCAAGCUAAAGAGAAGCCGUAAAGUCAACAGUUAGUUUCAGAGGAAUGGGGCUAUAAUCAAUUCAGAUUUAUGCGUUAUGUGCAGUGUUAGCUUACUGUGCUGUGCUUCUAGAAUCAUGUGUGUGUGUGCACUAUUCUAUAUAUAGUCAAUAAGCUACUCCGGGUGUGCUAUAGUCAAUAAGCUACUCCGGGUGUGCCUAUCCUCUAUUCAGUAGAGAACAAGAGCAACGGUGUAAGCAACCCGCUAAGCGCUAAGAGAGUUUGCCGGCAAAGUAUCCAUCUUUUUUCACUGUUCCCUCCAUUCUCUUAUUCUCUCAUAGUUUCAGUAUAGUUUCAGAGUUAGCAUUCUCUUAUAUUCUUCUUUUCUUUUAGAAGUUUCAGAGUUAGCAUUCUCUUAUAUUCUUUAUAGUUUAGAGUUAGCAUAAGCAUUCUCUUAUUCUCUCAUUGUUUAGAGUUAGGUAGAGCCAGCAGUAGCAGUAAUAAGUGUUUAGUUACUAGAUUCUAUAUGAGUCACGCUAGAUAUUGGUCAUGCUAGAUUCAAUGAUUUCUUUCGAGUGGAGGGGCAAGUUAGCUCACUUUUCUCUUGGGGCGCGCCAGACAAUAAGUUUCGUUACCAACCCUUACCUUACCUCACAGAACCGCGAAAACGGAUAGUUCGGGAUGCGUCGGGUUACUCUCAGAGCUUGCUCUUGCGCAGGUUUGAGUAUGGUUUCCAAUAUACUUGACUAGUUUUUCAUCAUCAAUCUCAUGCUCAUCUCUAUUCUCUACUGCCCACUCAACUCGAGAAUCCGCCGAUGCAGGAUCUUUAUAGUUCUAAUCAAACUAAUGCUCAUCUCUAUCACUCCAAUUGUUGGAUGAUUCGAAAGGUACGUCCGAGUUUUCUUCUUAGCAGAUGGGGAUCGAAGAUCUAACUAUGAGUUAUGAUGAUGAUAGUUUCUUUUAAAGUUCCAUGACUUUGAUGAAACUCCUCAUUAGCAAAGAUUCGAUUUCCGCUAAGGAUUCUCUAUAGCAGAAGAGGCUUCUAUCCGAAUCAUCUUUCUCAAACCAAACCUUAAUCCGUUAGGUCAAUAUACGCUGGAGGCUCUCAUUAUUCAUUUACUAGGUUCGGUGUUCCACUGUGUACGUGACUUACCAGUAGUGAGGGUGUCUACUUUGAUCGAACAGCAUUCUUAUACUCUACAGUCAGAGUUCAAGCAGGAAUCAAUAAAGCUUUAGUUAAGCAUUCCGUGAAGUUCUCUUUCGAUAAGUUACUAGGAAAAAUGAUGCUAUUUAGUUUGGGUUGGUUGAGUUCUUGCUCGACCGCGGAUUAUGAUUCAAAGUUCAGCAAGCUAUACAUCAUAGGUUCUAACUAAGUUCAGCAAGCUAUACAUCAUAGGUUCCAACUAAGAGUGAAGUUAUAUACUCUACAAAUGUAACGCUAUGUGCAAGUGUCCUUACUAUUCGACUCAAUCUUCCCAUGUUUUACAAGCCGUUAGAUUGGACUUAAUACGGUCGAUUCUCCUUCAACGUUAGCUUCUAUUAGGGGUGGUUGGAUACUUAAGCAGACUAAGUGGGAAUUCCCUCAUAUCGAUGAGACUCUCGAUAUUAGGUUUCAUGAUCCUAUGCGUAUGUGCAAUGUGUUGAAUACACUUCCAUCUCAAGUCUUGGAGAUAAACAAGCGAGUCCUGUCGUACAAUCGUGAAGCCCCAUAAGAGGAGGUUCUUCUUCUGAAUAGAAGUAUAGCGACAGUCAAUCUAAAAGAAGCAUCUAACGAGGUUAUGUUACGUCAAUGACGAAGGUGUGAGGAAUGUGUGUAGCUGUCACAAGCUGUUAAGUUAUUUCACUAAGCGGGUGCAUCGAGCUAAGUAUGCAGAAUGAGUCUUAACUCUUUCGAGUGCAUACGCAGGUUCUCAUCUCACUUGGAUCUUCCAGCGUUCAUUGACUUACGUGGUCGAAUCUACCACACAGGUGUCUUGCAUUUUCACGAGGGCUUCAAGUGUUAUCUUAUUUGCUAACGCUAAACAACUCGAACAACGUUAGGAGAAUGAUCGAGAAGAAUGCUUUUCUCAUGUGCUGCUGCCUUUAAGCUUACUUAAGAAAUUGACAACGUUUCCAAAGUCUAUAGUGGAGUAGAUUCACGAAGUGAGUCGUUCGGACGAGAUUGCACUUUGCACAGCAAGCUAGUGAGCCUUUUGCAGUUCCUAGCUGACGUGUCUGUCAAACGAAAAAGUGAGUAUUCGUUUUCAUAAUGUGCCAGUGAGUCAAGAUGCAUCUGCGAGUGCUUAUCAAAUCAUGAGUGAUCUUUUGCUUAAUGAAGAACUGGCUAGUUAGGUUUAUGGUUCAUUGUUCAGUCGCUCAACUUUGCUAUGAAUUUAGUAGAAAGAUCCUGACAUAGCCAAUAUCAUGAAGUAGGUGAACUUGGUUUUGUUCUUUCUUGAAUCAACCAGGCGUAUCAAGAGUACUUCACGACAGUGCAGGACGUAACAAAAAGCUUCUUUAUGGGUUGGUUUUUCUAGGGUGGGUGUGCAAGAAUAGACGUCGGGUUACUCUACGAGUGCCUACGUUGGAUAGGGAUAAGCGCAAGACUCUAGACCUGCGUCAACUUUCUUCAUCUGGCUUUCAGCUCCUUUCUUUCUAGCUGGUGGAGCAAUUGACUUCCAAAAGUGAAGCUCCGGUACAUCAUAACGACAUCCGUUGUUUAGGCGGCAGCAAGGUCAUACUAGAGUUGGGUUGAGUAUAACUACUGUUUGCACUUAUGAGAGAGAAUCCUAAUUCUAAUAAACCAUCUUCCCUGUGGAUAGGCCCAAUUCCAUCUUUAGGUUCAUAUGGAGUUAUCGACUUUAUGAACGGAUGACAUCUCAAAAAAGAAAUGAAUAUACUCAAGGUUUAGAACUGCUGAAGAAGGUAAUAAUCUCGGUGUUGGCUUGGCUUCAGAAGCACAUUCUCCACGUCCACGACACCUUGCUUCAAAGCCUUAAGUAGGAAUUUCUGAUUACCCCCUUCCCUUGUUGCUUCCUUUCGAACUGUAAUUCUCCUGACUUUCAAACAAUAAGAUUUCAUGAACCUUACCCACUCUGUGAAGACUACGAAGUUAUAGCAUCGGCUAGAAUGCAACUUCAAGUACUGUACAACUUUUGAGUCUGGUAAGGUUACGAUAGGUUAUAUCAUCAAAAGUCCGAUUGGAGAGAUUUCAUAUAUGGGGAGCUAUUUCUUGAAAUGAUUCCGGCGGGAAAGCCACUCGGUUUAUUUAAUAAAGAUGGAGUUUGGAAUACGUAAUGCUUAAAGCUGAGUUAUACGAGAAUACUCCUGGCAAACUAGUAUUUAGUCGAGCCUAUAUUACUGGUAUUAAAGAGAAUACACCUAUUAGUGUUGAGGAAGCUGAUACCAAAAUCAAUCCAAUCUUGUCUGACUCCAAAAGAAGCUACUUCAAUGGGCGUCGUUAUCCCGAACUCAAACAUCAGAGUAAAGCAAAGCAUGCUUUCAUUGUUGACGAUACUGAGACUGUUCUCAUAUAUAAUGUUCAUGUGCCUUAUGCUGCGGGUUUAUGUUGACGAUACUGAGACUGUUCUCAUAAAUAAUGUUCAUGUGCCUUAUGCUGCGAGUGGUUAAACCAGAUGAUGAUCUUGGUGCCAUGCCUUAUUAUUCAAUUGACACAUUGAUUGAAGUGAUCGUUAUGCCAUAAUUUCCAGAAAAGAGUAAUCGUAUGUUGUUCUACUUUCCCGAACGUUUAGCAUUUGUCUUAAAAGCGGUCAUAACUUAUCACGAUUCGAUGGGAUUCUAUAUUCUUGGGAUUCUAUAUUCUUAAUAAAAGAUUAUGCUUAUCAUGGGGAUAAGUCAUCAAUGAAACCUAUCAUGAGGAACCAUAAGCUUUACGAGUUAGCUGUGUCUCGAGAUGGGAAACAACUGCUCCGUCUAAGAGAUUAAUACACAAAGAUCCUUAGUAGUCUUGCUACAUUGGCUAGGACUUUCUGUCUUCGAUUAGGUUCGAAAGGCUCCAUCCCACAUGACGAAGUGCAAGUGUCGAAUCUUUCCCCUUCAGGUCCCAGGGAAUCGCUCUGAUCCCCUACUUCUCUUUAUUAAUCAAGUAGGUUGUGUACGAUAAGCGCUGAUCCCACAGUUUGCUCUUCCAGCAUCCAUGCAUUAAGAAUUAGUAAGUGGGGGUUCGGUUCAAAUACCUUCCUUUUGGACUUUCUUUUUCCUACCCCGCUAACGGAAACUCAGGCUUCCAAAAAGGCCUUUUCCCCGGGCGGCUUCGAAGCCCCUCUCCAAAUGGGCAACCCUUAGUUUAGAGCCACCUCGAUUCAGGAUGUCGGAACACCAACCGGAUCGGAAACCGAUUCCUAAACAUACUUAGCUUUGGAACAUCGAUCGAAACCCUUUCCUAUCUAGUUCAGCUGAUCCUUCAGUUCCAACUAAAUCGGAAGCUUCAUUCUACAGACGAGAGUAGGCUCGAGGAGGAUAGGAUCCUGAAGGGCUUUGGGUCAUUUUGUUGAUGUCCUUUGGUUAGACCUUUGGCUGGAUCGAAUCCUUUUCGCGCGAGCAUAGCAAACGAGCAAUUGAGUCAUAUAAGAAAUCCUGUUUGUUGCCUAGUUCGGUCUGCUACAAGGCUAUCCGAGUUCAAGGGUGUCGUUGUUUUUCCCCUUAUUCAUUAAGAUUGGGUUGAUGUAACUGGCCUUUCUCUUGCUGUUGUCGAGUGCCUGCUGCUUGACUUCUUUCUGACAUCCGCCUAUCUUACAUUCUUUAGAGAGCAAGCAAGGUGCUGAAAGCCAACAAGUAGUUUCGUUUUGGAAGCAAAGCAGUGUUUAUUACCUAUAGCAGCAUAAGUCACUUCUCUUCAACAAGCACUAUAUUCUACAUGAAACUCUUUAAGUCACUUUUCUUCAACAAGCACUAUAUUCCAUUCCUUCUUUUUCGCUAAUGCGCACCCAUCUUAUUCUUUCAGUCAAACUAUCCCCGCUUGGUCAAUAAGCUUACGCGCAACGGGGUUAAUCUAUUCCUUCUUAAAGGAAGCUAUGUAGGUAGGUUACUUCAUUCUAUAUUAUCUGUUGCCAAUUAUGUCUUCUUGAUUCCACACUGGAUUCAACAAGUAAGCAAGCAAGGGAAGCGCACGAAUAAUGUACUUGAGAUAAGGGUUCGCUCAGUACAGUAAGAAGUGUUGUUUACGUUAUUAUAUCCAUCUUAGGCUAGAAGAGGUAGAAUCUAUUUCCGUAAGCAAUGCUGUCAGCUGUAAGGUAAGAUUCCUAGGGAAGAGAUGCUGUAUGAAGAGAUGCAGAUGCUGUGUAUUUACAAUGUGUUCUAUAACAAGCUUCUUUACUUUUUGCUUGAUCAUAUAGAGUAAGGUAAUUGGAAAGAAUUCUAUACUAGGUCGGGCUCGACACCCUUAUUUAUUUCAACUCAACCUUCCCUUCAGAACCAAUUGUAGCUGACUUACUUUAUGUUGCUCCUUAUACAGAUCCUUAUGUGAACCCUUCUUUUCGGGAGACCUUUUGGGGAGACCUUGCUGCUCUUGUUUAUUAUUAUUAUAUACUUAUUGAAUGGAAUUGUUGAGCACUUAGGUUUGUUUAGAGCACGAAGUGUGACCUUCUUCUAGAAUACCCCCCCGGCUAAUGAUUCUGUUUCUGACCUUGCGCCAGAGGGUUCUAAGUCAGUUUGUGCCAGCAGGUAAGAUCAGAUUUUGGGUUAGGUUACCAAAAGUGUUAUAAUGGAUUGGUUCACUAUCAGCUCUCGGGGCGCUAAUGCUUACUGACCCUAAUCCUAAUGCUUACUUACCCUUAACUACUCUAAUGCUUAUUACUGGGGCCGGAGUAGAACAACCAGCAUUAAUAAUAGGGGCUUGAGACUUACGCUGGAGAAAAGAGAGUAGAUUCGGCUGGCUUACUUAUACGAUGAAACUGGAACAGGACAUUAAUAAGCUGACCUCUUACUACUGCAGAUACGGACUCCUGCUGAUCUACCGGUUGAAGAUUACGCCGGGCCGGGAGGGGAAAGCAAAUAACUUACCUCUAUGACUCGUAUUCAACACAAUCACCUCUAUCAUCGCCAACAACAAGAACCUAAAAGAAGAGAGAGUUGUUGCCACCUUGGGUGUAUUCUGAGGAGACUUAAGCGGAAAGACACCACUUGGUAAGAAGCUCAAAAAAGAACUAUUCUAUAUAAUGAUGAAAAUGCUAAGAUGCACUAUUCUAUAUAAUGAUGAAAAUGCUAAGAUGCUUCUUACUGUUAACAAACUGAAGUUGAAAAACCAAUAAUAACCACCCUAUGAAAAGAAACCUUGAGGUGACAUUAGGCGUUGGAGAUAGAGCUAUCUUAACCACCUGUAAAAAGAAAGUAGCACUCCGCCGAAAUUAACUGCAAAGACAAGAAAGGAGAGUUGUUUCAGUUUAUUGCACAAAUGCAAACACAGCAACUUCAAUCAACACAGUGGAAUUGGAAAGGCUUAUCCGCUCUUGAGUUGGCUUAUGUGCCUCUUGCUAACUGGUAUGUUGAGAGCCAAAGUGGUAAUAACCCUAACGUUAUGUGGACUCAAAUGAGUGUCUUUAGGAAAACCUUGAGAACUGUUGAUGAUCCCUUAAACAGGACUCGGUAAUAACUCUCAAAACCUAAAACACAGGACUUACAGAGUAUAUUAAGUUAAGUAGCACCCACCCGACCCUAGACUUUAUUCACACAGCGGAUUCUCUCCCUUGUCGGAGUGGAGGUGAAUAUAAUAUACAUCGGAGUGGAGGUAAAUAUACUGGAUUACUAUUUCUUAUCGUAGUGGAGGUAAGUCAUACUCUUAUCCUUCUCAAGCUUCUGUAUCAAAGGAGGAAUUACAGAAUAGAGUUUACUUACAAGUAGUAGUCACUACUAAACCUUUCUUAUUAGACCCCUAAGGCAACUAUACCUCCAUCUGUUCUCUUCUCUUGCUCCGCUACAUCCGGAGUAGGGGAAUCAACCCUAUCUUAAACUCUCUAUCUGGUGUUGGAGACAAAAGAAGAUACUCGACUUGGACCACUACGAAUACGGGAUAAGAAGCGAGGGUGGUUAGGUACUGGCUGGCUUCUGAAGCACUAACUGACUUAUAUAAUAGAACAGAUCAAACUCCCACUGCAGACUGCUUUCCUGGCACAGUAUCUUAUCUUGUCGGCUCUCCUUGCACUACGGAUUCUCGAACAACAACUCUCGUUUGUCAAUAGUUCUCGUACCGUGUAUAUAAUUGGGUAAUUAGAGAUAGAAGAUGAGUUUACAUUCCAAUGAAAUGAUUAUAUGCUUGACACAACAAGCAACUCACCAACAUUGGCACCCAAAGAAAUAUCUUCUAUUCUCUUAAUGAUUCAACCUCGUAUUCAGCCCCAACCCGAACUCUAUUGGAAGUUCUGAAUUGACCUCUGGAGCACCUGGUAUCCCAUAAUGUAAGCUAACAAUCAACAAAGGAUUGAAUUUCAUCUCUCGAGCUUAGAGUCCAAGAUUCAUUUAUUUACUUCACGGAUGUUCUAUCAAGUUAGAAUUGAGCGCGCAGCAGGAAAAUCUUUUAGUGCAUUAACUCCUGACGCCUAACCAAAAAAGUACUUACAGCUGAUUGACUUUCAACAUAUAGAUAUGAUGGUUGAGAUAGCUACGUGGGAGAAUCAAAGCGGGGUUUUGAAACAAGAGAAUAGGACUCUGAUCGACAUGGUAGCAAGAAUAAGGAGUUAGAGAAGCCAGCCUCAAAGGGCGGGGCAUGACAUACUUCACCAAUUGGAUAGGAAGAAAUUCUAGUAGUUGCAGUUUUCAAGUCAGGCAAUAAGGGCUUGGCGGGCAGAGGUGAUUGUUAUCGCUAGUUUGAUUCUGCCUAUAUGUGGGGCACUAGAUCAGACCUAUACUCUACUUAUUCUUAUCCUGAUUCUCUUAUUAUCUGAAACUAUUAACUAGCAAUUGAUCCUAUAGGAGCAAGGAGCCGACUAGUCCUAAUCGGAAUUUCACUCAACAUCAAGAUCCUAUGACAGGACAGGGCCCUAGGCAACAAGCAACGAAACAAACACCGCAACCCCUACUGAAAAGAAUAACCCUGUGGACAAAAACUCUGACUCGCUCCGCUCUCUUGAGUGCGCUGCGCCUCCAUCGACAUUCUAACUAUCUCUGUUAUGAGCCUGUUGCCGCUUACCUGUAUUCUUUAAUUCGACUGUUAGUCCUACUAUGCUUACCCUCAUUCCCCAACUAAUGCCUUAAAGGCUCCCAUAACUAUGUCAGUAUUACACUAAUAUAAGUGAAUUGAAUAAUAAUUAAUAGAAGUCAAGAAUAGCAGUCAGUUUAAAGACUUGCGGCUAACGAACAUAACAUCAGAGUGCAAGGAGCAAGUAUAGGACCUAACUCUAAAGUCAAAGUGGAGUCGAGGAGAAUUCACCUAAGUAGUAUUAGUCUCAAAGAAGGAAGGUGGAAUCAGAGGAGACCCAUAACAAGGGAAUGAAACCAAUACAGUUAGAAUUGGGCUCGACAAUCACCUACUUCAAAUGAAACAAGGGUCGAUUACAUUGAGCUAGUCAUUCUGCUGAUGAUACAUCUUCUGCUUCAGAUCCUAAUACUGCUUUAGCUUAUCCUUCUUAUCGAGUCUAGCCUACUGCAGACUUGAUUUCGCCAACUCCUGAUUGGUAUUCUGAUCCAGAUCUUGGAGACUUAACUAGAACAGAAGAUCAGAUUGAUUAAUUGAAUCAUCUUGCCCAUGUGAUAUAGAUUGAAGUAAACACACACCAUCGUGAUAUAGAUUGAAGUAAACACACACCAUCCCCUUAUUGGGAAUCUUACAGAUCAGGUUUCCUCUAUGGUUCCAUUCCAACACCUACCUCUCUUCUUUAUUACUUUCUUAUAUAUAGCCUGGCCCUUGUAUACUCUUAUGAAAUUAUGACUUCUUGUGCAAUCUCUUUACAAGCUUUGACUUUUUGAUACCUAUAUUCUUCCCCUAACUCGGCUUGGACCACUACUUGGGGCAGGAAACCAAGAUUGAUCAUCGUUAUUCUACUCUCUUUUCUCAUGCAUGCCCACUACGAAUCAGAGGUGAAGUCGAACCCUAAACCCCAAUCUUUAUGGCAUUAAUGAAGGGCACAGGACAUUACUCAAAACCCUAUAGUCAUUAGUCUGGAAAGAAAGCGCCAAGCUCCUACGUAAGACCAAGCAACGAGGCAAGUCACACCGGUCCUAACCUGUUUUGUUCCUACUUUCCUGUUAGUAUUAGCUUGCCGGGCUUUGAAGCCAUAAGUUCAUGAGUUUAUGUUGAAUCCGCUGAGUCUUCUUGGGCCGACCUUACCUCUACUUUGAGUUCAGAACCGAUUGCUUCUAAUCUUGCUUUAGAUCCUACUGCUCGAACAGAUUAUUCUCCUGAUUCAUAUCCAGAUCCUGCUUGAGCUUGCUACCCGGAUCCAGCUUAUGGUCUCGUUGACAAAGGAGAGUUCUGAGACAGAAUCCAAUCUCAUGUCCACUGCUAGGUGUUCUGUUCUAGGUGAAUCGACAACAUAAGAUGCUGUUUCACGAGAAGAAGUAGUGUGAUAUCUUGGUGUUGGUGAAAGAAAGGAAGCUAUUAGAUAAGUUCGGGCAAGAAUAUAAUAAAGUACUGGCUCUGUCUCUGCUCUACCUGCGGACUUUAAGCUUUCAUCACGUAUAUAGUAACAAUGAGAAUGAGAAGAUAGGCACAACGGCAGCCACAGACUUCCCGGCGCACCCGCCCCAUACAGGACUUUUACUUGAUGGGAGCAAUUAGAAUAGUGGAGUAGUAGGGCCAGGCCCGGACGAGAUACAAAACAGGAAACUUCUCUUGGCUUCUCUUGCAACAACAGAUUGCGAGUUUCAGGCUUUGCUUUCACCCGCGUAUACAGACCCAUGUUCUUAUCUACGGACCUAUUAUGUUCUUAGUAUCCGGAGUCGCCUACACGGUAAAGAACUGGAACCUCCACUUUAUGAUUCUGAACCGACAACACAAUCCUCUUAACGCGCCCAGUAUAGAAUUGAGUAAAUACCCUUAUUCCCUAUCUCUACGCCCUUUGCUCGAACUAACCUUUACUUUACCCCCCGGCUCUAACUCCAGUGCUCCAAAUACCAAAUAAAGAAGAGAACUUCUCAGAGGAAACUCAAUUAUGAAAUGAAAGCAGAAACCUGGAAUUCCAUUCUCCAACCCUAUUCUUAAAUGCAAAUUGAGUGAGUAGUCGUUUUUACUCAUAUCUAUCUCGGGUGCUCUAAAGUGGAUGCUUCUAUCUAUAUAGGAUUACUAAGGUCUAGCGCCAAGAACGGAAAGAGUACUCUCGAAACAAGAACACGAAACAAGAGUACGAAACAAGAGACUGCUUGACUUAGCGCUUCUAUCGGAGAUGAACUAAAGCCAACUCCUCUAUCGUAGCCAAACACUUUUACAACAGAAAUAGACUCCAGAGCGGCAGCACUUGUUGGUUCUUCAAGUAUGGAGUCUAGAGAAGGUUAUUCCGCAAUUACUGGCUUUGAUGCCCUACCCUAACCCUAAGUAAAUGAGUGGAAUCCGUAUUUGUUGGCGCAAGUGCCAUUAUAAGUCUUUUCAUUUAGAAUUCUCAACUGCUUAGGUGUAGUCUCAAGGAAAAGACUCAAAAGAUGGUGUUAUCGACCCGACGGAAACAAAACGGAUGGUGUUAUCGACCCGACGGAAACGAAACUGCAAACUAAUAACUCCCUAAGCGCCGAGUCAAGCUCACUAACACAGAAACCUGGAACCGGACUAACAAAGUCUUACCCGAACCGAACUCACUUUAGAUUAGCACUAGUUCUUGUUGGGUCGAGGAAAACAGCAAACGUCGCCCUUGCUUGUUCCGUUGCUUUAAGAAUUGUAAUACCUUCUACUAAUACAAUGCAUUAAGUAGUUCCUUACAGUAGUCGCUUUUUUCUUUUAUUGAGUCUUUCGAGCUUCGAGCUAAAGUCAAAGUUAAUAAGUGUAUAAUAUUACCUAAUAGCAUUUCUAUACAAAAUCAACUCGCUACUCGCUAACCGCACUGAGUCUUCUUGUGCCGAGCCGAAAUAAGCACUUUUGUUGGCUUCUCCGAAAUAAGCACUUUUGUUGGCUUCUAUAAUUAUUCUUUCAUGUAGGUCUACUUCAUACGAGUUUCUUUGGUUAUUCAUUUCUAUAUUAGGGUAGUAGUAGUUCUUCCAUUUCCAUUUCCACUCUAAACUCCGUAAGCGCUUAACCGAGAUGAGAUCGUAUAGAAUGAGACGUAACGACACUAACUCCCGUCAAGGCUUAAUUGCUAGGAAGAUUCAUAUAAUAUAGUUAACCACUCGCUCCUGUCCAAGUGCCCCAUCUCUCAUUCCACAGCCACUGCACUUAAUGCCUUAUUUUAGAAGAAGUAAAUCCACUAUUACGGAUUGGAAUUCCACCAAUGCUAGCAGGAACCCAGCUACUACUAGAAAGACAACAGCCCUAAAGUCAGAACUCCAUCAAUGCUAAAAGGAAUGGAACUACCUCUUGCCAACCCUUCAUAGCUUAUAAGCUUAGCUUCCAAAUCUGACUUUCCUGCCCCAUCUUAUAGUAAAGCUACUUAUUUCAAGACUUUCUCCUUUAGUAAAGAAAUACACCAGCAAAAGAAAGACUAUAAGUGGGCCUACACAGGAUGGAACUGGCGCCUGUCAUACCUUAACAAGUAAAGGGGAAUUCCAUUAGUCACUCUGGGAGACAAGUAACAACUAGGCUACCACCCUACCAACUACUACUGAUAGGAAUAAAUCAAGUAAUAAAAAGAAUGGACCUAGGGCUACCAAUACCUUCCAACUACAAGAUAAGGGUUACACCAAUACAACUCAUGCUUAGCUGUUGGACAGGGGUGGCUUUCUUAUUUCUGCCUAUCAGGGAACCAACUCUUGCUUGACUUGCUUUGAUUCCGACUACUACUAAUAAGGAUUAAUACGGUAGCGCGUAGCCCUUCUCUAUUGGCACCUACGCAGCCCUUGCUCUACCUUAUCUUAACCUAUCCUUCCCGACCAUUGGUCUUACGCCACUUACUAUAGGUCUUACUUUUAUGUGGAGCAUAUUAGUUUGACUUUGCUUGCUUUGAGGCUACCUCCCCUUCUUCCACUGCUAACUCAAAAACGGUUACUAAUGCCAGCGAGCCGGUAAUUGAACAGCCUAUAUCCUUUGUUUCAACCUUGUAUUGCUUUAUCCAAUUCUCCAGCUACGGGGAACAUAACCUGUGCCUUUCUUCUAUUAUUCCUAUGCUUGCUCUCGUUUGGGUAUGCCUAUACUGUAACUAAGCCUACCUUUCCUGACCUCGCAUCUGUACUCGCUAUAUCAUAACAUAUCAUACUAUACACAGGUAUAUUGUGUGUUAUACUAGGGUGUGUUGUGCCGUACGGAGGUGUCAAUCAAUGGAGGUUUGUUGGCGAGCAAGUAAAUAAAUCCAAGAAAUAGGGUUAGUUGGCCGGGUAGGUAAGUACUCUCUUUUUGUUUUAGGCUCAGAGGUCGUAGUCACCGGCUAUGAGUCAAGAAGGUAAGGAUCCCUCAAGUAACCACUAGACAAACUGCCAGCCAAGCAAAAAACGAAGAAAUAUGUCAUAUCCAUAUUCUAAUGAGAAAACACAUAUCAAUACAUAUAAAUAUAAGUCAACAAAAAGAAUCAGAAUGGAGUAGUUCAAAAGCAGAAUAGAAGGCGGGGGCCUUGGUGCAGUAAGUAAGAGACUGAGAGCAAAGGGCCAAGCAACUAGUGAAACUAAGACUUCAAUCACUGCUGGUAAGAAUGGAACAGUGCCUGCUAAGUCCGAUGCUAGUGGUAUUGAUGCUAGGGCCAAGUCCUGUCCUCGUAUAUGUCUUCUUUCCCCCUUUUCCAGCAAUAGGUACAAAUCUUUCUUUUCUCCCUUUUCUUUCUAUCUUAAUGAUUAUGGAAUUGACGGACCACCGACUGUCUAGAUGUGAAAUAGUUCGUGCAUGGAAUAUGAGUUGAUUGAAGUAUGGUACCUGAUUGAAGUAUGGUACACCAACAUAGACAAAAUGAUACAUAUCGGCACCCGCACCCUUAUAAAUCAAAAGGUAGAGAGCGGGCAAGCCGUUGUUUGUUCGAGUUAAAGCGCUUACGCGAGUGACUUCAUCGCCUAUUGCUAUUGUAUAUAAAUACAGAAGUCAUAUUCCCAGAUACAGAAGUAAUAUUCCCAGAAGUCUAUACAAGAGCUCCACUUUUCCAUUCUUUUCUUGUCUUGUGUUUAGGCGCCUUAGCUUUCUUUGAGUUUUGUGUAGGUUCUCUGUUGGUUUGUGGUUGGUCUAGUGUUUCCUUCCGAUUGAGUCGGGCCAGUGGGAUCACCGGUACCCCUAUUAGAUUCAAGGUGUUGGGUUCUGCUAAAGAUGUGUCUCAUCCUUCCGUAACGCUCUCUUCAAUUCCAUUCAGUUCAGUCACUCUAUCGGGUUCUGCUAAAGAUGUGUCUCAUCCUUCCUAUUGCUAUUGCCCACUAAACUCUCUAUUAGUCAAUAAUAAAUAGUCUAGAGAAGAUAAGCGGGAAGAGAAAUCAUAAAUAGUCUAGAGAGAGGGUAAGCGGGAAGAGAAAUCAUAAAUAGUCUAAAGAGGAUAUCGGGAAGGGAAAGAAUCAAUCAAGUAACUACAAAGAAUCAAUCAACUAACUACUAUAAACUAAAGGUCCGGGUGCCGAAAUCGUAACUACUAUAAACGAAAGGUCCGGGUCUAAAGCGAUUUGACCUAUCUUACUCGUGACUUUCCCUAGGAUUUGACCCAUCUUACUCGUGACUUUCCCUAGAAUAUCCGUUUCCCCAGGGCGACUCUACAUCCGGGUUCUCAGCAAACAAACCCAGAGUAGUUGACCACGGCGUAAACAACGAGAACUCUCCUAAUGCUUCUAACUCACUCAUUUCAUACUUGAACUUCCGUGUAGUUCCUUCUUGUGUUGCGGUUCAAUUCCAAAAUGCCAGGGAUAGAAAAUCAAAGGGAUGCUGUAUAGAAAGAAAUCGGGUCAUUAUUUAGGUGCUUGGUUUGCUCCUUACGCUCUACGCUCAAAGUCAAGUAUACUUUUUCCUAAGCUUGCUGAGUCAGGGUUUUUAGGUGGUAAGGAAGAAGCAUUGUUUUUAGGUAGAGUAGAGCCAGUAGUAAUGGGUCUUUUUCCCUAUGGAGCAUAUGUCUAUUCUAUUCUUAAAGCCACUCGGGGUUCUUAAAGCCACUCGGGGAACAAGCAAUCUUCUCUUCUGCUUCUGAUCCUUAUGAUUCUCUCUCUCAUGGACAAGAAAAGAAAGAUCAAGCGCCAAGAACCUAAUCUGCUCUAUACUUAAGUACUAAAUCAGCCUAAGGGAAAGCUCUCAAAUGGCAAAUUAUCUUAGUUUUACCUAUGUUCAACUCAUCUUAUGGAAAAUCCCCCAUCCAAUUCCCUAUUGGCUGUAGAAAUGCAUUUUUGCCUGAUAUCUUUGCAUGCUUAGCUUUGACCAUACCUUUGCUUUCCAACCUUUCUUUUCCUUGACUUACCCACCGCUACAAAGAAUUUCAGAAUACAUCUCCAUUUACCUGCUUCUAUAUUCCAUACUGCAUCCCUUUUCUUUUGCGUUACUUCCUAACUCGACUUAAAGCUCGUCGCUAACUAGGAUUCCACUAUCACACCACUAACUUGAAGUCAGAACUGCAACACCGUUCCAUGGGCAUUCGAAAGGAGCUUAUUAAUACAACAACACUCGCACCGCUACCGCCGAUGACAAAAACGACACUUGCCCCGAAAACGAAUAAUCUGACUUGUUUGGUUGACUGCCAGCCUUAACCCAUAAGUACUUCAGUAUAGUUCCAUUCCAGUUCGAGUAUUGUCGUAGAGAGAAGCUCUCCGUCAGUAAAGUAUCAAGUAAGUAUCGCUUAUAUAGUGGAUCUUGUAUCGUAUAUCAAAUUGUCAUCCUCAAUUCCAACUUCUUUGUCAGUGCAAUUUCCAUGAUUUUAGGCUUCUGCGCUAAGAGAUACAAAAAUCCUGUUUAUGUUCGACUUUCCCCUGUGCAAGAAAGAAAGAUUCCUGUCCUGGUGCAGGCGCAAGAAAGAAAGAUUCCUGUCCUGUUUUAUCAAUACGAGUGAGGGCAAUUAGAAGUUUAGAGAGUGGGUGUGCCUUCUGAUUCUGGUAUGCUAAAAGCUUUUCCCGGUUCUGCUUCUACGCAACAUAUAUGAAAUUGAGAAGCACUAGACGGCGGAACCCAAAAUUCUAUACGCUAAUUCUUAAGUUUAUUACCUUGCUGUUCAAUUCACACUUUGGAGGUGACUUAUUCUACUUAUUUGUUUCAUUCUUUUUUGGAGGGUUGGAUUCUUUAUUUACUUGCUCACGUGUCUAUUCUAGUAGUAGCUUGGCUCUGGCCUUUGCGUGACUACCUACCCCGGACUCAGCAUCAGUGAAUUCUUUGACUUCAGAUUGCUCUUCUACCGGCAAGCAACUACAAUAACAGUAUAAGAAUAAUCUGCAGGAGUAGAUUCUAAGUAAAGAUCAUAGGCGCAAGUCAGCAGCUGUAAUAUUCCAUAUCUUUUGUCUAGUAUUAAUGAGCCUUAAGGAGUUCUAAAUAAUACUCGAAAGUGAAGUUAAUAAACCGAGUGUAGGUUCCUCGCUUAGAGUGGAGUUAUCUUCUUCGCCCCUAAGUCUCUUGCUCUAGGAAUAGAGUAUUUCUCUACUUGUGAUUGGUCUAACUUUACAAUAUAUCAUAUCAGUUUGACUUGACUUGCUUUUACUUGAAGACUAAGUCGACUACCUUGUUGACCGACCUACCUAUGAAUUACCGAGGUCGUACUUCUUUGUAGUAAAUAAAGAAUGAAGUGAUAGAUUUGAAGAACGAAAGUCAAUAGUGAUAGCCGGUAAGGGCAUACCAAACCAUGGGAGUGGAACGUUAACUAAAGAAGAAAAGUCAGUGGUAGAAGGCUUCAAGUGGUAUGGCAUACAAACCUGAAACCGGGAAACAACCCUUACUGCUAUUAGAAUGUGACUCAACAGCAUAAGCCUAACUUAUCGGAAUGACUCUUACGACCCGCACAAACUAAUAUAGAUCCAUCUAGUUAUAAUCAUUAACUCAAUUCUCAUGUUACAGCUGGAGUCUACCUCUCUUUGCUUGAAAACUGAGGUUCCCCGCUUAGAGUCUGUUUUGGUAGGAAUAGAAACAGGUACGAGACAGCGCAUCUAACAAAAGGAAUAGAACUACUAUUUCAAAGAAUCGCACGGGUGAGUUUUGGUAAUAUAAGAAUGCAAUUACUAAUACCAUAAAUAGAAUUAGGUAAACCGAAUGCAAUUACUAAUACCAUAAAUAGAACUAGGUAAACCGAGCCUUACUCCCGAUGGAAUAAUCUGACUAACUAUAUAGGCAUUCCAAGCGCCCUGACACUACCAACUCGACACCUGCUUUAUUGUCCUCUUAGCUUAUAUCCCCUCGCUCUCAUUCUCUAUGUUGUUCCUCGUAUCUUGCUUCACUGCCCCUUCGCCUAUAUCUCCUGACUAUGAGUAUUGCUUUACUGGCUCUAAGGCUUACUUGACUGUCUCCUAUUCUUAUUAGCCCGUCUUCCAUUCCUAUGUUUAGUAAUUGACUUGUUAGGACGAUAUUCCUUAGCUACCUUAGUUUCGAGUUAGAGUGGAGCCUUACACUCUAGUUAACAUCACCAGUAGCAGACCUGUAGCAGUAGGCCAGAUUAUUAACACCCGCACUUCCCCCUUCCACUCUUAGGCUCCUGUCUUUGAUUCUAAUACUUUUAUGCGAUGGGACAUGUUAGAGGCUUGCUUUCCUAGCUGUCAGUAUUACUUUACUGGAUAUCAGUCUAUACUCUCUUGUUUUGAGUCUCCCCUAACUGCUUAUCAGCCACCAAGUCCUAGUCUCUGGGGUUAUGAAAGUCAACCACAUAGUCCUUUAGUAGCGCCUAUCAGUCAACCCCGGGUAACUUGGUCUUUGUUCGUUCGUGCCAAAGUCAAUAAAUUGGUUGAUGAACUUCACCAAUAGGGGAAUCCAGCGCUACCUUAUUUAUUAGAAUAAUGAAAUGUAAGUAAACUAAGCAAGCUUUAUUCACCAGGGCAGGGCGUACAAUCAUACUCCCGGGUAGCGCAAAGCCUUAGAAAACCCGCAGCGAAACAACCAUCUGUAUUAAUUAUUAGAUUCUAUUAGUAUCACCCUCAUUGCUAUAAGUCCUGAAACCACUCCCGUUGUAUUCAAAGCAAAGUAAGUAUACCAGUCAGAGCUAUAAGACUCAUUUACUUGUUUGGUAUCGCCUGUCUAUUAUAUGAGAAUAAAAUAACCACUUAGCAACCUAUCUUGUAUAUCAACCUUACUCUCAUGCCACCUAAGUCCGAUACUGCUCUAUCUCAGCCUAUCUCCCCCAGCUAUCAAACGAAAACUACUGUUCGAGAGGCCUACUUUACCGUUUCUCGUUCUCCAACACUAAUGAACCUAACCCUAGCUUGAAUUCCAUAUUGAACUUAUUGUUGAGCCUAGACUUGUUCCUAAUAAUCUUGCCUGAAAACGGAAACCUCUUGCCUUGACUCUUACUUGCUAGUGUGAACCUGCCUCUUUUGUGCACCUAAUCUUGCUUCUUAGUUAUGGAAUCCAGCUACUGCUGAAAGGGCUGCUAUUCAUAGCUAGUUUCAUAGCUGGUAUCGAGUUACCCGAUCCUGUAUCUAGGUAUCUAUUUCCUUUCCUCAAAUCCGUAUUGCACCUCUAUCCAUAUCAGUCUGUCUUUUCUGUCUCUAAGCCUUACAUGCUUUAACUGCGGAUCUAACAUCUGGCUUCGAACCUUGCAUUACUCCAUCUCGAGGCUUGCUCUGCUGGCUAUCUCUUACUAUAUCCUUAUUUGGAGUCCGAUUCCCCUAAUAAUGAGAGUCGAACUGGUAUCUACCUAUAUGAUUAAAACAAGCAACGGACUCACUACCGCUACACUCUUUCGAUCCAGAUCUUUGCUUGAAUCCAAUAGUGCCUUGUCCAGUCCGUAAGGGGAAAGGAAUUGUUAUAACAACUCCUUUGUUCGUCUACCUGUUUUCGUUCCUUUCUUUGUGCUAUAACCAAGUCCUGUAUUCGGGAGCUUGCCCUACAGGUAGUGACUAGACCACUUGCAUAUCGAACGGAUCUUACUCUAAAGGGAGUCAUUGCGAUAUUACCUAGGAAUUUACAGAAUACCAAACUUGGAUAAUAGGUAGACCACUGCAGAGAACCCUUUCGUAGCUACGUUCCCAAUAAAAAGCCGUAAUCCUUCUUUCGCCUGUUAGCCACAUCAAACCUAAAACCUAAUAAACCAAGACUCAGUCACGAAACCUCACUGCACACUAUAUCUGUCUUCAGCCAAUAAAAGACGUCUAUACUAUAGAGAAUCUGGCUCGAAAAGAAACUAGGGAUCAUGAACCCCCUCCAUAAUUCUUUUAUACAGAAUGCUCCCUUUUCCGCACGGGCUAGAUAGCAUUUCUUUUGUCUUUGUCUGGAUGAGUCUCGGAUCAGUAUAGGAUAGCACUCGUCCCUCUUAUCCUUUAGCUUUCGUGUGUCGUGGGAGUAUACCUAUAGUGAGGCAGGAUUCCAAGUUUCAUUUAUGUUUUAGAGAGGAAAUUCCACUUUUCUUUACCUUUACCGGCGGAUGUAUGAGCUGCUCUGAUCAAAUUGGUUGACUUUUACGUGAAGUUGGGCUUAAACACCGAGAGAAGAAUUCAUGAUAACUCGUAGCUACUGAAAGAGGAUAGGUUUAUGAAAUGCUUUAGUGAAUACCACCCGCCUUCCACUGGCCGAUCAAUAAUAGUAGGCAUUCCGCCAGACUCCAUGACUCGGGUUAGGUUAAUCAGCUCCACUCCCUAUGCUAUUGAUAUGCUCGAGCCUGAUCGCUCAUAUGAGGACUUCCACUUUCCAUCGGCCGGCAAGAGUUUCGUCUUACCCGCUUAAUUGCCCGAAACCAACCUUGAAAGGAAUAGUUUGAACUAAUUGCCUGUUUACCAACAAAAGUCGGGUAGGGCAGGGAAUGCCAAUGCCUUUGAUCAGAGUCAGUCAAUCUCCUACUUACUAUGCAACUCGCCCUUUGUGUCUUUAUCAUUAGGCAGCGACCCUUGUCAAGGUCUUCCUCUUGACUUUUGACUAUUAGGCUUACUAUGACCACACUGGUCACUUUCUUUCUAACCACAAACGGGAUCAAGGGCAUCAUUUACUUACAGCGGCAACUAAUUCCCUGCGAUAGAAACUUUCCAAUCUCUUAUGUUUUGGAUAAGAGAAGACUAUCUUAGCUCACGGUAUCACCUCAGUGCUUGCCCAUAAGGCGGUUUAGGUUCGAUCGGGUGCCCUUUUGAUCGAUGGGAAGCGAUAAGACCCCAAUGAGAGGAUUGGCAUGAGAUCUGUUUGGUCUCUUAGGUGAGCUCAAUCAUCAUUGCCCAAUAGCUGCUCUUUCCUUGGGGAGUGGAAAGUGGGCAUCUACCUGGCUGUUAGGCCGCCACAUCUCUUCCGCGACUCAAGAGAUCCAGUGUUCCGGCGAUUCUAGCGACCACCAAGGACCUGACUGCAUUCUUUCCUGCCGGCCUCCAAACCCAGGUGAGUAAGCACAAAACUAACGAUGUUACACUCGCGUAGGGUACGUAGCGUUCAGGAACAGGAGGUAUCAAAGGUAGAAUGGGGUACUCGCCGCUACUAGUACCAACUUCCCUGAAAUAAUGGUUCCCUAUCUGUGUGUAGCCCCGGUCGAGAGGCAAACUCGAAUAUUCAACACCUUUUUCCUUUCGCGCAAGAGAGAUCAAAGAAGCACUUUCGAGCGUCAUUUAGAUGUCCAAUCCCUACGCAGCAGAAAUGGUACACUAUCGAUCCAAGCCGGGCCGAUAAGAUGAGAUGGACUAGAAGAAAGAUGUGGCACUAUCUUUGACAGUUUUUUCGAAGUAGGGGCGCUAUGAUAGAAAGGAUUGGUUCACCCUGAGGGAAUGGUACCAUAUAUGCUUUAGCCUGUGCUUACCGACCGUCUUAAGGCCGACAUUUCCUUCGUGUGGACAGGACAGGACCUUUGUCAAGGUCUUCGUACGUGUGUAUCAAGGCAUUAUCAAGGCUUUCUACGUUGGUUGGACUGGAAAAGGACAAUGGCCUCCUAUACUUGGCCCUAAAUUCGUUACCAAAGCAAAACUCAAGCAUUCGGGUAAAAAGACAUCAACUGAGAAGAGAUUGCUUGCUCAGUCUAGGCAGGAGCUUAACUGUGUUCGGGUGCUGAAAGCCUUUCUCGGAUCAUUUGGUUGGUCGAUGUAUUAAGAGAAAGAGAACAGACAAGAAGGGGGUCAAAUACCAAGCUAAAGAAGGAAAGUGGAGUUCUCGUGAUGCUUGCUGUGCUCGGAAAGCCCACUACUUAUGAUAUAUAUUUAUAGGUCUUCCUACUACCAAAUAGGGAAGGAGUAAUCUUUAGGGAUGAUAAGGCGGUCAGUGUCUAAUAUUUCCUCUCCUAUGAGAUUCUCUGAGCGGAUUAGUCGAUCGAUUUAUGGUCCUAGGCUAUCUGCUUGUAUUAUAGCUCGGGUAGGUAAGGUUCCAGUAGUCGUAGUAGUAAGGAGUCAGUAUACAUAUUUUAGAGAGAAUGAAUUGUUGUGUUACCACGAGAAGAGGGCAGGGAAAGUUCAUUGAGCAAAGCCUAAGCUCUUUGAAGAGACAUGAGACAAUGGGCGCGCUUACGAAUGCCAAAGCAAAAGUCCGUGGUCAAGACUUAUAUAUACCCGACGAAGAUCUUGCCUCAAUAGGCUAAGGUCGGUCUUCUCCUAUUCUGUCAAAUAAGACUAUAGCUUAGCGCCCUCUGUUUAAAUGAACUAAUCCAGAGCUUGUAGCGAUUCCUCUACCUACUGGUAAUGUAUGCGAGAUUGGAGCCGAGGAGCAAGCAGUUAUAGGUAUACAAGGUAUGGAACCAUCUCUGUCUUAAAAGGAACGGAAAUGAGACAGAGCAUAGGAAUGACACGUGAUGUAAAACCAACUCCUACUCCAUUUAGGGAAUUCGCACUCGCUGUAACUGAACUUGAUGGGCGAGCGGAGCUCUCUUUACAGUCGGGGAUGAUAGGCGGACUAGGGAUAUUUUCAAGCUCUCUAGAUUCAGGGAUAUUAGAUAGAGGCUGGCAACUAAGGAGCUUCCCCUACAACGGCAAUGGUACUGCAGGAAAAGGCCUUAUUCAACAGCAAGCUUUCAAACUCAUUUGCUUUUGUCCGAGAAUCCACUUGCUCACCGGAAUGCUUACCCCUAUAGCUUAUUACUAGCUCGCUAGCAUCAAAUAUCCUUAUGGAAUUGUCAGUUUCAAAGGGGACAGGUAGGUACUGGCUAUGCAAAGAAAAUAGACCCUACUUAUUGACUGUACCAUAUUCUCUCGUCUGUGGAUCGCCAAAUACACUUAUACUCUAAUCUCAAGUCCAACCCUAAGGAGAGCAAAGGGAUGAAGCAGCAUCUAACCUUUCUUCUACUCUCGAUUUACAAGAGAAAGGAAAAAUGCCUACGACAGGAGGGGCUAAGCAAAGUAAGGGGAUGGUAAGAAAAACACCAAUAAGUCCAAAGAAAUGGCUCAACAAUGGCAGGUAGGAGGACAGCAAUUGGAACUAAAGCCUCAGGCAUAAAAAACAGAUUAGAUAUGAUAAGAGAAAAAACAGAUGAGAUAUGAUAAGGUAAUACGAGAGAAAUACUAGUCAAGUUAGUAUAAUAUACUUAGUAUAUCGUUAGCCCCUUUUCGCCUUAUGUUGAGUCAAUCAAAGACAGCUGAUAUGCGAUAUGACAGAAAAGAGUGUUUUCUUAAUUCGUUGAAGCCUGUAAGCAAACAUCAAAUCCUUGAGCCCGAUCAAAAGUUUCAUAUUUGGUUUAUGGAAGAACGGGAGAUCUUUUUUCAUAGCCUGUUAGAAUAGAAAAGCCGGAAAGCCUUAUAUCUUGAAAUGCAUUCAGAAAGUUGAUGAGAAAAUACAUGGAUGUUCUAGGGGGCGCACUUCUGACCCUAAAACCCCUUAAGGGAAGGGCGGUGACAACGGGUAGGAUAAAUCCAUUUAGGUUGUUUGGGCUCUAUAGGGAUUUUCUCUUUCUCCUCUUUGACAAGAGAUGCUUACUUCAAAUCGUAUUUUCUCACAUGGGCGACAAAGAUUGCUAAGAUCGGAUCGAGGAAUCGCUAAAAUCUAGAAAAAGAGGACUGACCCUCACGGGAAUUCCCUUCUUCAACUCAAUCUAAAGUGCAAAACUGUGACACGGCAUAUGGGCCGCUACCUCCCGGCUCUGAGACUGCUACGCUGCUAGGCUCUUUUUGAUUCUCUUAUUUUCUAAUAGAAUGUCCGAAGAGGAGUAGCCCACCGCACUUUCCAUCUUUUUCGAGAUCGUUCCCUUGGUCUUCCUCAGAAUUAUGUAGGCCAUCCGCCUAAUGGAGUGGGCUUAGUUGAGUCUCCUUACUCUUUUCAUUCAUGAGCUAGGAGGACUAUAAUCUAAGGGCGAUUCCAAUCCUUAGCUUAGAAAAGCGUCGGACGCCUUGUAGUCCUUGGUGAGCGGAUAGAAACCAGUCUCAAUAGAAAAGCGAUUCUUCUUAAUAGAAGUAGGAUAUGGAUCCGGAUCAGAGGAUAAAGUAAGCGACGAAGCUGGAGAGGAGGGCGAUCUUUCUAUUCUAGACAAAAUGCCAUAGAACAGGCGUCACGUGGGCAAGCAAGAUAGGGAGAAUUCUUCCUCAUUUGAUUAGUGGAACAGAGGUCACUCUCGAAUUGACUGAUUCCGAUUGCCCCCCGAGUUGUAGUCCAAGUUGUCAAUGUCCCGUUCUAGCUCAAAUGUUGUAUAUAUAGUUUAUUGACUUAACCGAGAUUCUGGCCUUCUCUUACCUUGUAGUGAAACUAAUCAAUAAGAAACACCGGGGCGUAACUAAACUAUGCACUAUUUGCCUUGCUUGACUUUGAUGAUGGCUGUACUUAAGAAAAGCCCCUUGUAGUGGUUGGUAGGUAAGACCAAGGAGCUGGAAACAGGACACUGAUUGUCCCGCUCUAGUUUAUGUAACUCACAUUUGAAAGGAUGCUUUCACGCUAGAAGGAUAGGAAGGGCGAUAGUAAGCAGCUUGGUAGGAAAGUGAGUUCUUCGGUUACUUCCAAUUAGUUUAGUUAGGUGCACUCAAUUCAACAACAAGCUUUUGCGCUAAGGCAAUCAGGAUAGAGAGGUUAUGUUCUUGUGCUCUAAUUUCUAAGGCUGUUGAUGCUGCUUUUACUUAAUUCGCUCUAGCUCCUCUAAGGCCAGUUCCGCUUCUUGUAUUGUCGACAACAGAAUCCGUGGUUUACACACAAAGUCAAAAGAAUGGCUUGUUCGUUCAGAAGAGUUCGACACGACAGAAUUGGAAUUGCAUCAUUUUCUCUAGCGAAUAGGGGAAAGUAUAGAGAGUCACCUCACCCACCUUCACGCGUGGCUCUAGCAAGGGAAGGGUAUAAAGCAAAAGUAGAAGGCAGCUCAAGGAGAAAGCACCAAGGGCAAGAAUUCUUUACAACAAAGUAUAGGGUUUGGUGUGCACUCUCAAUCUGAAUUUCCACGAGUGCUAGGUGAGUAAGGAGAAUGGCUUUGAAAGCUUACGUAAGCACUCCGCAACAAUAAGAAAUACAGGCCCGCGCAUAAGUAAGAAAUAAUUGAUUGUUUGUGACGCUCGAAAGAUGAAGUUCAAGCUGGAUCAGGUGAUUGAUUGGCUUUACGUCGUAGGUGGAGAGAGGUGAUUGUCCGUCCCGCUAGAGCUCCUUGUACACCAGAAUGGGCUUGUCCCGCUUGAGCUCAAAGUACUGAAGUGGAGUAGAGAACUGAUUAAGCUAGGUUAACUUCAGUAGAGUAUGUUUCUUUGGGUACGAGUGUUGAAGUAAGAGAAUCCGCUGGAGAAAGAUCAGAAUCAGAGGCUUCAAGUUCAUUCAUUCUAAGGACAUAAGCACUGUUGGAGAGUUUCCAUUUGUUUGGUACCUAUGAGCUACCUUAAACAGAGGUUAAACAACGAGAAAUGGGCCUUACGAAGCCUUUCUUUAACCGAGAAAUCAUCCUUAUGAAGCGCGGUGAAGUGGGGAAUUGCCUUAUAGUCCUGCACCAAGACUUGAUUCUUGCCCCAACUAACACUUCAUCUUGAUUUCGAUCCCUAGUAUAGAAAUAGUACUACCUACACGGGAAAGAAAAGCACUAUAAGUAGAAGCUCUAUGGCAAAUGUGAGACCUCUAUGGCAACAUAAAUCAAAGAAAUAUAUAUUAUAGGAAUCAUUGUAUUUGUAUAAUAGGGUAGAUCUCGCACAUUAGGUUGUAUACUAAGAGUAGGUCUUAUCUAGUGCAUUAAGAGAUAGAAGAGGGAACUAACCCUUUCAAAAGGAAGAAAUCACCUAUACGAAAACUGGACUUGCAACUCAUACAACACCCGUUAGGGCUUUAGUAACUGACUUGAACUGUCAACUCCCUUUCCUGGUAAGCUAAAGAAGUUAGGCAUUCAGAUCUGAUUGUAGUCAAGGAUGUUAGGCGCAGUCAAAGAAUUCAUGUAAUCUCUCCACUUAUAUAAGCUACAGGUCAACAACUCCCUUACGAGCUCGCAUUCAUUUUAGUGAAGAAUUGGAUUUCAUGGAAACUUCCCCACAUCUGAGGAAUACACCGUAACCUAUAGCGGUAAACUCCCUUACCUGAUACCUAAACAGCUUCAGAUGGAAUUGAUUCUUCGGCUUAUAAUACUUCCCUUGUUACUAGGGUUAUAUACUAAAUACUCCACUCUAUCCCCUUUACCUCAAACUAACUGGUCAUUCUGUAAUUCUGUAAUGAUGUAAUGAGAGCCCACCGAAAAUGGAGUACUAGGCGCAGAGCAGAGGUAAGCUCGCAAGGACAAGCAAGUCAGCCCAAUAGCAAGGGUUGGUGUUAGGGAGGCCGGGACUUCGUUUUCAAGAAGAGUCGGUCCUUUCGUUAGCUAGAGUUCAUUGACUUGGAGUUAGGUGACCCAGUAAUAUGUCUUUUACCUUAACAAGGAGCGUGAACGUGUGAUAUAGACAAUUUCUCGGGUUUCUCGAGCGGGACUCAUGAUUGCAUGGGUGAGAGAGAGGCCCUGAUUGGACCAGGCGUUACUGCCAAAAGUGCGUUUUUCCUAUAAUCAAUCAAUCCAAAUCCUGUUUAAAGACAGACUGAACACUCCCUAGAGUUAGCGCUCCAAGCCCUCGCCCGAUACCCGACACUUUCCAAGGAAGAAUCCUACUCAGUAUAUCAUCGGUAUGGAUUUCGUUCUCUGGUUCUUGCAGUAAAAAUAGGUGCCUGAAUAAAUAGAAUAGAAGAAGGCUUUCCGCUCCUUGUGCUUACCUCUGCACUGACCUGAGCUUGUGCUCGAAACCUAACCCGCUGCUCCACUUGUUUAGAUAAGCAAAGCCCUACACGAUUCAUAAGGAGACCCCCGGACUUCCAAUCUGAUAUCGCAGUUGACUGGGCUCACUACCUUUCCUUUCAUUCUUUAAUCGCAGGCACGUUAGUUGGUUUUCAACAAUCGGAUCUGAAUUCAACUAGCCAGUCGGGAUGCUGGUCUCCGCAACAAGACCUAAAGGAUCUAUAGUAAUAAUUUGAACAGUGCUUAUAAGAAUGAGCCCAAUGCCGGCAGGCAAACACAACUGCAAUAAAGAACUCCACAUAAUGUAUUUAUUAUGAGUUAUGUCAGCUGAUGUCUUCGUCAACUCUUAACUUCACCUUUCACUAGUGCUUCUAAGAAUUGAGCUCAUCGGUAAUAGAAUGAGAUACCAUCCACAAGAUCUUCGACUUUCAUAUAAGUAGUCGGAAUCAAACACGGAAGCAAGCCUUUCCCCCAUGCCCUUGAGCCUACCCUUCCUUACCGGCACUCUUAAACCUAGUAGGCCGAUAGAUAAAACGACUCCUCCUAUGAGAAUCAAACAAGGCAUCCGGGUCCACCCAGUAACGUAUAAUUUGAUGCGGAGGAGUUGUUUCCCCUAGCUAUAAAACUCACUAUCCUUGGUUAAGAUCUACCGCUACUUGCUUUUCACCUAACACUCUUUACUUUCGUUCUUAUACUCCUCGGUUGCACUCUUUACUUGAGGUUAGAGCCUUCCCUUCCCCUCUAUGAAUUGAAGUAUACUUCUCCUUGCUUUCCGGCUUAAGCGCUUUUUUCGAAUUCUAAUACUCGUUGAUACGAUCCAGUGCAUCCAGGUAAGGGAGCAGUCCAGUCAAUCUGUAUACUACUAAAGAACUAACCUAUUAGUCAAAGAAUUCCAGUGGAGUGGAUAAAGUCAGAAUCUUCACCCGAAAGCAGGAUCACUGUAACCAAGUCCAAGAACGAGUAGGUGUAUUAGGGAAUCCAAAUCACAGGUAAGAAUCAAAGAAAGGAGUAGGAACUAAAGUAGUGCCCCCCGACCUACAAGCUUGAAGCACGGAACUCGGGCUUAACUAACGGAUAGUCAGAAUUGGGCUAGCGCUAAUAAGACCUUAGCUCAAAACUAUGACUAUUGCUACAGCCUCUAAUACGGAUUCUUAGAAUCUGAAAUGAACUGUAGUAAACCAAGCCAAGCCCUCCCUUACAGCCUUCGAGACUUGUCUUACCGCCUAAGAGCCUGUCUUUACUGCUUUACAUGCUUUAACAGCGGAUCUGGAUCCUGACUUGAAUCCCUUAACUAGUGGUGUGCCUUUCAUCUCUUAUCUCACUAUAAUAAAGAAAUAGAGAAUACAGGUGUGAUCUAACGCACCUACUGGAUAACUAGAAUACUACUUAUAGGCGGUAGAGUAAGCCCUAGUUCCAGUAUAGGGAAUGCUAGUAAGAAGUAACAGAGUCAAAGGGUGUAUUAAGAAUCAAAGCCAAUAACGUGUCCUAUAAGGAUUGUUAACUACUAAUACAAAGAAUAGAACUAGUGAGGGCAAGCAUGAAACUCACACCAAUCAGAAUGCAACCAGUAAGUAGAAGCCUUAAAUGUCCCUAACUAGUCCAAGAAUGCAAAUAGUGAAACUAAGACUUCCACCUGUGCUGGGCAGAAUGGACUACUGUCUGCUAAGACUUCAACUAGAUUCCGACCCUUAUUAGAAUUUCUUCACCCCGUGCUCCUCAACCUGAUGAUGCUACAAGGGUGCUUGGGCUGCUGCUAGGUAUGCUCAGACUGGCACUGCUGCUACUGAUGCUCUGUAUUGGUAGCUAGGGUCUCAAUUGAUUGAGCUAGUAUUGGUAUGUAGCCUAGGGAGUUAGAAUCAAACCAGUGAACCAAAGAAUUCCAGAAUNNNNNNNNNNNNNNNNNNNNNNNNNNNNNNNNNNNNNNNNNNNNNNNNNNNNNNNNNNNNNNNNNNNNNNNNNNNNNNNNNNNNNNNNNNNNNNNNNNNNNNNNNNNNNNNNNNNNNNNNNNNNNNNNNNNNNNNNNNNNNNNNNNNNNNNNNNNNNNNNNNNNNNNNNNNNNNNNNNNNNNNNNNNNNNNNNNNNNNNNNNNNNNNNNNNNNNNNNNNNNNNNNNNNNNNNNNNNNNNNNNNNNNNNNNNNNNNNNNNNNNNNNNNNNNNNNNNNNNNNNNNNNNNNNNNNNNNNNNNNNNNNNNNNNNNNNNNNNNNNNNNNNNNNNNNNNNNNNNNNNNNNNNNNNNNNNNNNNNNNNNNNNNNNNNNNNNNNNNNNNNNNNNNNNNNNNNNNNNNNNNNNNNNNNNNNNNNNNNNNNNNNNNNNNNNNNNNNNNNNNNNNNNNNNNNNNNNNNNNNNNNNNNNNNNNNNNNNNNNNNNNNNNNNNNNNNNNNNNNNNNNNNNNNNNNNNNNNNNNNNNNNNNNNNNNNNNNNNGAAAGCUCUUCUCUUAAUAUAGGUUCCCAAUAAAUCCAUAGGUAAGGUUCCCAAUAAAUCAUGCCUUCAUUCCUUUCUCAUUUACUACUUAUUCAGUGAAGCGCUCCCCAUGCUGAUUGAUUGACUUCUUUUUCUAGGAAGAUCUCAACUCUUUCUUGUCCACCCUAUUCACUUCAUAUAUCUUCUUUUUUACCAACCACAGAUUAUUAUCCAUAUCAAGGCAAGCAACGGACAAACAACGCGAAGACACCAAGUAUAAGAAAUCACAUAUCAAUUAAUUCUAUCUUUAGAAAUGCUAUCUUUAGAAAUGGAAUCUAUCCCAGAGCUCCCGUAAGCUGAAGAAGGCUUAUUUUGCACUCAAUGAAAUUGAAGCUUACUUGCGCACUGCUUCUAUUGUGGAUGACAACUAAGGUAAAGCACCAACCUAUCUCUACUAGGGAAAGCGGAAACAUUACCCUUUACCUCAGACAGGAGUACCGAUACUGACUUCAAGUAUUCAUUCAUAUCUCCCCACUUAAGAAGAACAGGUAGGCGGGAAAGACAGAUUGGGUUUUCUCUAAUAAGGGAUUGAAGUAAGUAUUGCCAGUCCCAACAAGACGUUCUGCGCGUAAAGUCACCUCGCAUCCCUUUACUCUAAACUGUAUUCAGUAAAUUAAGUGUUAGAAGUCAAGUAAUCAAAUUAGAUGAUAGGAACUACAACAAAUAUCAAUUCUUAACAACACUCUAAGACCGACACGUAAGCACUUAUGCUAACACACCCCGCUCCGCCAGUGGGCAAUAAGCUCUUGCUCCCUUACUUUUCUUCUUCCUUCUGAAUCGCUAAGUAACACAUCUUCUCAAAUUGGAUGAAAGAACAAUGCAUGAAUUUUCCAGACCAUCUCCUCGUGGGGCUAUCUUAACAUAACUUUCUUAAUUCAAUACAAAAUCCCAAUUAGUCGCAUAGUUUUUCUAGUAUAGAAGGAUUGAGUAACUAAACAGCGAAACACUACUUACUAGCUCUGCCACUCUAGAGAAAUAAUAGUUUCUAGAUAGAUACUUAUAGAAUACAGUAAUAGUUGAUAGAUAGAUAGAAUACAGUCAUUUUGGAUAGACAGAUACUUAUAGAAUACAGUAACAAAACAAUGCUUUGCCUCUUUUUCGAACUCCCCGGGUGCAACUCAUUCAUUUGACUGAACUGCUUGGCUUGCAACAUUUCAUCCUAGCGACCCUUGCUUCUUCUGCUAACUCACUACUUUAAUAACUUGCUUUCCGGCGUACCACAACAGGAUCUAUUAUUCGCCUUCUAACAUAAACCCACUUUUUCACUAACGCCCGAACUCAAAUAAGCUUCUGCUUUAUCUUCUUCCAGCUUCGUUAGCGCAAGUCCUGUUUGUUUUCUUACCCGAGAUCAUAUAGCACUCAAAAAUAUGACCUCCUAUUCUAUUGGUUAGCUAGUUUCACAACAGCCUUUACUGUCUCAAUGAGCUUCCCCCUUAUUGAUAGCUCUCCAGCAAUGGAAUAUAAUGAUACUCUCAUGCCACUUGCCUGAUGUCAAAAGAGUGUUGGAUUGAAAAAGGGUAAAUCCACUCGCAUCUUCACUAUUAACUCGCAUCUUAACAAUUUGAUAGGUCCUAAGGCAGUUUCGUUUUUCUUUGAUGCUUACGUUGGGCUGGGUGCAACCCCAUAAUCAAUGCUCAUAUAAAGUCAGGGCAAUCCGUUGAGGGUUUUCAAAGUUCCUCUGGUCGACCACUACUCUACUGGGUAAAGCCAAUAACCUACACAACACUUUAAACGUACUCGAACCUAGACUUCACUCAAAACACACUUCUUAUCCAACUCGAUCUUCAUCAGGCAAACCCUAACGGCUGAAACAGCAUUUCUCAGAAUUCCUUAUGCUUGAAAUGAAAGCGGAUUGGUCACUUUUCCACUGACUUCCGCUUACAGCCUUGACGGAUCCUACCUAGGCUAGGCUAGGCCUAACAUCGGAUGAAAGAGUUAACUUACUCAGAUUCUUCUUCUGGAAUGAGGGAUGAAUGAGUUCAUGAGCUUGACUAAAUGGAGUAAGGGCUGGCUUCCUUAGCUAAUGCGCAGGUUUAGACCAUAGCAUCAGCAGCUUUCCUUUAGUGUUUUUCUGGAUAAACCACAAUGGAUAGGCGGUCAAAAGAAGGGCCCUUACUAUUAAUUCGGAACGAGGCAAGUGCUCUUCUUGAAUGCACCGGCUGAUGAGUCGAGUCGUUGAAGCAGAAAGCUCAAUUCAAAGAUAGGCGCUAUAAGGAGUUAGACUUAGACCCUUUCUUUAUCUAUGAAAGACCAGUUUAGAGGGAAGCAAGCCUAUGACAGAGCGUACAAGCCGAAAGAUGAAACCAAGCCUACAAAAGCUAGCAGGCAUAAGCACUAAUUAGGUCCCUAAUAAGGCCCAGCAAUGCAUGUUGAUAUAGUCCACUGGAACGAACUCACAACUCAAUGGGGAAAUUGGCUUAUAGCACGACUCGAAGAAAAGAGGUGUAUUUAUAAGAACAACAAUUCUCGAGCGGCCCAGCAACGACAAGUGAAACUUCACACAGCCAGGAAGGGUUGAACAAAUCUCCGCGCUUCAUCGCGGAUGGGGGCAUUAAGGAGUAGUCACCGCUCGUCCGCGGGGCUCUUUUAUGGUAACUACUAUGGACGAGUGUACAAUGUCAAAGUGUGCAUUUGCAUUCCGCGGUUUCACCAACUCGCUCUUGUCCAGUAGGCCCAACGAACGAAUCGAAUUCCAAUGGAUUGAUCACAGGGACCUCUGCGAUCUAAAGCUUCGACCGAGAAAGGGAAGUUCUGAACGACCCGACGAUGCCACGCGCAACUACCUGAAGUGUGUAGUCAUUGAGCCCGGCCCUUAACGUCCUCCCCACUCAGAGUCAGACCUUUUGAUCAUGUCGUUGCUGUGCCGCAGGGCGCCCCUUUAGUUCCUUUACUCAUGAUCUCUCUCUUUAGUAGGUGAUGAUCUUACUCUGCAGAGAGGUGUGGCUUCUCCUGAAUGCCAAGAAAGACCAGUAUUGGCCCUUUAGCAAGCCCUUGCAGCCAUCUCACAUUAAGUCACCUAUGCUUCCGAGAGUAGCAUAAGAUACUUGUGAUGGAAUUUCGCCUUAAUGAAUGCGAGAGAUUCAUCCAAAAACCAAACCGGAUGACUAUAUGUUUCAGCAGAUCAUAAGCGAGCCUGCGCUAGCCUUGCAAUCAUUCAUCAACUUCAAGGCGAGUUCGAAAGCUUUACAAUUGACUUAAGGAGAUCUCUCUCUUUCUCUAGAUCUCUUUGGAGAGCCCUUCUUUUAGCUCUUUCUUCGGAGUAGACGGACUAGGAGUUACCGAUUCCGGACUCAACAACUAAACAAGUCCUGAGCAAUGUCCCUAUGCAAUGUUCCUGUCUUGAGGCUACUUUGCCUGGUUGUUUUACUUAGUCUUUCUUUCCUUGACAAGAGAACAGCCCUUAGGUUAGGGGCGGAAAGAUCACAUGUUUUUUCACACUGUUUUAUUAGGAUUCCUUCUGAGCCGGUAAACCUACAACUAUACGAACAGUCCUCUACAUUUCGGCCAAGGAUGGCAAAUCAAACAACUUGAUGUCCUUUCACUUACGACACUCAUUUUCAUGAAUGACACUGAGUAAAGAGCCUAAUCGACGACUAUAAGGUCAUUGGAAAAAGCGAUUCUUUAGGCACGAUACGAUUCUUCCUCAUAAUAAGACUCCACCAUGAAAGGCUGAGGAUAGUCUCCCUACUGGAAGGCUCCUAUAUGCAAAAAUAUAUGUGACUGCGACAGAACCGGCUGGAAGUCCUGUCUGCUGGGUCCAGCACUCUUCUACAAUUCAUCUACAGUCUAAGACCAGCAGCCGACCAACCUCUUUUUUGAGAAACGUAGCAUAGUCGCUUCCGGUGAAAGAGGUGCUCCUGUCUUUGGAAGAUACUUUCUUAGAGCCCAGCCCACAUAGUGAGUGGUUUCCCGGACCAUGAAAGUCUCUCUAAAGCUUGCAUAGUCGCUUCCGUCUUUGGAAAGCAGCACAGUUGCUCCCUUGGGAUAUUUGAUGAUGAAAGCAAAGUUCCCAGCUGCCGAUUGAUGUUUCACUCGUGUAUAAUCCAUCUGUUUGACUCAAUGAAUUGCUGGCUUCCUAUCAACUCGAAUAGAUUGAAUCUUGGCAGAGUUAGUGACCCACUUUAUAACCAUCUGCCUAUACGGGGCAAAGUAAUCACUUGAAAGGUUUCGGAAGAAAUCCCUACUUGGGAGCUAAGCUUGGAUCAGAGGUGGCUUUACUCUUAAGAAAUUCGAUUUCAUAUUUGUGCUGCCGCUCUAACUUCUAUUGAUAGACCCUUCGUGGAGAGAGCCAUUAUUGGGCAUAUAGAAAUCAGUACUGUUCUGUGCCCCGACUACGUCCUCUUUUUUGUACCAAAAGGCCGACACUAACAGAGCAGGGGCCCACUAUCAAAUCUAGGAGUUACCGGGGGGCUAGGAAAGGGGAAAGUCAGGAAUAACACAUGAGCGACGGGCGAAGAGCAGGGAGAUCGCCUUCGGCCCAUAGAGAAAAGUAUCAAACCAGAAAAAGAGAAAGCAGCUUGAGGUGAGUAUGGGAGGCAAAGCUGGAUCUCAUGAGUCAGUGCGACCAUGCCCGGGUCCCGAUUCCUGACACUGAGCUAACUUUCAUUGAAAUAGGGGCUGACGUCAGCGACACGGAGGAAAGCUAAUGCGAUUUGGAUAAUCAUGUUGCGAGGAACGGGAUGCGACUAUCUGUUUCCUUUGCCCAAAAGCCUUCUGCAACAACAUAAAUGGCACGUGAUAAGAUCUGCUGCAAGGAUACGCCAGGACAAAGUAGCGGCAGGGAUAAAGAUUCCAAAACUUCUUCUAUUGACAGAAGAUAUGGGAAAAAGCGGAUGAGAUGGGCAAGUCAAGUUUUCGUCCUGUUUCAUAAGAUAAGAUAAGGGGCCGAGCAACUGGUCUUUGCCCAGCUAUAAUUGCACAAUUUAUAAAGAAUGCUCUCAGCUGUAUUGUAUUCAAAGCCAUGAAGAAGAUCUUCUGGACCUUAACUCUGUACCAUUGGAUGCCAGAGUGUAGGAUUUUAUUGAGUAAGAGGAUCAAGGUGUUUUUGGUAACCGGAGCGAAAACUCUAAUUGAAGAUACUUACAUGGGGGUAAACGAAGCCCCGAGCCCACCUCUGACUCUAUAGGCGAUUCAACACUCUCCCUAAUGGAGGGAACAGUAUAAAAAUGAAAGAAGAACUUGGAAUGGUGCUUGCUAGGAAUGAAGCAAAGAUACUUAAUAAGAAAAUGUCUGAGGUAUUUGAUGGAUCCGUUGCUAAGCCAAAGACUCGAACAGUAUCAUUGGCUGCUAUGAUUGGAGCUGUGAUAUUAGCUAUGGCGUUAGGUUAAUCAGUAACAAUAAGGGAAUUGUGCUCUAAUUUAUGCAGUUAUUUAGGCUACAGCUAUUCAUAGUUUAUUGUCAACUUCGUAGAUAGAGGAAAGAAGGGAGAGUGGAGUUGCUUAGAAUGACACUUAAUAAACAGCAACUCAUUCAUUUGCUCAAAUCACCACCAUUACCAAACCCACUUCGUUAACCUUCUCCAUUUUUUCUACCUGGGAGUCGGAUACUUCCUUUGCAACUUACAUCCUCUUUUCCACGCUACACUUUCGAAGCUUUCCUCUCCGCGGAUCUAAGCGUAGAAUCUAAGAGAGAAUUUCACGGGGAUAUAAUACUAUUCUGCAUAUCGGUCUCCCAAAGCCUAUAUUGUUGGUUUGGAGUUGAACACAGCUGAUAGCAGGAUGAAGCAGCAAUGCAGCUUGCGAGAGGCCGCUUGCUCCUUUGUCCACUCUAUUUAGCAUGGUCCUACAUUGAAUGGAUUGGUGGGAACAAUCCCCUGAUCAUCAUCACCAUGAUUCUAUUGUUACCACUUAUAAAAGAAAGAUGAUAACUUCGCUGUUGGAAGUCUGUUAUAAUUGGAGCUGGGAGGGGGCCCCUCGGAGAAAGAGAUCCAUCUUUGAGCUUACUCGGUGGUCUAGCUCUGCUAAAGUAGUGAUAGGUAAGGUCCCUCGGAGCGAAGUGGGUCGGCUCUUUACCUAUAAUAUAGAGCUGGGGAAUCUUUCUAAAGAGGGGAGGGGAUUCUUGAAGAGUGGAUUCGUGAACAACUGACUUUCUUCCACUUAUUAAUCCCUCUGAGCUUGCAAUUGAUCCUUCCAUUUCUGCUCUCGCUUAACUGAUUGAAUACGAGGCCGCUAAGGAAGAGCUUUUUAUGGUUGUCCUACUCGGGGAUAUAAAUUGGAUUGAUUAAGGCAUUCUUGUUGAAGCAUAAAUGUCCACCCGUAAAGACCAGUGACUGCUACUCACGAGAUGGCAAAUGGUUGAAAGUCCAAAAGUCAAGCGGAAAAUCCAGUAUGAAAGGAACUCAGACAAAAGGCAGCCACUCAGAGGUGAAGCAAAGCACGCCCUUCAGAUUCAUGUGCACAAUUGCUUUCCGCUAUGUAACAAAGCUUCCGACAACUGGGCCUAACAACAAGGGACUAAGCGCGAGUUCUGCUGUACGAUUCUAUUACUAUGGAUGCCUCCUCCUCUUCGCCAAUCGGUCAAAGCUCAAUCCCAACUCUAUCACUAAGAAAACACGUAUUCAUUCGUGAAAGAAACCCCUCCCUCAGUUGAAGACAGAAAAGAAAAUCAAGCAUUCGCCUAUUUACAGACAAGGCAAGCAGAGCGAAUAAAGAAAGAUUUACAUGUCAGCAAUCAGGCACAACAUUAAUUCUGUCUCUUUCUUUCUCUUUGCACGGAAAUAGCCUCUUGACUGUUGAGGUGGUUAAUCAAAUGAGAAUAGUAGAAGAAUGAGAAUAGUAGAAGAAUCGGACAUGGAAUGCGCUCUUAUCGGCGUAAAGAAAGAAGGAGUCUUGGUUAAGCCAGAACUUUGCCAGCUUUAAGUGCAGUUCCUUGCCUUCCCCAUUCUUUCGAAGUUGCUAGUACUCUCUCUCUCCUUUGCUCCAAGGGCGGGAUAAUAUAAGCCAUAAUAUAAGCCGGGAUACUUUGCUCCAAGGACGGUCUAAUAAGAAAGACGAAUAAGAUAUUCAGAUGUUUCUUAUCAAGUCAGAAAUAGGGUUGAAGGGUUGUGUUGGGCAUAGAGAAAAUGGUCAGAGGAGAGAGAGCUCGGUUCAACAAGUGGAGGUCGAGGCCGAAAGGAAGCAUAUUCCUAUACGCCGCUAAACUCACCUUGCUUCGCUCGUGUCUCCUUAGCACUCACUGUUAAUCGAGUCUUCCAUGCCCAACGACCUCGUGGAGUUCACUCCUUCCCUCCUCAUCGAUGACGCUGCCUUCCCUCUCUAUCCCUAUAUUCCAGUACAACGGCGGAAUCGUGUAUAGGGAACUCGACUAGCUACCUACCUAACCUAAUUUGAACCGGGAUCAAUGAUUGAUCUUAGUGAAACAUCUGACCCUCCACGACUUGGAGCCAGAUCCUCCUAAGAACUUAACAGAGCGUACCACACUGAGAUAGGAAACCGUCUAAGACCGGAAGAGCUAAGAUCGAGCAAGAAUGAAAGCUUGUUUCUUCCGGCGGCGCAGAUCGAGAAGCAUGUAUCUGAUCUCCCCACGAAACUGGCCGCCUUGAACCAUUCUCCUAACGUCCGCGACGGAGCUGAUCUACGCCUCUGCCUCUGCUUACCUUGCUUGCUACUAUCUUCUGAGAAGACAAUAAGACAAACAGCACAGACUUCCCCCCUUCACCAACAAUUGUAGUAAGUAAGUAGUCCCGUAUGACAUUCUUAAAACAUAUUAAUAUCUGGGCACUUUAGGAGGUCAAUCUUCCGUGUUUGAAGCUACUGCUAAAGUACGGACCCUCAUCUUUCUUAAAAGGAUAGGCAAUUGAGCGAGAAUAGGGCAAUAGCGAUAGACACAGGAACGGAAAUAGACUCAUUAUUUCCAUAGAGAAGAAUUCUAGCACAAAACCACCUUUUCUGUAACAGCGUAUUCUGUGAUUAACUGUCACAACCCAUUAAAAGAGCUUCUUCUUAUUCCAUGCUAGCUAUGACCUAGCCCCCAAUAGAAGAAAGGCUUAGAAUCAAUGCUUUGACCGGUAAUGCCCCUUCUCUCUCAUAGCCCUGCCCUGCCCUCGUGGGAAUCUCAGAUGUUAGAAAAUCCUCCAAGGCUUCUUCCCCAAGAGCUCUGCUAACACUGGCUAAUGACCUCGCUCGAGCUGAAACAAUGGAAUUCGCCGAGGGGGUUCUUUCACUUAUGAAAAGGUGGUUGAGAUAGAUGGAGCCCUGAACGGAAGUUCCUUCGCGACCUUUCCCUCUACCCUUGGAACAAAUUAAUAGGCGCUUCCAUUGCGAGAACCUUUCAUCCGAAUCACAAACGAAUUGGAAGCAUUUCUUUGAACAGCUGAAAAGCAUUCCACCUCGGAUGAGGAGUCGUUUCCAAAAUAGAAGUCAAGUCAACUGAUUCAAGUUAGUCCAAGCAUUUACUAAUACAAAUAAGGGCAAGAAAGCCUUUGAAACGAGUGAAAAUCUCACUAAAUGGUGAAUUGGUUCAUUUCCAUUGAAGAAUCAUACGCUGGUUGAGAAUAAGCAGCAGGUGUAAGGAGGGAUGGCACUUAGGAAAGGAAAUUGAAGCCAGUUAAUCCAAUAAGAUAAGAAGAGGCAUAUGCAAGACCAGAAGAGGUUGAACAUGAAUCUCUAUAAACUGUAUCGAAAAAAGGGACGUCUAUUAAGGAAAUCGGAUUGAUGCAAAAAUCCACAAUGUUCGGGAGGUUUGGUGAGAGGGGUGGUCUCGGAUAUGGCUCAGAGUACUGCCUCGCUUAGUCCAGCUGAGCUCCAUUAUUGAGACAACCAUAGAGUAAAGGUACAAAAUACAGAGAAAAAGAGUGUAUGCGAGUAAGUGAGAAAGCUUGAGCAUAUUCUUUUCCGUUUACUCACUCAUUUGAGCUCUUCCUGUCGAUCAGUGCGACUCCAACACAUACUGAGAGAGCAGAGCGUCCCUUAUUUGCGUAGUAGCAAGGCUUUCUUUCGUGAGCUAGCCUUGUGUGUUUGCUUCCUCCUUUCCUAUCUGUUUCGGUAAAUGCCUGGCUAUUAAUAAAGCUAGCGUGGUAACGAGACAGUGAGUGAAUCGGUUAACGAGACUGAGGAAGAUGCCUAGCUAGUUUUGAACCAGAGCAGGGAAGUUAUUUAGCUAAAUAGGAAGUUAAGCCCUAGAUUAGCAAAGAGCUCUAUCCGUUCUAUCCAAUAGACUAUGAAGUGAAAAGGCCAGUAGGAAGAAGGUCCAAUUCAAGACAUGCGAAGUAAGUGAAACUCCCGUUCCAAAGUGACCAUAAGGAAGUGGAAAUAAAUAGGAUAACCAGAUUCCUGCCGUUGUUUAUUGGCUGUUAGGUCGGUGAAACUUUCCCUGUAGCUAAAGUCAAGCCAGUAGUUAGAGUUCUAUGUAGACCGGAUGGGACCUAACUCACUAUCUAUGUUCGUACCUCCCAAAAGUUGACCCUCAGUCCGAGUUAGCUCUUAUAGUUCAGGACAGUAUAGGACCCUUAGGGCUUUGGAAGCGAGCAACCAACCCGGCAGAAGUGGAUAGGAAGUUUAUGACAAAGGUAGCUUAGCUAAGUAAGAGUCCGUAAGUCAACUGAUCAGGUGUAGCGAUAGAGCGGUUUAGUUGACUCUUUCUCGAUGCUUUUCAUAGCGUAGUAAAGUACCCGACCCAAGGGAAGAAGUCCACUUCCCAUACUAGGAAUUCCCAGAUGAUUUGGCAAAAAAGAACCCAAUAGUAUGAGAACCUUAAACACUCGGAGUUCUGUCUUUAUUCAACAGUAAUAAAGGUUAUUAGCCUAACGGUGCUUUUUAUUACCUUAUAGCCUUUCGUAAAAGCAAGCACCUAAAAGAUGCAAUUCCUUUCGAAAUAGGGGCUUCCUAUAUCACCUCGAACAAGAAAUCGAUCUCCCUUGAAAAACACUAAGAGUUCCGAAUCGAAAAAGUAAACCGAACUUGAAGGAAGUUCUUAUCCUAGAAAGAGUAACCGAGUGACAAAAAAACCGGGCCAAGGAACUACUGUUGUCCAUGUAAGGGCUCGAGCUAUAGGGGGAGGUAGGGAAGGCAAGCUUAUAGACUGCCUUCAAUCCCUGUGCGGGCAAGCUUAUAUACUUACUUCCAUUCGAGUUCAUUCCUGUUCGCUAGUGAUCUAUCUCUUAUUAUGAUAACAUGAAAUUAUGAUAACAUGAAAUCCUAGGCUAGGUACGAAUACGAAAUAGAGAGACUAGGCUAGGUACGAAUACGAAAUAGAGAGAAAAGAUCCUAGGUAGUAAAUAGAGAGAAAAUCACCAGUAUAGUUAGGGAAGGGAAGAGUCAAUUGGGCCACAAGCAACUACAUUUCCAUCUUCGGCUUCCUUACCUCCAUCUAAUCCUCUUGGAAUUUCAUAUCUAUCUUAUCGAGCAUAUGGUAAAGAAACCCGUAAAGACAUAGCUUGCCUCUCUAACAGGCAAUGAAUAAGCUUACUUGCGCACUGCUGAUUGAUCUCAAUGAUUACACUCACUGCUUUGUUACCGUAGAGCUUACUUUAUACAGUUCCGACGCAUCUUGAUACGACAACACUCGCACCCCUAAGAUACUUGUUUGAAACUAGAGGAUAUCGCUACGGGGGCAUACCAAUAUAUAAAUACGAAAUUCCAUCGUUUGUUUUUUGGAUGACACUUGCGUGAUACUAAACCCUGUAGUGGGACUUAACCGCUGAUUCUAUAUACUCAAUUCAAAACUACAACCAACUUGAAACCAUACUCCACUUCACCAUAAAGAAGGAAGAUGACCCCUGCGUCUAUACCCUUAACCGAGCUCAGCUUCAGAGCCUGAUCCGUAUUCCUCACCUGCUAGUAAAGUUGGAGCUAGGGUAGGAAGUACUGUUUUCAUCGCCAUAGUGCUUACAUGAGUAUUUGUAAGCGGAUAUAUAAAUAGUAGGAUCAAGAUAAGAUAGAGAGUCAGUAGACCUAGCACCGGUCAUAAUUAUUGUAAGAAUUCUUUAAGCUUAUUUCAGGUAAUGGUUUUGAUGCGAGGGCAGCGUCAGCUGCGAUGCCUUGAGUGGAGUCUCCUUAAGUUCUAGGUAUAGUAUCUAUCUAGUCUAGGUGUUGGCGCAGCUGCAAACGAUUCUUCGAGUGAGAAGUAAAGAGUGGAAUCUUUCUUAGUUGGCAACGAGUCUCUUUAUGUUGCGUCCUGUUCCACUUUCAUCGUAUAUUAUAUAGAAUAAGAGGUGCAGCUCAGUUAGCGCAAGGACUAGUUUCAUUGAAGAGUUAGAAAGAACUUCGCAGUCAGCAUAAAGACAAAAAAAGAAAGAAAAUAAGAAGAUCAAUCAGCAACACAAUAACCUCUUCUUUAUACUGAACUACUUAGCGAUGUAAACCCUUCUUUAUAUAAGGUUAACCCAACUCGAAUAGCUUAUUUACUUAGUGCUGAAGAAGCCAAUAAUCCGUAAGGGCAAGAAGUGUAGUUACCAACCGCUUUCUAUCUUAAGUCAUCCUAUAAUAAGAUAAUAUAUAAUAUAGAUUGGUUUCUUAUACAGUGUGUGUAGUAGUGGUCUAAGGUCUAAGUCGUCCAUGUGAGGGUGCAGGCGCUAACGGAGUGUCAAUUUCGAUCUUAUAUAGGAGAACUUCUUCCUAGUAGUUGAGGCAUUUACAUAGACUUGAUUCGCCCAUAAAGAUGUUAGCCUUUUGGAACUUGAGCUUAGAUUCAAUGCUGGAUUUGCUAGAGUGGAGUGGAGUGGAGAAUUACCUGCCCCCGUUCUUGUUGUUGGUGACGAAGCGCUAGGUAAAUGAGUUUCAUCAGUUCUCUGGAAUCCGUUAUCCUAUCAGUUUUCAUUCAAAUAGAAGUUGGCAAGAAAGAGAGCACUAGGUCAGUUACUUAUUCUAUUUCUAUUAGAGAACCCCCUUGAGAGUUGAAUACCUGUCAAACCAGAACUACUUGGAAUCUACGAACAUAGCUAACCUGCCGCCCUUAUUAAACACACUGCUUCGCUAUUAAUAAGGCGGUCUUAAACUCUGACUCCUUACUAUAAGAAGAAUAAGGGAUCUACUAAUAAGAUAAUAAGAAUAAGGGAGAUGUGAGUGAGCGCUACGCUUGUGAAUUGAGGCAGCCUACCUUUGACUAUACAUUCUUGUACCCUUGCUUGGCCUGUGACCUAUGAGUUUCAUUCCUCUUUUCUAGGUUAUGUCUUUUCAUUCCUCUUUUCUAGGUUAUGUCUUAUAGGGUAGUGUCGCAUUCCCAGUUCAGAGUUGUGGACUCCUAUAAGCACCAGCUGAAGUCUAAUAGUAAAUACGAUUAAUAUCAACUCAGUGUAACUAGCGCCAACAGUGCCUAACAAGCAACAACCGCUAACUAGGGAUUGGACUACUACUACUAGGGAUUUGACCUGUUCCUUAUAUUCUAAAUCCUACUACUCGCUUCCAUUGCUUGCUUUUCAAACAAUCACUCUUUUCUCUUACUCUUACGAAGGGCGUUGGAGCUUCCAAGUAAGGAGACAUGUCUGUGUAUUCUAAUACCACUUCUAAUAAAUAAGGUAGUCCUGAAGACUAAUAGCAGUAUCGAUAUCAUAAUUCACCCAAGUAGUAGUAUCGAUAAUAAUGAAAUAAGUAAGUAAAAGAAAAGAAUGAAGCUAAGGCGGGGUGAUAAAACACUUACUUAGGAGCUGCCCUCUUUCUUGUCAACCUCACUCUCUUUCUGGUCGACUGUUUUCAUUCUCUUAUUGCACCAGUUCCGUCUGACUUGAGAAUUCUCGUCUAUCAGGUAGUGUUUCAGGGUCUUGUUAGGCACCUAGGGCAUCUGCCCUGUAAAAGAAAGGAUCCAGAUCAGCGGUUAACUAACCAAAGUUUCUAGUUUUGAAGAACUGGAGCGGGUGGACCAAAGCCUUGUUAUCACUAAAUUUCAUUAUGUAUUCUUAUCUUGAUUCUUAUCAUAUUAUUAGACAGUAUAGGUUUCUUUAUUAGAAAGUAUAGGUUUAUACCACUAUCAAGUAUAGUAUACCACCUAGAUCACAUAAAACAAAAUCCGUGCUGUUUUAGUUCAUUUGUAACUAAUCUCUUUUGUUGAUUAGAGUUAUUACUUCUGAUGUCUUCGCAAAUCGAAACCAAUAACAAUUCGAAUUUCGCUAAGGGGGAUGCGAAUAAAGCUGCUGCCAGCAAGGCUAUAGCUCCAAGGUAAGGAUUGAUUAUAGUCAGAAUAGCGUUCUAUAGCCUACAACACAAUGAAAAGACCAAUAGACAGAAUUGAGCUAAGCCACCUAGUUCUCUCGGGCAGUAAAGGUCAACUUGAAUCUAUAGUGCCAUCAGACAGGAAACGCACACGGGAAUCAAACUUCUCAAUAUAUCGGUAUAAGAAUCCAAAUAUCGGUAUAAGAAUCAAACGACUUUUACUACUAGUCGGAAUCGCACUAAAAAUGAGUCAUAGGCGACUGCCCCAAACAAGAAAACCUAGUGCUUCGAAGACCAUCACUGGAAACUUGUAAUUCAACAAAGAAGUAGGGAUGCACUACUACCCUAUGAGAUUCCACUAAGUAACCCACUCUUCGACUACUGAACCCAACCCUUACUCGUGCCUUUCACUCCCACUACAUUAGCUAAGUCUAUCGCUACUGCACUAAGCCUGUUGCUCGUUAGCUCAAACCUACCUCUCCUUAGUUUCAGUGCGACUCCCGGCUAAUAAGGAUUGAACUAAGAACUAGUGCUAACAAGACUUCCGCGAGUAGCAAGAAGACCACAGCUCUUAAUACGACAUCCAAGAGUAGCAAGAAGACCACAGCUCUUAAUACUACAUCCAACUAUUGCCUAUGAGCUAAGCGGUAUCUACUUACCUUCUUUCUGGAUUUGGAGAUUGGCUCCGCUCUUCCUCGCUAUCACUCUUUGGUUACUGACCUUUAUUCCUACCUGUUAGUUCGGGCCUGUCUCCUCUUCCUAUUAACCUGCCCCUCUUAUCUGGAGACAAGCCUUCUUGCCUUGAGUUGGAGUCCGCGACUACUUCGUCUCAUUCUUGUUUAUGGGUGUAGGUCUGCUAUUACUCGGCCUAAUACUUGAAUGACGGAUCUAACAUCCGAUACCCCUGCCUAUUAGCCUACUAUUACUUAUUUAUAUUAUUUCACUAAUACCUGUGAUCCUUUAACUCACAACUCGGGCUUGCUCUGCUGUCUACUAGUUUGACUUUACUGGCUAUUAGUCUGUCAUUCCCUAUUUGGAUUCUGGAUUUUCACUUUCAUUAUUAUAGCUAUGAAUAUGAGUAUCAAUCUAAUACAAAUGCAAAACACAUGAACAAGUCUUUAGUUUCAGGCCAUAACUACAAACAUUGGAUACUCACUUUAAUGCCUAAGAGCCACCAAGAACUACACCAAUAAUAAGGUGCUGAAAGCCUACCGAUAACAAGGGCUAUGACUCGAAACCGGUAAUUAAUCUAAUAAAAGAAAAGAACUCGGGCAUCGCACUUAUAAGUAGAAGAAUUAAUACAGAAGUAGGAGAUCGAACUCAGCAGCACAAGAAUAGGUGGGAGCCCUAUGAGAACCAAUCCCGAAAUACAGAUGUGAGGCUGGGAAUGGUAGGAAAAGCCGAAGAAAGAGAAUCAGCAGUGCGCUUGUAAACUACCCAUGGUAUAUAUUGGAGUAAAGAAACAACCUGAACACGCAAUUAGUUCAAUGAAAAAGCAAUGGAAAGGGGGCCAAGGCACGCAAAGACAAGAACAAGUGCUCAAAAGUAAAGGUCCUUCUCCAAAGUAGGAAUGAAACUCAUAAGUAGUAACUUCUUUCAACAAGCACUCCCGACCCGACUUCUAUACUGCACUGCCUCUUUGAACUCUGUCUUUCCUUUCUCUUGGCCUGUAGCUAAUACCUUUCUUUCAUACAGAGUAAUAUAAAAGUAAUAGGGAAUUGCACACUGCCCCCAUAGAUUGAACUAGUGCUUCUAGGCAUUAAGCUGCUAACUCGGACUGCUGCUACUCAAAAUCAGAAUGGAAAAUGGGAAUAUAGGAUAUGGGUAUGAUCUAAGGCAUACUAAGCAUAGGCACCAACCCAGCCAGCCUUGAAUAAGAAAACACUUGGAAUGGAACCGCUGCUAGCAAGAUUGACUAUCUACCCGAUAAGACCUGAGUCGAUGCAUUAGGGAAUGUAAACACAGGUGCCUAUCCUUUAACGGAGAGCAACUAGGAACUAUAAGACUGGAUCUGGGAACUAAGCCUUUGUCUACUUAUCUAUGAGCUUGCUUUACUGGCUUUCAAACUGACACCGCUACUACCAAUACUAUAAAUCGAAAAGGGGAAUAAAACGACUACCUAGCAGAUUGAACUACUGCAUAAAGAAUUGAGCUGCUGAUAACCAGACUGAAAACAACUAUACUAUUGGACUAAAUAAAAGAAUAGAGAAAUACGCCCACUGCUAACAAGGUGAACAACACAUCUGUAUCUACUGCAUCCGGUCCUUGCUUUAAGUCUACGACUACUAGCUCUAAAACCGAAACUCGAAAUAAAGACUUUCGAUACUACCGGCAUUAAUUAAGGGCAACAACUAGUGCUGCUGACUAAACUUUCACUUGAUAUCCGGAUCCUUACUUCCAAGUCUAACUCCCUUCUUAUAUCCCUCGCUUUCAUGCUAUAGCUAAAAUGCCUGUGAGCCUCCCUGAAACUAAACUACUAACUGAUAGAUGCAAAUGAUAGGAGCAAAGAUCGAACUAGUGCCAAUGCUACUUUAAAUGGAAACUGGGAAUCAAGACAGGACAUAGGAAUCAACUUAUAAGUCAGGAUAGUAAUACAUAGGCUGGAAAGAUGGAUAGUAAUACAUAGGCUGGAAAGAUGGAUACUAAUACAUAGGCUGGAAAGCAAGAUUGAAACACAGAACCAGGAAUCACACCUAGUCCCCGAACUAAAAGAAUGCUAAAGCUGUAUUAGAAUUAGGAACUAACCCACCCGGGUUGGUAAAACUACUUCAGUUAGCGAGCCGGGGUUGAUGCGCGUAUAGUUCUACCGCCGACCUAGGAACGGGAGCAGAGCCUGUAUUGAAUGAAACUCAUAACUACGGAGCCAGCAGGGCUUUCUACAGAGUCGGGGAGAGACAAGUCUACAAGCGUAUACUCUUAAGGAGUCCAGUAUUAGGGUCACUAUUCCACCGGGUAUAAUAUCCAUUAGGGUCACUAUUCCACCUAACCAAGGGUUCUUAACCAACCUCCUAAUCCACCUAACCAAGGGCUCUUAACCAACCUCGUCUGUGCUCCUCUAAGAAUUGAGUUUACUUGAACAAAUUGAACUAGUUGGGGACUUACCUCAUUCCAUAAUUUCACUCAUUAGAGACGGGGUAUAUCACCAUCAUCAGCGGAAUUGUAUAGUAAGUUGUCAAGUGCCGGUGCUUCUGAAAGUCCUGUGUGCGCCUGUCCGGAGUGGAUAAAGAAACUAGAUGCAACAUCUAAAGUCAGAGCGGGAUCAGGAUAUGACAUCAAUGCCUUUGUAGUAGUUGGUAGUAUUGGCUGGGCUGUGGACUCGGUGCCCUUAUAUGAAGUCGCAGGGCUUUUUGAAUGAAGUGACUCGCGUAGGGAUAGGGGCUUUUUGACUUCUGUGACUCGGGCAAGGUAGUGAAAUCCAAUUGCAUCAAACUAACGGGUGAUUAAUUGAUGUCAAAUUAGGUAUAGUUAGCAGAGGAGCAGCAACCGCACACAGCAGCACGGACAGAGCAGCGAACCCUAAGAAGAACCCUCGUGCUCCCACGCUUCAUGAAUACUAAGCUUAUGACGGUGGGUGUCAAGUUCAACAAGGCAGUACUUAACGGUGCCACCGGAAACCUUAAGCGUAAUCGAAUGAACCGUCUCAGAAGUGGGGCAGGCGGAAGGGCAAUAAGAAACCGGUGCGGAAGAAGAAGCGAGCAGAUCGGCAUCCCGAGAAGUGAACGUAAGUGACAGCGAGUGGGAAAUGGGGAAUCCUUUGAUGUAAGCUUGCGGAGGUCAUGAGGCAUAACAAGCCUGCUCAGAGAAAAGAGAGGUGGGAUCCGAGGUUAGGUCCAAUUCCUCAAAAGCAUCCUGCCAACGGUACUGAUGACCCAGCUCGGGUGAACUGAUUAGACACCCGAGUGGAAUUCUAUAACUACUGACAUGAGGAGCUAGCCCAGUAGUUGCUAGUUUGAUUCUGAGUGACACUUGUUUCAGCCUGAUAGUUAGAUGCCUUAGUCUGGUUAGCAAGGGUUGGUGUCUGAUUGGAUCGAGUUGAAGGCUUGCUAGCACUGGGUUAAGGGCGGAAUCCAGUACAGGAUCAUAAGAAACAGAAUAAGUCUUGGUACACCCAUCAUAUAUCUUGGUACACCCAUCAUAUAUUAUAUAUAAAUGAAGGUAACUAACCAUGUGCAGUUGCUUGUCUAGUGGUUCCUUGGCCCUAUUCUAUUGCUUUUGUAGGACUUUCCGGACUGUAAGUCUUACUUAUUAACUAUACAUGAAUUGAUGGUCACAUUAUUAUACGAAAACAGAUUAUACUAUAAGAAAACAUAUUCUAAUGGAAUCUUUCUUUUCUCUACUUCGAUAGGAACAGAAUAUAGAUCAGGUGCUGGCUUUGAAGCGCUAAGAGAAUGAGUGGAAUUGUAUCUAGAAGCAGUGCCAGGAAAGUUCACUUCCAUACGAACAAUCAGAAUCGUGGGCAGUAGCGAUAGCCUUUCCUGCCUUAUCGAUGUGUUAGAGUUAUGCCCGGUAGUAUCUUGGUAUCCUGACUAUUGAGUCGGAUUCCGUCCUAUUAGUAGUAGUAGUGAGCUAUUUCAUUUAAUAUACAAUAUAGUGAGUAUUAAUAUAAGUAAGGGCAUACACCUGAUAUGAGACACCGAUUACCCAAUACCGAUACUUCUACUGUUAUUUCAUAAUGAAAAGAACAACUAACAGAAUAGAAAGGCAGUAACGCAGGGUUGAGGUCACUAGUUAAGGUACGAGAAGCAUUGAUUACAUACCAAUGGAUAGGAUAGUAAGGCUGGGGGACACCCAUAAGAAAUGUAGUAAGUGGGCUCAGGCGAAGUAAGUCGUUAUAGGUUUAAUAGGAAGUUGCGUAAGAGUGAGCUCUGGGCAGGUAAGAUCCCUAUUCCGCAGUUACAGAAAGAAAGUAAGCGCAGGCUAAUAAGUCAAAUACAUAUUUUAGAUAAGGAGCGGUGGGCUAACAACUAGGACAUUCAGAAGUGAGUGACAGGAACAAUCCAAAGAGUAGUAAACUAAUAAGUAAGCCUCAAAACAAGGACAGGCAGCCUCAUAGGUAGGAAAGGAGGGUUUGGUUCCAGUAGUUUACGAGUGAAAGCAGAGAUAUCGUUUUAGAGUAAGGAGACUCAGAUUACCAGUUUUCUCUCAUAAGUCAAAGAGUUUGAUUCACAAAGGCAGUGCUCCCUUAACUUUAUUCCAACUUCACUGACUUACUUGUGUAUCCUUUCACAGCAACCAAUAAGAAUGGAGCCUAGUACAGUACUGAUUGGGCUUUAACUAAUAGCUAUAAGAGAGAGGCGAACUACCUUACGUCAAGUAUAUGAGAUUUCAGAUAGGUUUAAAACACUACAGAGAAGGAUUGGCUACCCGCACAUAAGAUUGGACCACUCCCCCGAGUUAUGGGAGUUCCAGUUUUCGGCUUACAUAAGAUAGUUUGCUGGCGAGAAAGAAAGAAAUAGAAACUUACAUAACGCAGAAAAGUGCAGUUGUUGAAGAUAAGGAUCAGACUAAGUCUUCUGAUCAUAAGCAGAAAAAGGAUUAUAAGCAGGGAGCAAAAUCGAAGUUUGAUAAGAAGCCGAGUUAUUUAGCUAACAAAGCUCUUUCCACAACAAUUCAAUGAGAAACUGACAAAUCCAAGAAGCGUGUUGAGUAUAAAAGCAGUGCGAAAUCCAAAAGUCACUCCGGGUCAACUGCCGUUAACAUAAGUAAAAGAUGCAAAUGCUAUAAGGUAAUAUAUAUAUAUAUAUUAAUAGGUCAGAUUACGACUCCAUUUUCAGGCAAUACAUAUUACUGUACUGGUGGACAAGGCGCAACAAUUCUUUUGUUUCGGGAGUUUCUCCUCAAAUCCUAUAUUACAGAAAUGGAGUGAAGAAAUUGAUCUUUGAUUGAGUUGAACAAGCUACUACUUGCUUUUAAAGCGUUAACGUAUAGGAUCAAGUUGGCAAUGGACAAGCUUAGGCGCAAAGAUCAUAGGUUGGUUCAGGUGUUGUGCACGAUGGAAAGUCAACCAAGAAUAAGCUGGAUCCUAUUGAAUAAGAAGGAAGAUGUAAAGUAUAGUUCGACAAUAGAAUCAAUCCGCAACAAGCAAAAGAUACUGUUUCCAGAAAGGAGUAGAGAUCAUAUAUUGGAUAAAGAUAAGAUGCAAAUCGAAAGGAAGUUUCCAUUCCUGCUUUGACUUGUGCUAAUAGAGUUGAACGAAGAAGCCGAAUGCUCAUCCGCUAAAGCGCAGUUAAGUAUCGAAUUGACAGUUCCUUGCUCUUAGGUGUAUACGAGUUCCUGUAGCUCUUUCCCUUAUUGUAGAUAUAGAUAAUUGGCUUUCUUGCCUUUACUUGGAUGUAAAUAAGUACUGAAGUGAAGUAGAUUGAUUUCUAGUUCGAAUAUCUUCUGUCUGUUGUUAACGUUGGUCGUGGAGAGAGAGGUGAUUCACUUCCAGGGAGAGUAAGCAGGAUUAGUUUCAUAAGCGAGAGCAUAGGCAUUAGAAAAGUGGUGUUCCGCAACUGAAGAAAUCUUAAGAAGGUACAGAAGCAACAGUCCAGUCCUUGCUACUUCAAUUCCAUGAUUCGGGUACUGCUUCCAAACCCAUUAUUAUUCCGUAUCCGAGUCAAGCUUAUUAUUUCUUUCUAUACUCCAAUCAGCUAUACAGUAUUCUUUUCUAUUUCAUUUUUGCAGUUCGGUGAUUGUUGACAGUGAUUCUAUUCAGUAGCUGGAUCCUUUAUGGCCUGUUUCAUCAUUAUAAGCAGUAGGGGAUUCAACUAUCCGUACUGGACACUUAAUCUUAAUACAAAAGAUCGAACCUAGCUGUAAAAGAAAGAACUCACUUUAUGGGGACACCCACUACUAUCCCUUUUCUUCUUUCUUCUAUUGUUAGAGUUGGCUUCCUCCUUGCCAUUCUUGGUCUUAUGAAUGGAAUUCCGAGUUGAGAGUAGGACUCUUUGUAUACUUAGUGGUUCUAUGUGCUACUAAACAUAUCCUGUAUCACUAUUCCUAUGAUUAUUAUUACUAGUUCCAAUCCGACACUGGCUACUUAUACUCUGUAGCUUUUCCUCCUUCUUGUUGGCAUUAGCGCAAACCUUAUGACUCAAAUCUAUAUUCUUUAUUACUUAUUUCACUCCUUGUAUUGGUUAGUUCAGAUCUUACUGCUUAGUUUUCUUCUUGACUCUUUUCAUUACCCCACACAAGCCCGGUAUCUUUACUUAUAGGCUUAGACUUACUAGUUGGGUUCUUGUGCUUACUAUUCUCAGUCUAUUUGCUGGAUGCCUUACAUCGGAAUAAUAAUAUAAUAAUACAUGUCCCUACAUCGUACCACUAAGAGUCUUGAUCGGGGUUCAGCUACUCUAUUUACUGUUUGAUUACAGCUAUGCGCCCUUCUAUUCUUUUUUCUGAAAUCAAUCUGUGAUAAGUGCAGUGUGCCCCACUUUCAACUGGGAUUACACUAGAACUUUGACUACACGACAAGGACCCGAAACCCCACUUUCAACCUUCCAUACCGCUUCGAUUGCUGCUGACUUAGCGCUUGCUGCAGACCUUAGACCGAGAUACUUUCCUCGAACUACAUCUGAUACUGAUCUCAUCGGUUUAACAAGCACAGAUUCAGAAACUCGAAAAAGGAGAACAGGUCGGCAAGGAGUUCCUGCAGGACCCCCAAUUGUAAUAAUCCUAAGUAGCUAAGGUAAGGCGUUAAGGAGAGGAGAUAUAUUCGAUUCAGAUAAAGUAGUCGCUUACGCGCAAGUGCAAGUUUACUCAGUGCUAACGGAGCUCUGUGCUCGAACUUAUGUGCUAAAUUCCAAUCUUAGAUAAUAUGUGUUGCCUUCUUCAGCUUGCCUUUACUUGGAAAUAAGCUGCCCUUAAACGACUCGAAAUAGAGGUGUUGAGCCCGCUAAGUACUCUUUUUACAAGUUCUAGGUCGAGGAAUAAUCUAGUCAUGUGGAAUGUCCUUCUUCUGCAAAUAUAUAAAAGGAGAGAUUCCAUUCAGGAUCGAACAAUGACACACAGGUAUUGAUUAACGAACAACAUAGGAUCGACCCAGGGAGAGACAAACAUGGGUUAUUGAGAGCGGGGUCAACGUCCCUAGUUGUUUUCUUAUAUUACUGAGUGCGAUUCCUACUUCUGAGUUUGAUUAUUGUUAUCGACGGGUUGGUUCCCAGCUUCCAAUAUGAGUAUGUUUGGGUUAGUAGUUCUUUCCGGUAGUUAUUGAAUUCUCGUAUUCCCUUCUUUCCAGUGGUGGUAUCAGCCUCCUCUCUAGUAGUGGUUUUGUCUUAGAGGCAUUAGUCCAAUUCUCUUUCUACAAAUACAGAUGCGGGAUCGGUAUCGGUAGACUCUGAUCUAACGGGAGGAGGAUCAUAAGAGUGCCUAGCAAGCGAGACUAAUAGUAAGGAGAAGUAUACUGAUAUACAGGCGUAGCAGGCUUAUAGUUCUUAGCUGGUUGUGUGGAUAGCCAGUAUUCGCGGUUGGAAAGUAAGGUUUAGGUCCAGCAGUGGCAAUGAGUAAGAAGUACGGACAGGCAUAUCAGCUUUAGACAAGAGAACUAGAAUCAAAAACUAAGGGGAAAGUGUGAGAGCUAGGAGAUAAAGAAUAGAAAUCCAAUAAGGUUAGCCAGUAUCCAGAUUGUUGGUUCUCUCGACGAGGUUAGUGAGUAUCCAUACCGUUGGUUAAAGAAUAAGAGCAAGGCGGGGCAGACGAACCCCUUUAAGGUAUCGAAAUAAUCGUCAGCGCGGGAAGAUAAGAUUCUGAGCUAGAAUAGGUAGACUUAAUAUAGCAAGCAAAGACCCGUAUCAGUAGUUUGGAGUACUUGGUUCCUUUGACUAAUUCGUCGAAUAAUAAGGACGUAGUGCACAGUCCAGCACUCUCAACCAGUAAAUAAAGAAUGGAAGCUAGUAAUCAAAAACGAAUAGGUAGAAAAGUGAGCCCGGUCUAAAGCAGUAGAGUACUAAAGCUCAGAAGCAAGUAGGCUGGAAAGUCAGAUUUUCUCACAAGUAAGUAAGACUCCAGGGCUGUAGGGCCGGACCAACCAGUCAUGUCCUCUAUUGGUGAAGCCUAAUAGUAAGGAGCGAGAGAUCGAAAGGGGUGAACUACAGAAUUGAGUUCAGUAGCAGCGGACUUAUAGCUAGUGUGUGGAUUCUCCUUUAUGCGCUUAAUUCCGAUUAGCAGUGGUUGCAUCCUUAUCAGUAGGAGUUGUUCUCUUAAGGCGGGGUAGUAGGUCGAUUCUUGUUGGCCCUUCCUUCAUUCCACCCACGCCCAUUCUUAGGGUUAGUAGCCGGGUGCACCGGGAUUCACUUAUUUUACACACAAAUAAGAAAUGAUUAUUUGCAUCGAAAGUCUGCAGCAUUGUAUACUCUAUUUAUACUCUAUUAUAAUACCUGGGCUGGCUUACCAAAGAAUGCAACUAUCAACUAUCAGACUGAUCUAUGAUCCAGGGUAAGAAAAAGAAGAGAGUUCCCCUCCUAGCCUAGGUAUUCUAGAAGCUGGUAACCUCCCCAUAGUAACAAUUAGUGACAUAAAGGUCUUCAUGAAACUCGUUAGUAUACGCUUAGCCCAAUAAGAUGUCUUAGGCGGUUAGCAAUGUUCAGAUCUUAUCUCCAAAGCCAUAACUGUAUUAGUUGCUGUAGUAGCUUAGGGUGGUAAACAUCCUCAUUUUCUGUUUCAAUAGGGGAGGGAAUAGUACUAAUUGAGUGUGCACCUCGUAUGUCAAUAAGUAAACUCACUGGUAGCAAGUCAUUCUUCCCUAAAGCUUCUCACUUAUGGAAUCUAGGAUAGUGCUGUGCGCAACAACUUAUAUAAGAUAGUCACAUCACACUGGUAACUCACUAAUGCCCCCUUGCUUAAAGAAUAGAGGUGAAACAGCUUGCUUUGCUUCCUUUAAUCACUCAGAUGGGCAGCCGAACGCUAGACUCCAUCCAAUACGCAACGCAACGCACAAGGGAAGGGUUCCGCUCACGUUGAAGCUCCUGCGUUAGAGAGUUUUCAGUUUGCUUACUGGAUUUUCCCUUGCUUGUUCGGUGAACUCGUGCUAGUACUUAGGCGAAAGAAAAAGAAUAUGCGCACCUUCCUUAUAUUCAAUGGGAGAUUAAACAACACAUAUGAAAGCUUCCUUUCCUUCACGAAUUGGUUAACAACACUAUCUUGCUGAAAACGGACGUUUUCGCGUUAUCGCAUACUAACCCCGAGUUGCCUUGUUUCAUUGAGUGCAAAAGAAUAAAAGAAAGAUAAUAUCGGAUAAGGGAAUAUCAGCAUAAGGGAAUAUCGGAUAAGUACCCUAUCAACUUGGAUUAUAGUAAAGAGUCGGACUAAGCACUUGCAGGCCCUAUACAAAUAACUUGGGCACCGCACCGAAAUAAUGGUUUCUACUUGCUCCCUUCCCCCUUUGAGAAUGAAAUGUAGUUCACAGACAUAGUAUAUAAAAUGAGUAACAACACCAGAUCAUUGCUUGGUAUCGGGAGUAUAUCUUCUCUUCUCUACGUGGGUGGCUUAGGAGAGCUCUUUACUUAUUGUUUUGUUUAUAUCCCUUGAUUUAUUAAUUUGACACUAGGAGUGGGCAUUGGCAUAAGAAAGCGUAAGCGUCCGGUGUAGAACUACUAAUACCAGCAGUUAUACCUUUUCACUUGGCUUGCACCCUUGCAGGUUCCCUUUCCUUUGUCGUGAACACAUUAACGCAGAUCUCUCGAACUUAUUAUACACUCGAAACGGAUUGCCCGAGAUUAUGUCUGUCCCAACUCAAACUAGCAACAAAACAAACUACUACUACAUAGAGAAAAUAGUAAACAUAUGUCAGAAGAAUAGAGAAAAUAGUAAACAUAUGUCAGAAGAAUAAGAGGAGAAUUUAGGGCACCCAUAAUGUCAUUAAGUCAAAAAACAAACACCAAAGCUAACGCUUAUAUCUGUUUCGGGAUGCGUUAGCGCAACUGUGGCUGACUCACUGUUGACUUUCUAUAUAACCAUUGAAUAUCGGCAUCCCUAACCAUUGUGAAUAUCGGCACCCGCCGCUCGCUAUCUGCAAUCUUUAGUAACCCGCCGCUCGCUCGCUAUCUUAAGUAAUUUAUUGGCGUUAUAUCGCCCACAAAUCUUGCCUUUGCUUUAGCCGUUGCUUGUAUCAUUGCGUAUUAUUUCAUGGAGAAUAUCAUGGCGCACCAUAAGUUGGUUGUUGAAUAGAAGUCACAUAUGCAGCUAGGGACAAAACCAAACCCUAUAGAGACUUACAACACUCAAACAUAGCAUAGGAGCACUCCCACUAAGAAAUGGAAUAGCUCAAUUCUGGGUCAAAGGCAUAACAAGGUCUCAGUAAACCAGGAGAGAAAUGCAAGACUCACCACUAACAGACCCCGCAACAACAAAACUAUAAGCUUACGCACAACAACAAGCAACUCAAUAACUCAUCGCUAACGUGAGCGGAUCAACGCUUGUUUCAUUCCAUCAGAACGAACGAACACUAAUAUUCAAAAGUCAUUGAACUGCUUACAUAUGAUUGCUUACUGCUGACUUGAUGCUUCCAAGACAAGACUUAUAUCAUAGGCGCACGCACCCUUCAAGUGGACAACGGCUGACUCUAGGGUCUCAGGAAGAUAAUGGAAUAUCAUAAUAGUAACAAUAGAGCUAUACACCAAUAUCGAAAUGAGUAAACUGCAUGACUCCGGACUCGAAACUCACUUCACUCCCAUUAGCACCCCUGAAACUAGAAUAAAUGAUGUUUCUUCCCGCUGCUAGUUCGCAACUAAUAGAAAUACGGAACCUAUAACUUCAGACUAAUAACAUAUAUGAGGUAGAUAGCAGCUAUCUUCUUAUCAAAGCUUACUAGCGCAACCAAACACAAUAUCAAAGCUAACUAAAGCAUCCAAACACAAUAAGCGCAACAGCUUCUGGAACUAAUAUUGAGUACACAGCUUAUGGUGUUGGGCUAUGGGCAAUCAGGCCAUUCGAGUCGACAACACUCUCCACUCGCGAAAGGAAAGAGAUAAUAUCUUAAUAGCAUACCCAAUAUAGAGAUAAGUAAACUAACUAGCAUACCCAUAUAGAGACAAAGUCAACUAACAGCUUUGCUUCAAGACUCGCACAAACAAGCUGCUUUAAUAUAAAGGCAAGCAAGCAACAACUAAGGCUGGAGAGUAGAUGCUAUAUGGUUGUAUAUCUAUUUGUCUAAUAAAUGCGAGUUUCAACAGAUCCGUUUAGGCCAGUGCUCAGUAAACCACAAGAAAGAAGAUAAGACUACCUACAAACACGUACCCGCUAAAGCACGCGCUAUGCUAUGGGCCGCACCCGCUCAAGUAACUGUGUUAUGACUUGAGAAAGGGCUAUUCCACUAGUAGCGCUUUCUAUAAAGAAUAGAAUGGAGCGUGACCACACCACAUAUAAGAAUACAGUAAACAACCGCUGCAUAGCUUGUUAGAGUUCUUCUACAAUAGCGUGUCAAGGAAAGCAUUCUGGAUUAGUUGGUUGAACAGAGAGAGGUUAAACGACGCAAGAAGGUGCUAAGAGCCUAUUGGUUUCUGUCUCCAACAACUCAUAUAUAUUGGUUUCUGUCUCCAACUCCAUAAAUGCGCCCAGCUGCUAUCUGUGCUUUCCCUUUGCCUGAUGAUUUACUGCUUUCCCCUUGUAGAGUAGUUUCACUAAUUAAUAAGACCUCUGGCGCCCUCCCUGACUUGAAGAAUGGAAAUGAGUGCACAUCUCAUAUAGAAUGGAGUAACAACACUGAUUGACUUAGCGCUGAAGAAGCAAGGAACUCUACGACUACACUUGAACCCAGACUAACUAAGGCACUUUGGAACAAUCAACUCUUAAUAAGAUAAUAUCGGCACCCCGAAGAGUUAGCUAGAAUAAAGCACCCCGUAACAACAAUAAGCAGUGUUAGUGCGUUAUACUUAAGACUUGUUCCAGCAAUUGAAACUCUCUCGCAUAUGAUAGAAGUGUUAGUCACCUCCUCCUUCCUUCGCUUCAAAACAAUAAAGAAUAGAAGAUAGAAGAUAACAAACCAGGAAAGUCCGCGUUAGCGCCCCGAGACGAGAGUCAUAUGUUAGUUUCAGUGCAAUUCUUUUGGAAGUGAAAGGCCAGUCAGCCUUUAUGCGAUUAUAGAUUCUGUGCUUGCUUGAAAUUAUGAAAGAAAGAGAACAAGCGGAAGCAACGACGAAGUUUCUAGUAUCCACUUUUGAGCGAAGUAUCCACUUUUGAAACAGUUAGCCCAGCUUUUCUUAGUAAAGGCAGUCUCGAUCUUUAUGAUUCCCCUGCUCUUUGCGAGCUAGCCCGGUCUUUCAUAAACCAGCUCCUCUCAGAACCCGGGAGAGAGACUCAAAGCUUUCUCUUUUUCAAUCCUUAUUCAAUUGAAGAUAAACACUUUAUCUCCCCAAAAACCACUGUGCUUCAGCUCCUAAAGUAAAGGCUCAUCGACAUGAAAUCCUUUUUCCAAAUAAGUAGUGCGAGAUGUAAGAUAACGUAAGAGCCCUGCUCCCAAUCAUCAGACUAAGAGAACCCACACCUGCUUGCUUUUUGGUUCUAUGAGUUCAAACACACACACCUUCGAAUCUACAAUCUAAGUGUUUCGGAUUCUUCAAUUCAUUAUUCCCUUCCCGAGGGAAGUCAGAGCAAUUGCUUUAUAGCAUUGAGCCGAGUGUGGGGCAGUCAAAUAAUUCCCUUUCGAGCUAACGGAACUGCCAACAAGAGAAAGAAGAACUCGAAACUCUCCCUCUCGACACGAGGUAUAUAAAAGAAACACCUGCUCUUAGAUACCCAAGUCUCCAUGGUCGUUCUUUUGAAACAUCUCUUUCGAUUCUUCUAAUGUAAUGCUCUCAGUCACCUCACCUCGUACUACCUUCCAUUGCGCAUCCUGUGUAACAUCAAGGAAAUGGAAGGCUCAUACUACCAUACCACGGCGGGAGGUUUUCUUCCAACACAUUUUCCCUAUAGUGGAUCUGCCACAGAUUGAGUAUUUUGUAGAUGGUAACGGCAGCAAGUGGAUCAUUCAUACGCUAACUCAACUUCACAUAUUCCCUAUUUUUACCCACCUUCUUCUUUUCCUUGCUUGUGCUCGGUUUUCUGAGGAAAGGGAUCUAAAGCAAAGGAUAAUGGGCAUUACAGAACCCACGUCGCGCAGAAGAAGAUUGACCUCGGUGAAACCUGUCUCGAUUGUGCUAAUGUGUACAGAAGCCAAUCACUUAGUAUACCAGAUUAUGCUACUUGGCCACUCCAAUUAGCAGGAACAAGCAUCGAUUACGAUGAGAAGAACCACGCCGUUCCUGUAGUCCUGCAGAGGGACAGGGACUUUGGAAUGGAAUGUUAAUGCGACGCACGCAGAGAUGUGGCAGAACUUUGGAUCGAAAAUGCAGAAAAGAUAAGCGAGGAUGAAAGUCCAAGUUGUAUUGAAAAGCAUCGGUUACAAUUAGCGAACUGUGUAAAGGUACAGGACGGAGGAUCAAUGAUGACUGAGAGAGGCGGAGGAGCAACGAAGACUUAUAAAGAGCCAAAGAAAGGGUGGUUUAGAAUCAGGUCUACUAGGAUAGGAAAGUUAGCUAGGACCCGAUCAAAGGUGGGGCUUGCUACUCUAUACUAUAAAUUACAGCAGUUGUGGCAAAUGGGUUGUUGCAGUUUUUUACAAUGGUAAUGGUCGAGCGAUUGGAGCAGACCGGAUGUCACAAGGGGGUUCGCGACCUGAGACGCGCCUCUUAUUUCCUUAUAUUAAUCCCUCCCUUAACAAAGAAAAGAGGACAAGGAAGUUCAGCAAUGAUCUUAUUUCCUUCUAUUAAUUAAGCCCCAACUGUUUGAUUCUUGCUUUUGAGCGGUUAAUUGAAGGGAACAGGUGGUUUAUUGCAGGAAAUGGGCAAGGCCCUAUAGCGUCGGGCCAGAUUCUUUCUAAUGAGUCUCCUUGUCUUUGUAACCAGCAUGAAUUCCGGAAGUCAGCAACGAAAGAUAGGUCUUAAUUGUCAGUCUCUCGAGUUAGCUAAUGGCAGGAAGAAGCGGAUAAGAUCCCGGAGGGACUACUCGCCUUCUAACAAGACUAUAUCUCUAUUACCUGUCGUAGCUUACGUGAGAAACAGCAGCUAACCUCAGGAACUAUUUCAUAACCAGCGGUGAUAGGCUCUAGGAAGCAAGGUGGAUAUGUUCUUAGUGGCUAUAAGUAGAUCUUCCUCUGGCUCUUCUCUUCUGCUUGCCAGUCGGAUUAUUCCCCUCCGAAAUUCCUUUUUGACCAUAGAUGUUAUUCUUCCAAAUCCCUAGAGGCAGGCAUGGGUCAAUAUAGAAGAAACAACUCAAGCUAGAAACCGACAGUGAUUCAAUAACCUACCAGUGAUUCAAUAACCUACCAGGCAUGGGUAAAAUAGAAGAAACAACUCAAGCUAGAAGCCGACAGUGAUUCAAUAACCUACCGGGGCUAUCAUCAGAUUUCUACUAAUUGGAAGUGGGUGUUCCUCGAAGCUUAGACGAGUGGAAUGGAAGACAAACAACUGUAACACCAUUCUCCGGAAGUGGACUGGUUCGACUGUGAAAAGAUGGAAGCUGAUGCGGAGGACCUGAUUGAUGGAUGCCUAAGAAUCCUGCCUGAGAAAACCUGAGUUGGGGGGGGGCCCAAGGUCUAUGAUACCUCAAAGUGUUCCAAAUGAGGUUUCUAGGCAGACAUUAGCCUCCGAGCGAAUCUACGCCUAGGUGUUUUAGCACUCCGAUCGUCUAACAAAGAGGGGAUUUCAGCCUAAACAACAAGAUCCGGUUGCCCAUCAGUUCAUUAAUUUAGGAUUUCCUCAAACAUAGGCACUCGAGAUCCGUCUUCAUGCAAGGAAUGUGGUAAAUAGCCUGGCAAAGGAAUCUUCUAUAGAUGGACCGAAACCUGACCUAAAGGAUUAGCCUGGGGCAGCAAAAGUGGUUCAAAGACUUAACCCUAUCCAAUUGCUGCUAACGAUGCUUCUUUUUUUGUGUUUACUGACACAACGAGCCCAACAGGAACCUUACCUCUGAAAAAUAGGACUUGAUUACAGUAAGUGGGGCUGGCUCUUAUAGGAUAUCUAUUUCUAUCUGAACUAAGGUUAUCCAGGUAUCGAUCCUAGUAACAUGUGCUAAAGCACCUUUCCGGCAAUAAAUCCGCUGAAUAUGCUUUUGGGGGAGACUCCGCUCAGAUCUUAUUCUGUAUUCUUGUUUGUCUUAUUCUGUAUUCUUUCUUGUUUGUCUUAUUCUGUAUUCUUGUUUGUUAAUGGGUGGGCCAAAGCUUUGCUUUGCCUAGCGUUAGCGAGAAAACUACAUAUUUCAAGGCAAGGCCAGACCAAUGGAUUGAUUCUAUGGCAAAGGUGGGUCUGAAAGCGUGUAAAUAGCUUCUGGUGGACCCAAACUCUGCAAAAGAAAGGGUAAAUGGAUCCGAACUUUGGCCUGCCUUAUUCUUUUUAGUAUAGGCAUCGAGGCUAGAAGACUGUGAUAGAAAAACACUCCGCGAGGCAGAAUCUUCCAACCAUUUGUGUGUGGUUGUAUAGUAAUCCAGUUCGGCCUGAAGACGGGUAUAAAGUCAGUAAGUUUCGAAUGGGAGAGCAAAAGAGGCGAAUAUCAAUGACCAGACGAAUCCGCUGCAAGGGCAUCCGCCUAUGUUGUUACGCCAGUGAUUGUAUAAAAAGAGUGAAACGAGCAGACCUUGAAACCUAUAUUUGACACCUAUUAGGUAUAAGGUAAAGACUCUCUUCCCUAAGCUCUGAUAUAAGUGAUUGAACCUCUGAUAUAAGUGAUUGAACCCUGAACCUUUAUAAGAAAAGAAAGUGGCAAUACGGCGAAAGCAGCCGCCGCUUCUUUCUUCACAGACUGCGUAGUGAUAAGAAAAUGCUCAUGCCGUUGACUCAGAUACAAGACGGAAAGUGGUUGAUGACGACUUUGAGUAGGAGGACUAAUUCAUCACAACAGGUUGAAUCCCUUGACUGGUGUUUUAUUAGGUCUUCUUAUCCAGCAGAACACUUGCAUCUUGCUUUAGAGGCCCGAAUGCUUUUCAUUCUUCCAUCUUUAUAUCGAGGGAUGAGGAACCGGAUUCUCCUGCUUGCUUUCCGGAAACCCAUUUGAGCUCCUGGUGUAGGUGGCGUGUUUCAAUUAGCACUAAAACAUUGGGGGAGACUUUUCUCCUCAUCGCUAGCCUGUUUCCAAGAGGGAGAAGAUAAGGUAUUCUGGCAAUAUACGGCAUACUAGUCAUCGAUUCUUUGGACAUGAGCGAUCCAACACAACCUAGGAACAGUUGUACGCCUACAACUCCCACCUACCAGACCAAGGGAAGAAGUGCUCUCUCCAUAUUGCCUUUAUUUACUAUACUGUUAAAAAAGUGUGGGCAAAAGAAAGGGAUAUAAGCAGCUGUGGAAUCCAGCGGCAGGAUAGAGACCAAAGCGGGAUUCAAUGACUUUUGAAAGUGAAAGGAUGAAAUCCAGAAAUAGAAUAGGAGAGGGAGUUGUCGUCCAGCCCUAGUCUUUCGCCUUAUAAGUUAUUCUACGCGCGAUCCAGUGCCGUUGAAGACGAGAUUUCUUUUGACGUUACGAUAUGUCUCUGGGUUGCCCUAAAUAGAGGGAGGAUUGAUUCCUCUGGGAUUUAUUCCUCUUAAGCUAGAACCCUAUCCAAUUGCUUUUCCUAUUCCUGAGUUGUAGCUUUCUAACGAUAAGUAUCCGAUGGCUAAGCCGUGGAAGGAAUACUCUGGCUAAGGCAUUGGAGUGCCCCUAUAAGAGUCGUCCUUCUUAUAAGCCAUUUCCCGUUAAGGGUCAUAACCUUCUAGCAUUGGAUAUUAUCUUACGGGUCAUAACCUUCUAGCAUGGGAUAUUCUAACAAGUCAGAAGUUCAAUAGCACCAAGAGCCUAAAGAAAGGAAAGGGUCUCCUUAGUUGCUUGCCAGUUGAAGCAAUGCUUUGUCUUUGUUGUUACCUUUCAUUCCAUUCUAUAUGUGGAACACUCUAUUCCUUCUUUUCCUUCUUGAGCGAGAGGUUAGUUAGCUUUGUUUUGUUACUAAUUGAUAGAAUUAGAAUGUGCUUGCUUGAAGAUGAAACUCAUACUAGGAAUGGAACUCGACUGAAGGAAUAUGCUUAGCGCUGAAGAAGGCUAUAAUCCAAAUAAGGGAAAUAAGGCUUUCACGACCCGAGGCACUUAGGCGAACUCAAGGCGAUAGCUAAUAGAAUUGAUUCAUAAGAGAACCUAACAGUGCUUGUUUGCUUGUUGAAUAUCGGAGAGAACCUAACAGUGCUUGUUUGCUUGUUGAACUACCUGCAGCUUUAUCUGAUCCUACUCCCACUCAGGAUGCCACAGAGCCUUGACCUGGACCUGAUGAUUCUGAUGAUACUGUUUCUUUCUACUUGCUCUCAGCAUUCGAUUCGAGAGGAGAUUCGGCUUCUCAAUAGGAUUCAAGUGGAACAGUCUAUUCUUAUGCUUCCUUUCGAACGGCUUCUGAUCUUUAUUCGACUCCUGCUUCGUAAGCUUCUGAUUUUCAAACUUCAACCCGGAAACAGCAUUCUUAGAUUCAGAAAUUAUUUCAUCCGAAAGUAACUGCACUCGCCUAAGCCAAGGCCAAGCUAUUUUCAAAAAGGCCUCGUAUAUAUAAGGGAAAAAGUGCAGAAGGAUUAGGAGCUAACCAUAGUGAUAUGAAUGUCCGAUCGACUUAUAUAUUGAAAUAGAAAACUUGGGUGCUCCCUUUGCCUGCUGACCCGAAAUUCACCAAUACGGAUAUUUUCUAUACACUAUAGGGCUCGGUUUAGACUAGGCUGUGUUGCUUGAUGAAAGAAGCGGAUCCGGGUGGUUCAGCUGUACUCCUUGUACCUGUCUCUUCCUUAUUCGGAUGAAGGUGAGUGUCAAAGUCUAGCUAAGGAGUAGGUCGUCCUAUCAGAUGGAGCGGAUAAUUACCCCAUUAUCUUUUUCUUACUAGUUGGGGUCAGGAAGUCUCUCUCAUGCCGUGCUCUGGCUCCUGAUGCGGUAGUGGACCUGCUCUGCUUUGUCCUUCAAUCCAAAUGAAGGGCUGUAGUUUCUGGUUUUCAUCAAUGACUUUAGGAGGUUAUCUGUACGCUCAAUGGCUGCUAAGGGCUCUCAGUAUUCUUCAUAGUUUUUCAAAGUCAGUGGGUUGUUCGAAAGGGAUAUACAAGCGGAAUGAGUUCAGAAUCCAGCUACGUCAGGUUCGGAAUGGAAGUCUAUCUAAUAGAAAUAGGCUAGCUCGCUCGACCAUAAAGAGCAAGCCAGGCGUGUAACAAGACUCUACUUUUGACAAGAGUCCUCAGCCUCAAUCUAUAUGGUGAAAAGGUCUUCUAGGUGAGUCAAGCGUUACCACCUGCACUCCAUCUAUUGGCUUGUUACCUAAGAAAUCGAACCUCCUUAUGGAGGCUCACCUAUGCCGGGGUUGAUAAGAUCGGCCAGCGAAAUCCAAUAUCCGAAUGUUUACCAUUUCUUUUUUGAAAAAGGAUCUCCUUCUGGGGUUCAUUGAGUUCAGCUAACCAAAAUGUUGAUUCUUUGGGUUUGGGCGGUAUCUACUUGGUUGAUCCGGAUUCUCUUCCAUCCAUUUAUUACCUUUGAGGCUGCGUCUGGAACUAUAUAAUAUAGGUAGCAUCAAUGAAAGAUUUGGUCCUCGUUUAACCAAGGCGAUGGACUGAAAAGCGCCUUUCUUGGGUUAAGUGCUUUCCAAACAGUUGUUAAAGUAGGAGAUCGCAGCUUCGGCCGAUCAACUCUAACCUUUAUCUCAUCGGCGGGUGGAUCAAGUAAUUUAAAGACGUUUCUUUCUCAAUCCAACGACAACGAUGAUUACCUAUACAUGAUCUCUGGUUUUUCCUUCCCUUUCUCUUAGUAAGUUGAACAAAAGAAUGAGAUGAAGUUGAUUCCUAAUUCAGAAAUUCUCAGUUGAUUAGCAAUCAAUGCUAACUAAAGAAAAGGGGCAAGAACACCUUGAAGCUUCCAGCUGCGUUGUUGACAUGAACGGUGCACGAACGAUGCUCUGAGUUAGCCUAAGCCUUGGGUUAGCCCAUUUGAACGGAUUCUAGCCCCACCACUCUUUAAUAAAGCUGCUAAUGUAGCUUCUUGCUUCUUUGAAACGUAUGGGGCAGCCGCUCAAGCCAUUGUUCUGGUUGCGAAGCUAUGAUCUGCUUUCAGUUGGUCUCGCCAGUGUAUUCAGAAUCUUGUAUAUAGAAAAGGGAAGUGACUAAGUAUGGUUCAGUUCACGAAGGAACAAUAAUAAGCUUAUAUAGGGCGCCCGACCAAUGUAAAACAACUCCAAUAUGUGGCUCAGUCUUGACUACACUGCUCUAAUAGCCAGACUCCAAAGUCGGGGCGAACGCUCAUGCUUUCUUGCUGCUCCCCUUAUUAUAUAAGCGUGGUAUAUCGACGUAGAGCUUUUUCCAUUUCAUAGGAAUGAAUGGUUUGCUAUACCCCCUAAGAUGGGAUCGUCAUAGAUUGCGUACCAAUCCCCACAUCGUUUGAGCUUUUGGAUGAUGAUGUCCGGCGGAGUCGUCUCCAUGAGUUUGAGUUGCUCGGCUGGGGUGCUCGUCCUUACCUUAGUAUCGCUCUUUGGACUAGCAUCAGCGGCUAUAUCACGGAUUGAAUCCAAUCAAAACUCCCCCCACACAAAAGGGUCCUGCUUGAUAAGGUACCUACAAAUGGACGCCCAGUUUCUAUGAAAUUGAACAUCCAGCGUGCUCCCAUUCAUUGAAUACCCGCCUUAUUCUCUUCGUUGCUGUGUUUUUUGAGCCGUAUGCCCGUGUAAAGGUUUUCGCCGAUUUCGGAAUGGCUUUCCUUCGCAACAAGAAUGGCGCGGCAGUCGAACAGUUCCUUAAGCCGGUCCCCACUCUGGAUUUUCGGUUGGUCUGCCCUCUGCGUGACUUAGUGUUAGAAGUAUAUACUAUCGGGGAGAGUAGACACUUUCUUUUUAGUCAUGGCGAUCGUGUGGCAUCUAGUCAACUUCACGGCAGGAUUGGAUUUGGGAACGCUUAAUAAUAGAUCUCUCUUCACUUUUGAUCAAUAUGAGGUGAUCGUAAGACAGUAUAUAAUACUCGUGAUUCUGGCAAUCCAAUCUGUAGUGUGUAAAGCUUAAGCCCCCUAAAAGAGUUUCCAAAAUGGCAUCAUCAACACCUGGAUCACAAUCCCCAUUGUCAUUGGACCGGUCCGCUGUGGUACUAAACCAUCUCGAUCACGGGUUUCAUUCAGAAAGUGUUUAUGUUACGGCACAUGCAUAGAUGGAAUGAAAAUGAGGCUUUUUCCCACACCCCGGAGGGCCCAACAAAGUGAAGUCGAAGUUCCAGGAACGGUAGCUCACUGAACGAAAUCUAUUGCAUUUAGUAGGGAAGUAGUUUGACCGCCCCUUAGUUGUAAGAAUCAAUGGAUUCAACAAGGAAAGACAAGGGAAAAGCAAUGCUUUUUCUUAUCGACCGAACUAGACUUUAGAGUUUGCCAAUCCAUCAGAACUUUGGUAGGCCAAGGUGUAAACGAACAUAGAUAAGCUAAACUAAUGAAAAAGGCAGUUUCUUUUUGCCUCCAACGCAAAGCAAGAGAGGCUCGCAUGGUGGUUUGGAAUCAAUUAUUUCUCAAUGGACCACCCUUUCUUUGAACCUUGUAAAUGAUCGAACGUAAAAGAUAUGAACUGACUCUUAACUCACAAUAAUAAGCCUAGGCCUACCCGCUUUCCUUUCGGUCAGCUGCCACUCAACCGCUUUAGGGACUUCUGGCCAUUACUAUCAAAAACACUUUCUUUUCACCUUAGUAGUCCUAUACACCUUUACAGACUCCAUAUUUGUAGUACCUAACGCGACAAUACAAAACCAGACGAGAGAUCUCUCUCCACCUCAUUAGAGAAGUUGAUACUUAGUCCUUUUUUGUUCAGGCUAUUCUCACCUUUUGGGGCAUAGGUAACAGCUUUCUGUGUUUCCAUUGCCCUCAGCCUGUAGGGUCGGGCGCCCAGAAAAGAGGUCGGGCCCGGAUAAGACCUACCUUAUUCAAAGAAGACGGGAGGUGUCGGCUAGGCUAUUCUAACCGAGCAUUAACCAUAAGUGGGCCUGGUAAUACUUAACGCUUUAGUCCACAAAGAAUUAAUGGAUUUUCAUGCGAAGAUAGGAAGAUUUAUAGUCUCUCUAAGGGAUUAGAUGAUUAAUAUGUGAAGCUUUUUCAUUUCCUAACUCGACUACCCUUAACAUAAAGAAAGCCCAUAUAAUAGAAAGUUGCACCCAAUCUAGACUCCACUCGAACUUAGAAAUACUCAUAUAAAGUAGACCUUGCCUCAAAGCCUUUACUUUAUGUUAUGUUUCUACUUUUGAUUGAGACUCAACCGACGCAGAACCAUUAACUCUCUCUCUAUGACACUACUUUGUUUGAGCGUAAGCGGCACCCCAAGAUAUUCCAGAUGAUUUACUUAGCGUAAGGUACCGAUCAUCCAUAUUUGUUUCAUCCUCCCCCUUCCUUGACUUUGUCGUUCACUAAUUAAUACAGAUCUCUGGAACAAUACACUCAACCGAUGGAGCACUCAACUUCUUGCCUUUACUUUGAUUAAGGAUUCAGGGCAGAAUAUAGUACUGGCCCCAACAACAUAAUGUACGCUAAGUAGUCAAAGUCGUCCAAGUUAAGACUGUAGUUAGCCCAUGAAGACAGAAGGUUUCUUUACUCAUUCUAAGACAACACUAGCACCCAAUUGAGACGACCCCUACCCUACUGCUCUAGCAAGGGUAACAAGUAAUCAGGUAUAUCAACGACACAAACAAGGGCACAAGAAUAAGCAACGUGGGGAGAUAACAAUCUUCAAGCGACAGAACAAGGCCUCAAUCUCCUCUAUCUAUAAGCAAUGGGCCUAUCCUAUAUUCUUUGACUUUCUAGGGAUGCGGAUAUUCUUCUCUAUUCUUUAUUGUUUUGAAGCAAAGCAGUGUCCCCUACGAUCGAUAGAAGCUCACUACACUCCAAAGCUACCCGGAGACAAAGAAUCAAUUCUAUCUCUGAAGCCUUAUUCUGCUUCUCAUUCUGUGCUAAGAUCAAUUCGAGUUUUCCUCUUAGCAAGAACAAGUAAUAGAGUUCCAGAAGACAUUGUGCUAACGAGGUCUGGAGACGAGAAAGAAAGGGCCAAGCAACGUAGCUCUGUGAAAGCAACAAACUAAGGCUUAUGUACUUCAUCAGUAGAGUAUCUUGAAGCAAGGGCGAGAAUGGAGUACUUUUGCAUAGGGUUCCUCUGCCGAUACGAGUUCUUAAAGCUAUGCUUUGGGGUUGGUUACCAAUUUCUAUAUAAUGUGUCAGUUUUCUGAUUUUCUUUGAAUUGUCAGUUCCAUAAUUGUCAGCAGCAAGCUUAGAAGCGGGAGUAGUUGAAGAAGCCUCAUCUCAGUGAAAGUGCUUUUCGACAGAAUGGAAUUUCUGGAAUCUGGAUAGUUACGUUAGUAUAGAAGUAGUUAGUAAGAGGAGCUUAGCUUUCAAGGUAUAGUUCGGUUUCAAGUGUUGUUCUCGUAGAUAGAGAAUCAGAGGCUCAAGUCAGGUCAUCCGCAAGCAACGAAGCGGGACAAUACGUUUACCAAGCAACGAAGCGGGACAAUACGUUUACUGGGUUUGUUUCUGUAUUACUAAGUAGUUCAAGUUUGAAAGAAGGGCUUUGAAACGCUAAGUCCUGAAGCAUAAGAAGGAUUAGAUGCUGUUUUAGGUAACAACAUUCUAUCAGUGGUCCUAGAGAGAUUAGCUCCUGACGCACAACUACUACUUGCUGCUGCCGCUUGAACAAAGGAAUUGAGGAAGGACGAAGAUACUCCAAAGCUUAGUCGAAUAAGUCAAACUUGAGACUUUCACUCUUACGUGUAAGUGAAGUUACAGUAUAGUACCCGGUAAUUAGAGAAUAAGAGUGCAAAGAGGUUAAUGAAGUCAGCGAGAAUGGAUGGGAAAGAAAGUAAGCAAACUUUAGGGCUAGUAGCUCUGCAUCGGUGGUCUAAAGGAAGGGUUGGUUUCGCGGUGUACUGAUGAGGGAAGGCUUUUGAAGCAGUAAGUGAAUCAGGCGAUAAGUCAAUAAGGUUGCGGUGAAGCAUCUAAGGUGUUCUCCUCUUUGGAACAUAUAGAAUAAAGUCACAAGAAACUCACGUUAACACAACUCAUAGAACUCCUAAUGAUAGUCAACUAGCGUUAGCCGAAUAAGGACUUGUUGGGCCUGUGCGAAGUCAACCCUAAAACUCAUAGUAAGGAAGCUGACGCGCAACGCCUUCUGGUCCUCUCAAACACGCUCGCUAGUACUUUAUCAAGAUUAUUCCCCUCAACGAAAACUUUCAUCAUUAAGCUAGGAACCCCGAAACUAUAACUCGCAGAGACACCUGAUCAGAGCACGCACCUUUAGCUAAGUUGAACAUAGGGUUAAUGCAUCUUAUGGCUAAUCAGAAGGAAUGGAAUGGAGUGUGCACCUCGUAUGUCAUUUAGUAGCAUAACUCCUUAAUCACAACACUUUCACUAUAGGUCCGGUCCGGGUCCGCUCACCGACACUCCUUACGCACAACGGAACUCUACUUCAGGACAGAAGCGAAGACAGAAGCGAAGGAUGAGGCAAUCUCAUCUGCACUUUCUCCGUUAGCGCCCGAAUUCCCUUUCACAUUUGUUCUUGCUUAGAGUCAAACAAAGAAGGAUUCUCUAACUCCUUUAGCGCAGAUCGAUUUCACUGGCACUGAUGCGCAACUCAAAGAUGCAUUUCCAUUUGAUUACUGGUGUUCUAUGUUCUAUAAAGGGGGAAUAGCGAUUUUGCAAACAGGAAUUGAGCAGCCUUUCCUUACGCGCUGAAGAAGAUAGGACAAUAAGUUUUGUUACCAACAAGAACAAGAGCAGAGGUCGACUUAACGGAACAAGUAACAGAAUAAGAAAAAGGAGACUGUGUUGAGCAAAACUCAUGUAAUCAAGUAACCUGACUCUAGUAACUCACGUAAGUGCUUAGGAAUCAAAAAGAAGAAAAUGUUGUGCAAACAAAACUCAUGUAAUCAAGUAACCUGGUAAUCAAGUAACCUGACUCUAGUAACUCACUGUUGACUAAAAUAUGGAAUAUCGGCACGGCACCCUGAGCAGCUCGUUUGCUUGUUCUUGUGCCCUUGUAAAACUCCUUACGCACAACCUCUGGCGGCGCCCUUGCCUUUAAGAUUCAUUGAUGCUCAUUUAGCACACAUCUAUGUUAGAUAGAAUUCCAGUAAAAACGGAGCAUUGUAACAGAGCAUUGCUUUAAUAAGCCUAAGCCAUUACUGCAUUAAGCUAUCGGCAGUUAGCAAGUUCUUUGCGUUAGCACGGUGUAUUUAAGUGGAGUCUGUCUCGUGUACUUCAGUGGAAUCUUUCUCUUACCCGGAUUACCCAAUCCUAUAUGAUCUCGGUGUAGCGCCCCGAAAGUCAAGAAGAGAAUUUCUCGAGGCCUAAGAGAAUGUGAGUUCGCCGCACCUUAUUAGACCAAGCACAGAGAGAGGCAUAGGCAUAGGUUAAACGAUGAGAAAUCCUAAGUUCAAAAGCCUUAUAUGCCCUGUGCAACAUCUUUUCCCGCUUCUGCUUCAUAGAGAGAAGUGAUUGACUUGACGUCGGUAGAAAGAUGAAGUGAAGUUACGCCCGAAAGAUCUGUAGCUGGUAAAGAGGCGAAAGCAGUAUCAUCAGCUGUAGAAAGUCAAUCAAUCAGUAUAGUAUGUAUCUUGGGGUGCGAGAUAAUCCGCAGUAGAAGGGACAAGAUAGAGAAUUUGCCAUUCGAGUAAUUGACCGCGACUCCAAAUAAGGGUUUCUGCUACUUUAUAGUUGUGUACUUCAGUAUGAGGGAAGGGCUUUCAAGCGCUCUAAGUAAAUCAGUUUCGUAGAGUUCCGCUCUUCCAUAUGAAGCUAGGUGUGGAUUCCAUUCUGUCUUUCGAGUUUAGUAGUGCCUUGGCCCGUGCCUUGGCCCGUUCCUUGGCUUAGUUUCUUAUUCAAGCUGUGCUCUAGGUCUUGUCUAGUCGUUGCUUGGCCCUUCUCUUCUUUAGUUCGGGGCAUCAUCUAGUACUGGCCGGCCGGGGAAAGUAUUAAUCCAAUACAGCAGGCCCUACAACAUAAUGCGCGAGGUGCUGGAUAUAGAGAAAGGUAUGAUUCCAAACCACUUUUCUGGAUAUAGAGAAAGGUAUGAUUCCAAACCACUUAUAUACUUUAGCUCUCCAUCAGGGUUUCGGUGUACUUCAGUAGGUAAAGAUACUUGAGUUGGCGUAGGAACAAGAACUCUAUCAUAUGCCGAAGCGGAAACUAGAGAAGAUGUGUGCGGGGUAAGAGAGUGGGCGCAGGGUAUUUACACCUUUCUAUGCCCUGUGCUCUAAAUGAAUAAUGCCAUUCUUUCAUUUUGUUGUAUGUAAGUGCCUAUUCGGAUUACUUUAGAGUUUCGAUCAGAAGCAGUUGCGCUUACAGAAGGAGUGAAAAGCUAACGUUUAUUUAGUCUUGCAUAGAAUAUAUAUAUGGUAAAGAAGCUAGAUCAGAAGCAAGAAGGAAUGUAGACCUUUAGUUCGGGUCGGGUGUGAGUUAAUAUUUCUCUGUGGAAUCGAAGUUUCAGUUUGAAGCGUGAAAAGUAUUGCCUGUCCCAAUAAGAACAAGUGAAGGGACAAGCAGAUGUUGUACGUCAGUGGCGAAAGGAAAAGUGGUGGAAUUCCUUGUUUACUCGCCAAAAGAUUCCAUUAAUGAUGAAGACAAGCCAGUCUAUACAAGACUAAGUGGGGAGAGGUUCGGUAAGAGAGGUUAGAGUGCUUGUGUCUAAGGUCGGUGCUUGUGCGAGAAGUGAUUGUUUUGACCUUUAUUGUCUUAGAAAGAGAGAAUCCGGAGUAGAAAGAGAAGAAGAUAGUACUUAUUAAGCAAGGUGUGGUCCAAGUCGAGUGAGGGCAAUCCGAAGCUUCUGCACUUAAGUCAGCUGCUAUAUGGUAUGGAUUCCAAUAAGAGUGUAAUAGAUAUAUUAAGAAAUUCAAUGAAAAACGUAAAGUCGACCAGAGAAUUAAUCAGUAGAUGCAUCAGGCCUAGUAUCAAGAUCAAGUCCAAUCGGUUCCUCAAGUCAAGUAAGAGUGGAAUCGACAAGAUAAUCAUAAGUAAGAGCAUUGGCAACAGUAUCUGAAGCUACAUAAGAAGGAAAGUAGACAACAGAAUCCGCAGGAGAAGGAGUGAGAGCUGGUAAAGAAUAAGAAUAAGAUGAGGCAGAAGGGAAAGUGGACUUUCAUUGUUUGUUUGAUCGUGAAGAUCAUCUAUCUCUUUGCGAGUGGAGUUUCAUCGUAUAAAGAAGAAGUGCCCAGAUGAGGCAGAAGAGGGAAAGUAGACAUCGACUCUAGAAUCAAUAGGAGAGGGAUCUCUCAGUGGGAAGGCUUUCAGCACCCGAACACAGGACUUUAGCCAACACCCGAACCACCCCUGUACUCUUUCUUUACCACCUCUCCUCUGGCUACUGGGUUCAAUUAGAACUGAUUCCACUCGGUCGGUACUAGGUAUUCUAGAACGGAUUCUACUCUAACAAGAACCGGGGCAAGCAAGAACAAGAGCUGGAGCUGCACUACAUGAAUUCUAUCUUAUAAUAUAAUAGAACUGAUUCCACAGCUAAUCUCUAUCCUGAAGCAGGGACAGAAUAACUACUUGCCUGCUGACUCACUUUCGGCUUAACCUUGAAUUGCACUUUAGCCAACAUCCGAACUAGACUUGAAGACGAAAACAGGCCAUUCUCUAAGACACCUUGGGCUAAGGGAAACUCAUAAAUACCAAUGUUUGGGGGGGUUCCUCAAUUCUAUAACUUAUUGCACUAACCUUCUCUUCUUUAGUUACUACAGGGGGACAAUCAGUUGAGUUUCUUUCGUAGGGGAGAAUGAGUAACUACCCGCGCUCUAUCCUCUUCCUCUCUUUAAAGAAAGUCUGAAUGAAACUAAUACUAAGGAAUGAAUGGGAUCCCACUUACCACUUAUAGGAAUGAAACCCAUAAAUAAGUAUAUAGCGCAUCCCUAGGAAUAAGAAUCCACCUAGAAAUUGAGGAAUUAAAGAAUAGGGAGAUACCCAUAGCAAUAAAGAAUUCCAUUCGAAAGUAGAGUAUACGCUUGUCGACUUGGCGUACUCUCUUAUUGCCCUUUCUUUCUUCUCUGAACCCUGAAACAAUACCACCAGCUCUAGCGGGACAACAACUUUCUACUUUACCUCGAGCAGAAAUAUACUCAAGGACAGAUGCGUUUGCGCCAACACCCAGAUAUCGAACUAAGGAUUCUCUGGAAACUGAUGAAGAUCUUGAAACUGCUUGAAAUCCGACCUCUGCUUUUGUGAUCCUGCUUUCUAUCUGUCUUCGGUUGAUUUCGAGUCUACUAGCCUAUCUAUGUUAAACUCUACUUCUGUAAGGGUAAAGAACAGGAACUCAUAUAAGCCUUAAUCCUAUAGUGGUCCUACUUGGCCAUUGCUCUUUUUGGGUCUAAUCCUAUACUCAUUGCGUAAAAUGGCUUGCACCCUUCCUUGUCUGCUCGUCUCUUACUUUCGGGAUUCUAUUUCCAUUCUUUCAUUCCGACUUAUGAGCUUGCUCACUACUUAGUUGCAUUCUGUAACCACACCUAGGUAAAUCCUCUGUCAUAUGAGUUGAAGUCAUUGAGUUAGUGUUUCAGGCUUGCACUGCUGGAGGUAAUUCCGAGCCUACCCAGUAUCAGUCUUCCCUGUGUCACUAGUGCAUUCUCAGUGGACCUACUUAAAUGAAAGCCUGUCAAUCCCUGUAGCUUCGGUGGACUAGUUAAAGCCUGUUACUACAGAGUUGCAUUCUGAGUUUCCUAUAUAUAGAGAAGAAUUCAUUUGAUAGGGAAUGUUAGUAGUUCAUUAGUAGGAAAGCCCUUAUUGGAAAAGAGAUCUUGUUUUCUGGUUGAUUUUGGAUUUGAUUGUUUCUGUUAUUUGAUUGUUUUUGAUUCCAAAUUGAUUUAUCCCAUGCGAUUGGAUUGGAUUCUGAAGUCUACUCUCUUCUUUAUAAAGAAACUAAUAGCUUCCCUUUCCACUCUAACUCUUUCCUACCUCGACUCUGUCAACUAAGUCAGUAAACUACCCGAGCAUCAAAGCUAGCACUCAAAGAUAAGAAUGGAAAUGCAAGGCAGAAACUAACUAUCCACUUUUCACUCACAAACAACCAAUAAGGGCCCGACCGACCUCUUAUAAGUGUUAACCCCGAACCGAACUCUUACCUAAGUAAACUAUCCCUCUGAUCUUGCUCAUGAAACUCACCACUCGAACAGGACUCCCGGAGACGAACACAGCACUUUGUCAACUAAUUCCAUUCUGACUUGCUUGUCAACUUCAGACUAUACUAGGGAUUCCGGAUACUCUACUAAAGAAUUAGCUGUGCCAGGAAAGUAGACCAGACCACCACUAAGAAGAAUUCCACUCUAACAACAACAGGAGCAGGAUCAGACUAAGGAUUUGAACCAGGAGCAGGGUAUGCCUAUGUUCUUAGGCUUCAAAGGAGCGUUAUUGACUAGCUCGCUACCGCGCAACAUGAGCAGUUGCUUGGUUCUUUUGUUUGAUGGGAAAUUCUUCAUUGAAACUAAGAAAUAGUCCUUAGAGUGCAUUUCUUCCCUAUAGAUUUACCCUCUUGCUCUGCUCUUUAGUAUCCAUCCCUGCAUCCCUACUUCCGUAACUAAGGGACCGGUCUUCAACUAUCACUCGCCAAGCAACUAAGGAAGGUAGAAAACAAAAGAAGAAACCCAGCUUCAAAGCCUCUCCUCAGGACUAGCUUCCUCUCCCCUAUCGCUAACUACUGGCUCUGCUCUGUCAACAACUACAGACCCGAACUGAACUUAUUCUCUUGCCGACCUCGCCUCAAGCUUACCUCGAACAGGACUACAACGAUCCUAUCCCCGGUUGCAUUCUAAUAUUGACUACUGAGCAGCUUUCUCAUCUACUUCUCCUCUGGCUAAUUCCUCUGUUUCAGGGCAGAAUCAACUACUUAUUAAUAGACUUCCCGCUACUCCUACUUAUACGACUAGUUUGGGAUUCCACCAGAACUCUCACAGGAACAGAACUACUCGACUCUCACCUAGACUCAAAGCAAGCAAGAUUCUUCUUAAACACCCGCACUCUUUUCUUUAUAAAUCAAUUAAUAGCUUCCCGACCUCUACUCUGGACUAGAGCAUCUCUUCUACCUAUGGAAACUGUAAACUAGGAACUUAAUGAGGUAUAUCUCUCUUCUAGGGAUAGAAUUCCAGGUAGUUAUGACCUAUAUUGACUAUUUCUUCCCUUGCAGACCUCGACUCAGGCUCAUCUAAUCUCUUUCCACUCCGGCUUCCCUCUCUACAACUACAGGCUCUCCUCUUUCAACUAAUGCCAAACAGGUCACCAACAAGCACCGGCUACUAAUAGAUGGAUGAAACUCGGUUAAGCCUUAUUGUAAACCUUGCAAAACCCUGUAGUGCUUCUUCAACAACUACCCGCGCCUAGUAACUGACUUGAAACUCCAUCCACUUGAUACUUAACCUCGAACUGGGGCAAAGGGCUUCUCUCUUUCUACAAAUACAGAUUCCACAGCUGACCUUGCAGACCUCCUAAACUGCUUCCCUUCUCUCCUUCUUACUGAACUGAAGUAAAGUAUCUUUCUGGAACUCACCAAAACACGGUAUUUUUCAUAGCAAUCGGAUUUCCCCAGCUAGACCGAUCCAAUCCAAUUAGAUUUGUGCGUUUUCCCGGGAUUUUAGAUAGCGACCCAGUUUUCCUUCCUAAACCCAGAAAGUGAGAUUCUAUUUUCACGUUUUACCGUGUUUUUUGGUUGCAACCAAUAAGAGCUCCUGCCGCGGAACGUUAGUAGUUCCUUAGCCCUUCCUGGAAGGUCUGAUUGAGAUUACAAUUUCACGUUUUCCCGUCUUUUUUCGUUGCAAAUAGAGAAAUAGUAUGGGAUGGUACUUCACUUAGACUUCAACUCAGUAUUCCACUGGCAGAACUUCUGCUGUUGGGCCUGGUGUUGGUUCUUUCAAUCGAGUGUUAACGCCUACCUCGACUCAAUGCUAAGUGAAUUAGUUCUUGCCCACCGAUUACCUGCAUCUAGUUUACUGGGAUACCACCGAUUCCCAGCUACUGGAGUAGUGGAUAAGAAUUCAACCUAAGUGUUUGAGAAGUAAGAAUACAACCACUAACAACUAGAAUCAAACCGCUAGGGCAAAGCCUGAAACAAGGUAUUUACAGAACCAAACCAGUAACAACUAGGCUAUAACACCUAACAACAAGACUGAGCCAGUGCACAAUCGGCCUGAAAGCAAGGGUAGCUAGACCUCAACACCUAAAACAAGCCUGAGAGGGCGGAGUGAGAGAAUGAGAGCAGUACCGAUCAGAAUUGACCUAAGGAACCGGGUGUUGAAGAAGUCGGGUCGGUAUGAACCUAAUGCUACUAGUAGUUGCUUGGCCCACUUCACCUUGCUUCAAAGCCUGUAUGCCAGCUUUGCCUGUAUGCCCGGUAUGCCAGCUUGGUCCCUACUAUAUUAUAUCUGGUAUGCCCGCUUUGGCCCUACUAUAUGCUUUAUUGAUCUUUCUAUAGGAUUCUAGAUAACAGAUGAAACUCAUUCCAGAUUGGAAACACAGAGUCAAGGAGAACUGAAGGAGACGUAACUAACACACAUAUCAAAAGGUUUUUUAAUCCGCGGAAGCCAAAGCAGUGUUCCCUUAAAGGAAGCAGUUAUUGUAGAUGGACCGCCCCCUAAAACAUAAUGGGGGGUAAGCUUACUCCUGAUUCUCAACUUGUUGAACAAACUAAUAUUAGCAUCUACAAACUCUAUGACUCGUUUAGGUUAAAAGCAAAGGGAAGGUAUCGAGUCAACCGUACUCCAGUGCAGGAGCAAGCCAAUCACCGACCCGCUUAGACAAUACAAGCCGCAGAAAUGACACUCGAAUGGCCCGGCCCAUAACAGAGACACCAGAAUAUACUCUUUCUUUUGCUAAGGUUGAAGCCAUAUUCAAGGUUGCUCGUAGGGAAAAGUGGAUCUCGCCCUGUAGUUAACUUACGAGUCCAAGUUUCACAACCAACGGCAUAGCCCAGUAACUACUAUACAAGUAGAUAAGUGACUUUCGAAGAGAGGGAAGUGUAAUAAAGAAAGUUCGGGUAAAGAAGUAUAGUCCAGGAGUGGGCAGUAGAGAAAAGAUACUAAACAUUCCAUGAUUCAGUAUACGCUUGGCCUCGGGGUUUGGUAAAACGAGUCCCGUCAACUUGUAUAUAAGUGCCAUGGUGUAGCAGUGAAGUUAAGGUCAUCAUGUCAGGUUAGGCUCGCUGACGCGUAACAUUAGUUUGCUAAGUUAAGUGAGUCAGUUCUUUUUUGAGUGUGCUAAAGCCUAAUGUGUAAUUGGUUUAUGGGGUAUAUGGGAUAAGAAUAAUGAAUCCAUGAUGAAAGCUAGAGCGCAAAGGUGAAGUUAACAAAAGGAAUAGCUGCUCUCUCUGCAAAUAAGGAAUUGAUUGAAUCUCUCUCUUAUCGAGCACCUAGGAAAACAGUCAAAACAUUAAUGGAUUAUCGAUCACCUGACCUGGUCCAGGCAUAGAUCUGAGUAAAUACACUUCUUGCUUCCCUUGAUUAUUCUUCUUCCUUCCCGUCCUUCCUCCUUUAUUGAAUGGAAAUUGAAACUCCCUUACAGUUAGUUAGGGCAAUCUUAAUGAAUUUGUUGAACGUAGAAGAACCGUUCAAACUUAGGAUCCUGAUCUUAACCCAGCUUUUUGUGAGAAAACAAGGAAUUUCAUUGAAUUAGUUGACUACGGAGAGGUGUGGAAGGAUACUCUACGCAAAAGUGAACUAUACUCUUUGAGGGUGAGCGAGUGAAGUCUCUUUUGGUGCUUAUUCAAGUCCUGUCCAGUUUGCGAGAGAAGUUCGGUACGCCUUAGUUGCAGACUUAGAUUACUUGUAGGGCGAAGUAGUGUCCUGUUACUCUAAUUCUAUAUGUUGCUCUUUCUCCUGCCUCCAUCUUAUGCUUAUUAUCCUUAUUCACUUAUACUUAUGCUCCUUAUUCAUAUCUUGAUUCCCUUGCUUCCUCACCUAUUACAGUUGGCUCUAAAGAAUAGAAUAGAAUCUCGGCGCCAUCAUAAAAGAAUGAAGCGGAAUCAAAUGCAGGUUAACUCUUGACUCUAAGCUUAUCCGCUUGGCUGCUGUAAGUGCUCCAAAUUCCAUACUUAUAUGACUAGCUUUAGAUCUUUAGCCCGCUCCUUCUGUUCGCCUAGUGCGAGUGUAAUCCCAUCUUUCAAUCAAUUUCUACAUGUUAAGAAUCUGCUCUGUUCCUGUUUGUUCUGUAGGCCCGAUCUAUCCUCGCUUGCAGCUGAAGAAGUAAUUGAGGCAUAGUCCCCUUACAUAUAGAAUGUCGGCACCACGAGUUGGUUUAAGAAUUGAGGCGGCUGCCUCCUUUGAACAAAAAGCUUCUUAUUCCCUUCCCUGAACAAAACCCUCUGCUCAGCCAAUAAGCUCUUUCUCUUUCGCCAGCUAACUAUCUCAUGGUAAGCACCCGCUUCAUACUCAUCAGGAACCUGCAAUUCUACACUACUUACUAUUCCUCUUCUGACUAAUGUUACUACAUCAGCUGUGCGUUCGAGUGUUGGCUAAAGUCCGGGUAGUGGUAAAGUUAUGGUUCUUGUUUCAUACCGAGCUGAAGAAGUGGAAGUGAAAGGCUUACUUUAGUUGUUUCAUCCCCUUAAUUAGGAGUGGAAUCCCCAGUGACUUUAGUUGUGAGUUUUACCUAUAAGUAGUUAAGGUAUUGUUCGGGCUAUAGCCUAUAGAGAACCUGGCCUGUCCGAACUAGGGAUAGAGUUUCACUAGAGCUGCCCGAGUUUGUCUACUUAAGGGGUUAGCUUGUUGGACAAUUAGUUGAGUGACCCCUCUUUACCUUUGUAGUAGUUGGUAGUAGUGGCUGGGCAGUUGGGGAAAUCAAUAGUAUAGGCGACAUCCCGAGUUGCUUGUUUAGUAUAAGCUUGCCUGAGAGCAAAUAGGUUCAUUCCAUUCUUUAGUUGUCGGCCUCGGCCUGGCCUUCCCGUCUUUCACUCUGAAACUCCUUUUUCUCAUUCUUCAACCCUUGAACUUAAGUCUGACUUUCUCCCCUGUGAGUCUGUAACUCCUGCCUGGAAUUCCUAUGUGAAAGUGUGAGUCUUAGCCCCUGACUUCGCUGUCCAAGUAAGAUACCGGGCAUAGGCCUUUUACUCAUUAGCAUAGGAAUGGGCGUACUAACACACAGGAGCAGAAUUCCACUCAUUAGCAUAGGACUGAGGAAGCAGCAGAUAAGGAAUGCACCUUAGAAGUAAGGGCAUCGGGCUAAGAAUGGAACUUUAAAUACAGAAGUUAACUCACUCGUUAUAGUCUGCCACCCCAUGCUCGCAUUCUUGUAGUUGUACCUGGCAUUGCCGUUCUCUUGUCUAAAACUUCUACUCUUCUUUUAUAGCCUUUAAGGUUCGCACUUUCAUUCUGAUGCUUGAGUUUGGUCUGACUUUCGUGUCUCUCAGUCCUAUGCUCUUGUUUCAAACCUACACUCCUUGCUAAAAUGCCAAUGUUCCAGUUUCAGUCUGACUAUUCUUUAUCUUAUUCUUAACCCCCAGGCUCUGACUCUUCCGCUCUUGUCUCUCGGGCUUACCCUCCUUGCUUAAAGCCUUGCUUUUGAGUUGAAGUAUCCCCCUAAAAACUCGGACUCUUCCGUUCCGCUCUCUCUGUAUUACUAUUCUGUCUAUAACUCUGUCGCUCCUAACUACCAAACUGACAUUCCUUUAGAUUUGUAAUAAACCCUGUAUACUCAUUCUUGAUUAUUACCUUGGAUUAGAGUUAUUACUUUGAUUCUGAAAUUGCUUAUACUUCGAACAGAGAUCCUCUGCUCUAAGGCUUGGAACUAUAAGUAUUAGAAUGUCCGGUAGGGGCUGGCAGUUGGUUCAGAAGCUAAAACAAGGGAAUCAGGCUCUAAAGUAGGGCCAAGCAACGGGACAAACUACUAAGUAAGCCGGGCAAGUCACUAAGGGCUAAGUAACUACGAGUUACACUAGUUGCAUUCUUUGACUAAUGAGUUUGAUUCUGACUCUCACUACUUAGUUGCCCUAGAUGCUGGCCUAGUAAAAGACUUCGGACUUCCUCCUUACUCCUUACUGCUGGCUUCCUCCUUACUAGUAACUUAGGGCUUACUCAUAACUUCCUCCUGACUUCGGGCUUACUCUUUGAACUAAGGCCUCUAUACCUCUAAAACGGAUACUUGCAACCCGGCUCACUGGUAUGAUUACUUAAGAGAACAGAACAGAUAGAUACAAAUACGGAAUUCCAAUCUAACAAGAACAGGGGCGAGCUACUACUCUAACUCUGAGGGAAGGCACGACCUGAAGUGAAGAGAAGAGGGGCUUCCUGAGUGAUAUAAUCUUUCCAGUUUUACGUCGGUGUCUGAGGGCCGGACAGAGCUUUAGUUUAUUUAGCUUCCUAUUCCGAAAGUUCAGUAUGGGGUAUUGCUGCCUAUCUCAUACUUUAUAUUAAUAUUUGGACUUUUACUUUGAGAGAAUUGAUUCUGGGCUUUGUCUUUAAGAGAAUUGAUUCUGUAUAAUAGUAAGGGUCCCCAUUGCCCACUAACGGUAGCGGCGGUUACUCGAGCAACGGAUUCUAGAACACCUGAUUUGCGGCAUAUCUGUCAUUGGGUAUUUAGGCAUCCUUUUCGAAAGGUAGGAAGUAAGUGAGCAAGCAAGCAAAAAAGCAACUAGUUCAAUUCAAAAAGAUGUUGAUGUUGUGCGCCUUACUUGAAUAAAAGCAGUAAGCAGUUUUCUAAUUUAGAGUUGUUGUUUCCGAGGGAAGCAGCAAUCAAUUAGAAAUCGAAAAGUCACGUUUCAGUUUCAAGAUCUGACAACAGUAUCAUAAGCAGCGGAAUAGCCAGUUCCUGUUUCAUAGUGAAGAUCAUAUACUUCUGUUCGCGCACCUCUACUUAUUGCUGACUCCUGACUUGAAUGUUAUACCUGCUGCGGACUCUCAAGUACAGAAUAGAAAAGAGACAACAACUUUCUACUUAACCACUCCCACAGAUCCCGAUCCUUAUUCUUCCCUUGGUUGUUGACUUGCUCUCUUGAUUGAAGCUGCCUAACACACCCCAAGAAGUAAGACUGAAACGCGUAACUAAGACUUAGUUUGAUAAUUCACUCAUAUGCUCCAGGGCGGCCUAGCACUACUUUAACUUAUCACUUGGUAUUGAACUCAUCAGUAUUAGUACACCACUCCUAACUCCUGAAGUAGUCCUCAUGAGACUAAAUACGUACCGAGAGAACGAAACCGACAAGGGGCCCCAGGGAACCACUCUUAAGUAAGUAUACCGGUCAGAGCUAUAAGACUAACUUACUAGUUGGAUUCCGUACCUCUUGUUUCUUGGCCCGACACUACUUACUUAGAUUAUGUAUUCUUCUAUACACCUAGGCUCUUGCAUUCCACGCCAGUUUCAAACUUAUACUCAUACUAAUCAGAAUAGAACCCGUGUGAGCUAUACCAAUACCAGACAUUUGAUUCCAAUUCAUUAGUGGAAGAAUACCUGUCUCAUCUGACGAAACAGAACUUAGCUCAUUAGCGUAGGACCUAAACAUAUCAAAGUGAGCCUGGCACUCCGAACUCGUAUACUGAAAUUGCUGAUCUAACAUCUGGCUUCACCCGCAGUUGUUUGAGUCCUGUUACUUGUCGAGUGAAUUCAGUCCUGUCUUAGGGAGCCCUUAUUUGUGUUAUCAUAUCCAAAUCGGGACAGGUAUCCUUGCCUUCUAGUUAAUUCCUUAUUAAUGACAAGUUUCAGUCUGAUGCUUAUUCCUUUGAUUCCAUAUUUGGUCUGAUACUUUUACUACUGGCUCUAAGUCUUUUACUUACUCAUUGCAUUCUGACAGGUCAAAAGAGAGGGAGUCCGCUCCUACUCGCUCUAAAACUGCCCUCAUGCUUAGAUGGCGAGUUCCCCUUUCUUUCAUGCGUAGAUGCCGAGCUAUAGCUCUAAGACUUACUUUUAGUGUAACGCAUGGGACUAAAGCAGCUACAACUAAAGAACAAAACCUGUGCUAUUAUACUGAAAUCAUAAAGCAGGAAUCUAACUAUGACAUUAAUAAAGGAACAGCGGCUAACAAGGCUUAUCCUUCUAACUGGGACUUCUACUCAAAACUAGUGGAUUUUUCUCUCUUUUCAUUAUAAGUAAUAAGAGUCUGGCUGGAUGAAACUCAAGGGUAGUAGACUAAAGCUAAGUACUAUUAGAAUAUGGGCCUUAGUCAAUAAUUGCUAGCGCAUCUACUCUACUAGUUAUAAUACAACUAAUGCCAUUGGAACUAAACUACAAACUACAGGACUAAAUCAAACAAUAAAGAACAGGACUGGUGUCUCGGAGAACCAAACUCUGUAUUUGGAGAAUAUGAUGUGUGGUAGAUGCAUCGCAUCCCUAGUGAAUUCAACUCAACAGUAAGAGACUUCAACAAGUAUUAGUCCGAAUUGAACUAUAGUGACUCAAAGGAUGAAAACACAGCUAAAGAACUUCACUCUCCAAGCAAUGGUACAAUUCACUCUCCAAGCAAUGGGACAAGUUUCUAUUAGAGGAAUCAACACUCGAACAGGAGACUUAGCGUGGGCCCGGGUAAUCCCCUAGUAUAAGAGCAAGGGAGUGAAUAAGUAAUUCCACUAUAACAGAGGAAUGAGCCCCUCUUUCCGGUAACUAAGAAAUCAAUACAGAAGUAAUAAUGAGGAGUAGUCGUAGGCAUACAGAAGUUCACUAUCAGCUAGGAAUAAUAAGUAAUGGAAGAGGAAAGUAACGACUACAAAUGCAGGAUUGCGCUCAGCAGUCCAAGAGUGAAGCUAAGAAUACAGAUUACUGCACCGCCUAACAAACAACAAAGACUACUGGAAUGCUACUACCAAGUAUAGAUUCAACUAACUCCUCUGCUAACAAGGAAUUCAACUAGACACCAACAAGACGACAACAACCCCUACUGAAUGAAAAGAAGAAACCUAUAGACACCAACUCAGACUCGCAUUCCUGGCUACCGGCCUAUAUCUCUUUGCUUUUACCCUGACACUACUAGGAGCUAGAAUGAAAUCACUACCGCCGGCCAAGCAACGGGCCAAGCAACUACUACAGUAGCGCGGCAGGGUUUCCCCAGAGUAGUUAGAGAGAUUCAGGCCUUACAUCCACUGUGACAAAGGUCAUAGCAGGGAAAAACACUUCAUUCACAGCCAGGAAAGAAGGCUUAAGGGAAGGUUCCUGAUUCCUUGACCUAUGCUUCGGUUUACCUCUAUGCUUCGUUGACCUUGGAACUAUAUUCCUCUUUUUUGAUUGACCAGCGGGACUCCUAGGUUUUGUCAUCGCCUUGCCGGCACCUUCCUUCCCUGAGCUCACCUCCUCUACCACCUUUCUAUAUGCCCUUAGGAUAAGUCAGUCUGUCUGCGCAAUCCGCAAUCAUUAACCCGGCUCUACGUCUUCUUAAGAAAGGUGCGUCUGUAUUCACUUGCAUUCCGACCCGAACCUGAGAACUAUCCACAAGACCGCUUACGCCAAACUCGAGAAGAAGCUUUAGAAGGCGAGGUUACCAUUACUUGUUAUUCCACUAGUGAUAUUUGGGGCAAGAUCAAUAUAUAGUGAUCCGUUAUGAUUGUUCAAACUACGGUAAAUAGUGGAAAGUAGUUAGGCCUUACUUAAGUCUGGUCUCCUCUCCCAGGAGUGAGUCGAUGAAAGCCAAUAGACAGAAGCAAGGGUAUACUUUUCGCUUGACAGGAACUUACUUGCAACAACCGGCCGCGUCAGGAGCUAAAAGCGCGUCAGUAAUUAGUGAUUUUAGAGUCAUUACCGAGUCCCUAUCUGAUGGAUUUGCCAUAGGAGGAGUUUCCAGUAGGUUAAACAACUUCUUUAUUACUUGCUAUGUGUUUGUGAGCCAGAGAGGGCAGGGAAAUUGGGGUUGCAUCCAGUAAUAAUCUCAUAUCACUGACAAAGAAUACAGAAUCCACUAAGGGCUCAUCUACCGCCAACUUAGAGAAAGAAGUAUAUGAUGAAGCCUUAACCUAGCCAAUGGAGUAGUGAUCGGUAACACCUCUGAUUGUUGGUUACGUUACAGAUUGUCCCGCUAUAGCUGGUAUAGUUCCAUAAGCCGAAUCACAGUCCAAGUUCUUAUGCCCACCUAGAAGAUUAAGGGAUAUGAAGAAAGUACUGGUUCGGGUGUUGAUGCUGUAGUAGCUCCUUCCUUGUCGUGGAGUAUAGGAUCUCUCUGUUCGCCCUGUUCCACUUAUAUCGUAUGUUGAAGCGGAAUCUACUCUCCAAUCUCAUGCCCACGUGGACUAUGCGGUGUGUGAAGCAUCUAUUGCCGGUGUUAGUGUGUCUCUUGACUCUAGAUCUUAAGCAUAAGAAUGAAAGUAGACAAGCGGUUCUGCAAGUUCAUUGGAUUACGGGUCGGGUGCUAGUACUGUUGCUAACUUAUAUUACGGGUGCUUUCAGUUGGUUCCACAAGUUUUGUUCCUGUUCCGGAUCUGAUAAUAAGUAAAGGGAAGGGGGUUUCAAGUUUACCAGUCGUGAAAGUUGACUAUAUGAUUUGUUUGUAACAUUCCUUCCUACCCUACCUAGGCUUAUAUGCGCUGUACUACAAAUUCCUGAUUUUUGUUUCAAGUGUUGAGUCAGCUGUUCGCCCAGUUCGACUUUUCUCGUUGUUUAUAGAAAGAAGCCCAGAAGAAGCGGAUGCUGGAAAGUAAACUAAUCUGACUCCUUCGCCAGGAAAGUAAACCUCAUACUGCUUGCGCACAAGGACGAACUCAUCAGGUGUUAAAGCCUUAUUUGCCCUACCAUAACUUCUUCAGCGCGGUGAAGAUAUAGUGGAAUCUUUCUUUGUUGCUUUAGCCCUCGAAAGAAAAAAUCCAGUAUUUGUUGACAGUGAAAGUGAGCUGUGCGUUAGCUUAGUAUAGAAAAGGUCAUAUUACUCAAUAUAGAUAUAUACUAGAGGUUAAACAAAGGGAAAGUAAGCGUUAGCGACCCGACCCCGAGAAUCAUAAGUGUCAAGUUACUCACUUAUUGCUUUUUGAAUGAAAGUAAGCGGUGAGUGAAUAAGUUUCAUCGUCAACAGUUCGAGGAAAAUCUACAUCUACAAGAGAAGACUCAGUUUCAAGAGAUUGUUCGGCUACUGGCUUUGAGCACGAGGUUUGCCACUUCAUUCUAUAAUACGGGUAAGUGGGGAACAAGAAUGAUGUCCGUUUGAUAGCAUCUUAUCUUGUAGUUGAUCAUGAAAUUCUCAAUUCAGAGUUUGUUGGUGACUUCUUCUACUUAGUGGUGUAAUUCCCAAGUGACUAAGUAAGUAUUAUAAUAGUACUAUAGGAGUUUUCAAGUGUUCAGUAACUACUCUGGGAUACUGUGCCAGGAAAGCUAUGUACUUGUUUCUAUCAUCCCUAGCAAUUAGCCCUAGCUCAUUACCUCUUUAAACUAUCCCUCUCCUCGCGUUACCAUUCUGUUACUGACUAUUCGGAGACUCUCCUGUCUGCUUGUCUGUGAGUUUCAUUCAGUUACUUACUUCUAGCCUCUGAUCAAGUAUCUUCUCCAUUCUCUUGUUCGCACAGAGCAUCUAGUUUAUUUACCUACUUUAUCGCUACUCAUAUAAUAAUUUGUAUAGUUCCAGUGACUAGUUUAGUACUAUUUAUCUCAAUACGGGCAGAAGAAGUCAACCUGCAACUGGAGACUUUCCCCUUACUGAUUCUUUUAGAUACCCUUACUUUUCAGGUACAAGUCAGAGGUGAGUAGCACGCGGGUCUUAACUUCAAGUUUCGGUCGGCUAGAGAGAAUCAGCUUGAUCGGGAGAAUAAACAGUUUCAAUAGCGAGAUCCUAGGCAGUGGCCGUAUCAAGUCCAGUUGAUAGAAAGGCUAAACCAGGACGUGGUUCUAACUGCUCCUGUGUUAAGGUAUUCUAUUCCAUUCAGAAGUCGAAGAGCUUGUCGACUUGUCCAUUAGUAGUAGCUUGUUCCUUAUAGCCCUUGAAUACUCUCAAGAUGGUGUGAAAGCAUAAUAAGGAUAAUCAGCAGUAUCAAGUCAGUCAGUAGUAACCGCUAAGGAAGCAGCAUAAUUAGAAUGCCCACGCCACUGAAGAGGAAUUAGCCAGCUAUUGAGAUAGAAUAGAUGACAAACCUGCGCUCUAAACUAGAAAUACAGAAUUGAAACCCUAAAGUCAUAAUUGAACUAAGUAGCCAUAGGAUAUGCUUUAGUGCUUGUGUUAAGCAAGUAGUCAAUAUAGAAUAGAGGACCAGUACAAGCAGCCAACAUAAGUAAGGGUUAGUUGUUAAUUGGCCCUAUCAAAUUCGAUCUUUAUUAUUAAGGAUGGUUCGAAUGCCAUGCCCCUUCCCUUAAGAAUUGAGUGAAAGUAUUGCCAGUUGCUCGAGUUAUAGAGGUAGUUUCAUCCCGAGUUUUCAUCAUAAAUAGCAUCAGUGGUGUGGGAUGAGAAUGGUACCCCUCUUUCUAACCAUGGGACCUAUCUUGCUACACCCUCUAUUUGGUUUUUUGCACUCUAAAGUUAUAACUCUUCCCUUCAUCUAAUCCGAUCUCCUGGUUGGUAUGGUCCCUUUCUUUAUAAGCUCUGGAAAUCCUUUAAUGAAUCCAUUGACUAUAUUCCUCGCCUAUCUUGCUGGUUCCUUAAUGAAUCCAUUGACUAUAUUCCUCGCCUAUCUUGCUGGUUCCUUUCUUUAUGGUUGCUAUCUCGUACCUUAUGUUUUAGUGCUAAAGCUUCCUACUGCCCUAUUUGUUUCCCCCUCUACUAGGCUAAUGAUUCUGCUUGAGUUUAUACUGUUUCCCUUGCCGAUUCCUCUUCUCUUGUAUUGCUCCACUUUCCUUCCCGCUUACCCUUACUUGGAAUCAUAAGCUGACUAUGCUAAUGCUGACUCAACAAGCAGGGGUCCAACUUCAUAAUGCGCGAUAAGUCAAUCAGUUUCAUCUUAUAUAGAAGCCUCAGCCGAAUGCCCAUCGAUACUUGUUUAAUAUCAUCUAGAUAAGAGCUUUGUAUAGAAAUCAAGUCACUGGACUGGACACUCCGCUCCAAAGCCACCCUACCUACCUGUAGACCAAGAUCAGAAGCCUAAGAUGGAUCAGUAGUUUCAACAGAAUCAUCAGCCCUUAAGUAAUUGGUUUAGGCAGUAGAUCCCCUUAAGAGUUUCAUCUUUGUUUGUUAGUGAAAAGAGUCCCGAGUUAACCUUUCUUUUAUGCCUGGGCUUCCCUUAUUAAGAACUAGUCCGUAUUUGGGUGUUCAUCGCCUUAGUCAAAAAAUUCCAUUCUAUUCUGAAGUAGUAGGCUUUACUCGGGGAUUCUUCAGUAGUAGCUUUUACUUGGGGAAUGUUUUCUACUUUCUUAUCCGCUAGAUCUAUCCCUAUUCUUCUCCAGACACUCACUCCUUUGCUAAGGUUAGCUUGUCUCUUUGACUACUUAGUUCAAUUCAUAGGUAGGGUUGCAUUAACACUUACUAUAAGAACUAUUGUCAAUUCACUCUUAUAAUAAUCACAGAUAGAGCGUAAUGUAGGGCAACCCCCUUUCCCUGCAGCUGAAGUCAAAGAAUUCACUGGCCUAGAUCCAUAAUGCCUAGCUCCAUCCUAUUAUUCUCUCCAUCCUAUUAUUCUAAAGUAAACUUUCCUGCGUAAUAUAAGUAAGGCACCCCGACCCGACCUCUAUACCUCUUGGCACAUAAGUGAGGAAUUGAAUGGAACCUAUGGAGCACCCGGCUAAUGAUCUUAGAACUGGAAGAAGCUUUUAACCGAUCUUAUAACUGAUAUGAUAUUCUUUCUUUCUUUAGAAUAUGAUGAAACUACGGGCCAAGCUACGAUACAUUAUAACUCGUUAUAACCAAAUCCUGUUUAAACCCAUAUUGUGUAAGUAGAGCGUCAAGAUGAGUUGUUUUCUGGUUUAUUUGUUCUUUCUAAUUUAUUGUUCGAUAGUUUUCUCCCAUCAUUCUUAUCACUUAGGGCUUACUAGCUACUAACUUAGGGCUUACUACUAACUACUAACUAGCUUCGGGCAAUCGGUGGUCUAGUAACUGACUUCAACAACUACCCGCCUCUACUUCUUUUGUUUUAGCAUAGCACCCGACCUCUAGUGUUAACGCCUAACUCUCCUCUGUCAAAAGCCAAUCUCUUCUCUCACAGACAAAGAAACUCCACUUUCCUUUUAUUGCUACCAAUACAAGGUAAAGAAUCCAAGUUUGUUAGCCAUAGGCAUAGGAGAGGAAGUAUUGUCAGAGGUAGCUACCGGUAGUUAAGGGCUUACUUUAUGCUAAGUUAAGGGCAAUAGAGUGCUUGAUGUCGGUCGUGGAGAAAAGUCAUUGUCCCGCUUACACACAACUCACAUCUUACUCUUAUUGGACUUGGUAUGGUACUAGAGAAAGACUCAUUUGAAGACAUAGGCUAAAUAGGGACUCCAAAGGAAGGCAGUUAUCAUGUCUGAAUCCGGACUUGGUAAUAACAUAGAUUGCUCUUCGGUCUUAGACAGCUCCUAAAGAGAUAGUCACUACCCCUCCGCUCUUAACCUAAUCAAUGUCGUAUAAGAAUUGGACUUGCUAGUUCUAAGAGAGAAAAGAUGAGAUGCCCAGCAAGAGCAAGAGAGAGAAGACCGGUAGGCAUGAGAACUGUAUUGCCAGGUCAAGUUCCGGAGCAUUAGAUUACAUAGCCCACCUCUCCUCGAAAGUAACUGAGGAUAUCCGUUGCCCACCUCGAAGACCCGCUUUCAGCUUACUUGAGAACAGAAACAUCAUUAAUGAGAACUGGAACAGGCAAUUCUCUUUGAACUCAAAACUCGGAAUUGACCUACCGUUUCUAAGACCUUUACUAAAAAGAAGGAAUCCAACAAAUAAGUGUGAGAAUGAAAACACCAACUAUUAGAAUCAAAAGCAAAGGCUCUAACUAGUGCUCCUUACUUAUGAUAAAGAAUCCCACGACUACUCACGGGGCUUACUGUCCUUUAUCUAACCCUCCCUCUACUCUUCUAUGCGUAUAACACAUGGGUUGGUGGACUACCAAUUUCGACUACUCUACAGUAAAUAAGAGAACAACUAGGGACUCGGAAUCAAAUAAGUAAGGAAAAGAAUAUAAGGACUCGGAAUCAAAUAAGUAAGGAAAAGAAUAUAACUACCAAGAGAAAGAUCCAGACCAACGCUAAAGAGAAUUGAGCUAUAAUAGCUAUCAGACUAAGACACUGCCCCAACAGACUAGAAACUUCAACUAGGGGAUCCAACUGGAGAUAACAAGGCUCGGAUCACUGCUAGCAGGACUGUAUGACCUACACACAUCAAUAAGACUUUACUGCCGCUCCUAACUACCAAACGGGCAUGGCAUCCCUUAAUCCAUUUAUGGCCUAUGAGUUCGGGCCUACCUCUCUUCCUCGCAAACAGGCACUCCCUUCUUGCAUUCCUUAUUGCCUGCCUCGCCUUUAGUUAAGUCUACCUUUCCUUUCUUCCAUUCUCGAUUUCCGGAUUGAUUCCAAGCCAGCAGCUGACGCUGCCCUUGCUUUUGAGAGUGUAGUGCCGUAUUUAUGUAAGUAGCGUGUCAUGUAAUAGUAAGUAGCAUGCCAUGUGUUUUAUUGGUUUCAUAUAAUAUAUAAUAGUAGCCCCUGUGUAUGGUACGUAACCUUGAUUGAUACAUUGAUUGAAACCCGCGUAUGGCACAACACACCCACGACUAUUGACUCUUAAGGGAUGUGUUCCGUAGGGGUAUGUUGUCGGUGUUCGAUAGAAGUUUAGAGGAAAGAAUAACUAGAAGAAUGGACUUUAGAUAGUAUUAAUAGAAGUGAAUAUGAUAAGCGAAAGAGUGUAGCGGCAGUCUACUUACACCAGUAGCUCUACUCUUAUUGGUAUUGAUUGGAUUCCUUGUUAGUAGAGGUGGUUUCCCAGUUUCUGACCUUUGAGUUGGUUUCCCAGCCGAGUGGGGGAAGUCCAAGUUUCGAGUUGGGUUCAUCUGUAAUCGAAUAAUGAAUGAAUAUAUUAUAUCAUAAUAGAGUCCAAAGCUCAGCUCAGUAAUAGAAUCAUUGGUGGCAGGGUCAAGUCAAAUACUGAUAGAUGCGAGAUCCGUGGCUAGAGGACCCGAUGCAGUGUUUAAAGAAAGAGAGGAGGCCUGUGGUGUGAAAGAGGUUGUUGGGUUGAAAGCGAGGGAAGGGACCAAGCAACGGGCCAAUCAACUACUACAAAGGCACAGAGGGGGACAAGCCAGCCGAUCCUUAUUUCUUCGUAGGCGAGCGGGAGAGUUAGUGACCUAUUCUAUAUCAAGGGUUAGUUACCUAUUGCUCUUAACCAACCAGUGCUUCUUAGACUCCCUAUAGAAGUUAUCAGAGAGAAAGGAUUUUCAAGCAAGGGUAAACUGCGGCAUACAAUCAGUUCAGUUCACCAGUUUACAGGGGUUUGGUAAAAAAUAAGAGAAAUUGACCUACUUCUCGCCACCCCACCUGAGGAGUAUAAUUGAGAGUUAUAGGCUUUAAACACCUGAUUGGGAGUGACUUGUAUAGUAGUGUCUUGCCUAGUCUUGAUCCAACAAGCAGCCAAGCCGACAAUGAGUAAAUAUAGGUUGACAGCCCCAACUAGACUACCGGUACCUACCAUAUCUUAUAUUUGGAGUACCUAUGGAAUUCUAUCCCUAGUAGUUAUCGGGCCAAGGAACUACUUCAAAGCCAAAGAAAGAGACUACACUUAUUCUCUUGCCCACCUCUCGGAGAGGAGAGGAGCCUAACUUACUAGCCUUCGCAUUCAACAUUCCAUUCUUUAUACGAUGACUUUCAAUCCUACUCCACGAGACCAACCACUUUGAGCGUAGAGCGUACGCGGCACAUUGCCGACCAGAGAAGUCAGGAAUACGAGUAGAUUCCACCUACCUAUGUUCUUUGGUUACCAUAUUCGAUAUGUGUGUCAGUCAGUUCAAAUAUAUGACUUUUCUUUCGCCCAAUAGCAUUAGCGAGUUUACUUGCACUCUCUGAAACAAGCUUUAGGCGCUAAGGGAUAGCCUAUCAACUCUAUGACUACACUCGAACUAGGCGAACAAAAAGACAAGAAGGGCAAAAGAGGAUAUUCGGUUUCUGGAACUCUCCUUGAAGUGAAGAAAAAGAAUAGAUAUCUUAGAGCAUAUAUCUAAUUUAGGAAUGAAUGUCAUCCAGCAGAAACUCCGUAAGCUUAAGUAGUUCGCUAACGGGAGCUAAAGAAGGCAAGGCCAACACUCGCAUCGCAAACGGAAAUGGAAUAUCUCUCUUAUUGAGCACAUGGGGUAUAGUAUCGAUUUUUGUAACAAGAGAGUACACUCCAUAGCCCUUACUUUCUCCGGAGUCUUAGACAUUUUUGCCUAUAAUCUUGAGACCCUCUUAACAUCUUAAAUACAUAUUGACCCUCUUGCUCUGUAACUCCGGACUUAUGUAUUUCAUUAGAACUCCUUUAACUCCGUACUUUGGGGUGGAAUUCUGAUAAUACUGUUAUGGCUCUGGACUACUUAUACCACUAGUUGGGGCAAGAACUAUACUGGAAUAGCUUCCCUUUAUGAGCAAGUCCUUGCUAGCGCAUCUAGUAUAUCUUAAUUCUUCUAUCGAGCUGGUACGAUCUAGCAUGCAUAGCUCCAGCCCCGGAUUCUCACCUUAUCGAGUCGACUUCAAUGGAAUUGCAUUCUGAGUUUAGGGUUGACUUCACUUAGUUGCCUUAACUCUCUAACACUUCUUUCUUGCUAAAGUCUCUAAGGUAGGAAUAUGACCCUUUGUUUCUAUAUGGAUGAUAUUCCUAUUGAUAAAAGAAGAGUUCUCGGGCAAGAAGAGAAUCAAGUACUGGUGAGGAGUAGAGAUCAUACGAGUAUAUUUCUGUUCUUGCGGGAAAGGAAGCCGAAUCAAAGUUCUCUUGCCCACUACGCGGAUUAAGGUUAGCUAAGCAAACUACUAAUAAACUAUCAGAAUUAUGCUAAGCAAACUACUCGUGGAAUUAUUAGAAUCUAAUAACAUGCUACUAUUACAUGACAUGCUACUUACUAUUACCAUUAUUAUUAUUAUUAUAGAAUAGAUAGAUAAGUAACCGUAUUAUUCUAUUAAGAGAAUAGCACUGCACUAAUGAACCCAGCCACUGUCUAAUAGGCUUACUGCCCUUACUUACAUUAUCAAUAAAAGAAUCAAGAGUUUACACAAUAACUAGUUCUCUCGGGUAGGCAGGGAGAAUGCCACUGGGGUGCUUUCUAAUUCUAAUACUGAACUAACUAAUACUGAACUAACUGCUAGCAAAGAACUAGCACCAAACUAUACAAAACCCACUCGGAUUCUUUAAGCACUGAUACGGAUCUUUGCUUCACUAGCUCCAAAGCCCCUACUACUGAUUUGGAUCCUUCCUCUCAAACCUAUAACCCUAGCUCUUACUGGCCAAACCAACUAGAAGUCUCCCAUUACUUUAUCUUAGCUUGACACCGCUUACGGCUGUUUAAACUGAAGCUGCUGAUAAACAGACUCGAACUACUAAUCAAAGAACUAACUAAACUAGGAACUAGGGGGGCUACCCAUACUUGAACUCAGUGCACCGGAGAACAAGAAUCAAGCUAGCCACUAUCAGAAUUUCACCAAGCAGUAUAAAAGAAUGCAAUUCAUAAGUAAAAGACCAACUAAAAGACCUCAACAAGUACUAGCUUUGAAACAAGGUAAAGAGGAGAUGGGUCCUUUUCUUAAUAGUGCUUGGAUUACCACCUUAUAGUCGAGUUCUUUGCUUUCCCGAGCAGUGCUUGCUUGGCUUUUUACCUUAGUUGUGUCGUGGAGAGAGAAUCGAUGCAGUGCGCUUGAUUGACUAGCGGCCCUGCCGUUCCUAUAGCUCGCUACCGCGCCUAACGAGGCUUGGUCAUUAGUAGUGUCUUGGCGGGUAGGGGCGGAUAAUCUACUUGAGUUCGAGUUUCCUCUAGGUUGCGAGUAAAUGUUAUCUUAUCGAAAUAGAAAUAUUUGAGAUAUAGAAUUUCUAUUGGAUAUUGGGGAGCAGCUGCUCCUAGGCUAGGCGAUUAUAAGAUUAGUUUCGAGUUUAUGCUUUCAUUUCGAAAUUGAACUCUAAGUUAAUAAAAAGAAGAAUGGGCUCCGUAUGAUAUAAGUCAGUAACCAAAUGAGAUAAGUAAGUAACCAAGGAUAGGAGAUAGGUAUAAAAGUUCCUGUUCUAGGAUCAGAAGUUGCAAGCGGCGGGGCGCCCAGAAGAAUCAUCCUUAGUUCUCAAGUCAGCAGCCCACGAUUCUGCAAAUGAAGGAGAGGUUGGCCAAAGGGAACAAGUGCUUGUUAGUUAAGUCGACAUCAACAAUAGAAGAAAUAGUCGAAAGGAACUCAGCAGCAAUGAGGUGUGGAUCUCGAUGAUAAUAAGAAUCAAAGGAUUGCGCUAGGUACGAUAUAAAGAAGUAACCGACCAUGUGCUCUUAACUCCCAAGCCAAAUCUGAAUUCCACAAAUGAGUACAAAAAUGUACCUACAUCUUGUCAACCCAGAGUACUAGUAUAAUCUUAACAAAGCUAAGUAGAAAUAUGAUCUGAUAUAAGAAAAAACAAAUUCAGAGUGGAACUUGGCAUAGAAACUCGUAAAGACACUGAACGCACAAGGACACGCACUUCUGGACCAAUACUGGAAUCUGUAACUGGCAAUUCAUAAGCUUCAUAUGCUCCUGCUUCUUAUUCAGCUUCGUAUAAAUAUAUCUUAAUUGUAUUUUCAUACCAUAUAGGUUCUAUUACUAACUCACUAACCAUACUAUUACUAACCAUAUAGAUUCUAUUACUAUUAAGUAACUAUAUAAGUAAUAUAGAGUGGAGUAAUGAUUAGGAGAAAAUGAUAUAAGUAAUAUAGAGUGGAGUAACGACUAGAGGAGAAAAUGCAAAGUGUCAGUGGAAGUUGGAAAGCAAGUAAUGGAAGCUGACAAGCAAGGCUUAGAGUCCAGGGAGGCAGACUAACAGGGUAAAUAAAGGAUUUCAAGGUGUGGGUCGGUGCUAUAGUUUCUAGUUCAAUUCCAUCUUGUUGGCUCGGAGGGGCAUACUGGAACGAGAGCCAGGGUAGGUAGGGAGCAAAACGAAGAAGUAUCUGAUCACCCAUCAAAGAGAAGAAUGCCAGGAACGCGAAUCUAAGAGGAAUGCCGGGUACAAAUACAGAUGUGAGGUCGCGAGGGGCAAGGUUAAGAGUUCGCAGUGACAUACUAAGAAUAGAGUAGUGGAUCUAUCCGGUAAUAGAGUAGUAGAUCCAUCCGGGUAGUGAGUCACAUUUCACCCAGUAUAGUAUCCAUUCUGAUUAGUCGUAGUGUGAUUACUCGUUUCUAGAUUCAUUCUGUUAGUAGUAUAAUGGUAGUAUAGUUGGAUGCGCCCUACAUCGUACUUAUUCCUAUGCCAGAGGAUUCUAUUCUUAUAGUUAGAGUAGUUAAGGAAUACAAGUAAGUAAAGACAGACUGAUAGAUUCGAAGGGCAGGCUAACAGGUGAUAGGAUAGGAUCUAUCGGUAGUUAAGGAGUCCGGUAAAAUUGAUAGGUUCAAAUCAUAAUCAAGGGCGGCCCUAAAGAGUGGGUACUAGGUUCCGUUACGUACUAGGUUCAAGUCGAGUAAGUGGAUCGUUGGUUAAAGGAUAGCAGUAAAUCAGAGCAGAUUAAUCGUUUUUAGUAGCUUGGUGACUUCGCUAGAACAUAUAAGAAUCAAAGUCAGCAGCUAAAGAAUAGAGGCUCAGAGUGAGAGUUGGUAGUGAAAGCCCGAGAAGAGAGAUACACGGAAUGAAAGGCAUGAGCCUCAGCUUGUAAGUGAUACGUAAAUACGGGAGGUGAAGUUUACCUUGGAGACUUGAUCUUAGAGACAGGAACUACAGACUCAGGGCGAGUGUAAUAGAAGAAUCUCGGGUGAGCUGAAGAAUGAGAGCAAGGGCAGCAAAGCAGCUGGCUAGAAAGCAUAGUUUCAGGAUGAAAACAAGUCACGUAAGCCUGAGUUAUCGUAUGAAUACUUGUCGAAGCGAGUUGGUGCGCUCUUUCUGUAAACAGCAGCUCUCGCUCUUCACUUCAGCAGAAGCUAAUCCCGAGGGUCUGUGGGAAAUAGGCUUUGAUUGUGGAAUUCGGCCAGUAAGCAUGAUGAGUCAACAGUUCGGCACUACCCUUUCUUGCGGAGGCCCUAUACUAAUAACUUGGCUUGCAGGACAAAGGCAGCUACACCGGCGUUAGCGAGCUUGGCUUUCCUUCCCUUUCCUUUUGCUACCCGAUCGCUCUUUUGACUUUGGCUCUUUAUCUGUAUACUAUUUAUUAUACACAUCCCCGUUUCUAAUCCAUAAUAAAGAGAUGAGUUAGGAUUCACUAAAUAAUAAUAAAGAGAUGAGUUAGGAUUCACUAAAUAAAGGACAAAAAGAAUCAAUGGGCCACCCACAGGAGAACCAACCCUUUCUCGUAUCUGGCACUAAUCCUUUUUGCACUUAGAAUUGGAAUGGAAUAACUAAUAGAUUGAGCAGCAGCUCGUAGAGACCACCUUCCUUAUAAAGAAAUCAAUAAAGAACAUAUCUCUCUUAUCUUGAAAUAAAGAACAUAUUGAUCUUAUCCUAUAUCUUGAAAUAAAGAACAUAUUAAUCUUAUCUUAUAUAUAUAUGUGUAUGUUUCUAUCCAUAUCCUGACAUAAGAAGCCCAAUAGGAGCAAGCAAUACUGGAAAGGGCGAUCCGAAAGACCUAUACGGAGAUCGGCUAAAACGCCCCAAAGGCAUUACAAAAAGCACUUAGUAGAAUGGAUAUGCCCACUAUAGACAAUACUAAACAAACUCUCAUUUCUUCUAGACGGUAUAAGGUCCUCUUUUCUUUCAAAGUGUCUUCUAUCUGCUAGAGCUUGAAUCAUUCCCAAGGUUUUGCCAAUACGUUGUUGUAUCGCUGCAGAUAUUUCUCUUUCUAACCACACAAUGAAAAGUACUUCCUCCUAUUGUAAUUCCGUGGUACAAAGAUCUAUAGGAGUCCAUAUACUAAUAUAUAACUAAGGAUUCCGAUGUCUCAAAAGAAAUGGUCGUUUUUACUUCGAAUCGAAUUAGGCAUUAAUUUCUGAUCUAUUACGCUUCACUUCUAAAUGAUCAUAGGGUCUGUCUCCUCCAGUAAAGCCUUUCUAGAGCCUGUGGAAUAAGAGCAACAAUAUGGAUUUCUUCAUUUCACCGAUAUUCGUACCAAAUAAUGAGCUAAGGCUUUCAGCUCCUUCCUUUUGCCAUUGUACUUUCCCAAUCUCAUUCAUUGUCAAACUCAACAUUAUCAAUGGAAGGCGCAAUGAUAGGUAAGCAGUCUACGAAGCAAAGCCCCUUGCAUUACAGAAAUAGUUAUGAACUGACUCCAUUCCCUUAGUCUCCCGCCAAGCUAGCUAAUCUAAUAGUUUCUAGUUCCAUUCCUUCUUCUUAACUUUAACCAACACUUAAUUCAGAACGAAGGCCACCAUCCUUCUUAUUCUUUAUUGAUUUCUUUCUCGAGUGGAUUUCUGGGUGCUAAGGCCCUGGAAAGGGGAGAGUAGCUGAGUGGUCAAAAGCGACAGACUGUAAAUCUGUUGAAGGUUUUCUACGUAGGUUCGAAUCCUGCCUCUCCCACUUAUUGUUGUUGUAGACUCAAGAUAAGAUCAAGUAGGCGUCAGCGUAGGCCGAGCGAAGCUCUUUCUCUUUAGUAAGAUAGACUAAUUGCAAUUGUAUCGUAUGCUAGUUAGAGAGGUUGGCGAACAACUACGAUCGU
This 130477-nucleotide long non-coding RNA is filed under the name Musa acuminata (dwarf banana). Its description in RNAcentral is "long non-coding RNA (MACU_LNC007525)". The stretch from base 130256 to 130338 matches the Rfam family "tRNA". Lineage: Eukaryota; Viridiplantae; Streptophyta; Magnoliopsida; Zingiberales; Musaceae. The record is from RNAcentral.